This 91014-nucleotide long non-coding RNA is filed under the name Triticum aestivum (bread wheat). Its description in RNAcentral is "long non-coding RNA (TAES_LNC005310)". Lineage: Eukaryota; Viridiplantae; Streptophyta; Magnoliopsida; Poales; Poaceae. The record is from RNAcentral.
CUGUUCCUGGUACCCUGAAGUGAAGCUGAUCAGGGAUGAAGGAUUGGAGCACUUAAUAGAAUGCUUAAUUUCAAUUCCAGUAAUGUUUGCUCGUGGUUUUAUGUUUUGAUGGAUACUGAAUGAUGUAAUUGUUGAACAUGAGUUAAUUACCCAUGGAGAAGUCUUUUAUCGUUCUGUUGUCUGUGUUUGUCCCCUCUCAUUGUCAUUGUUAGUUAUAAGUACUUGUUUUUUUAUUAGAACAUAUUGGGUCAAUGGCUGUAACAGACCAGCAACCUAGCAAAUAAGCUUAUUUCAUAUCUAUCUGUGCUUGUAUAUAAGCACAUGAAUGACUGAAUCCACGCACCGUACCAGAGAGAAUGAAGCGCGUGAGCACAUGAAUGAGCAUCUCUACUCCUAAUGUCUUAGUUGGUAGGUUGUGUUCUGGGUUUAAUUUUCGUCUCACCUACCAUGUUUUUUUUGGUACUUCUUUGAUACCUGCUCUCACCUCCCGGUUCAAAAAAACCCAACCAAAACCACGUUCAUGUAGUUCUCUCGCAAGCGACAGAAUCUAACAAAGAAAAACCAGCGGAAAAAAACCCUCCACGACCUGCACGCGGGCAGGAAUGAGCGAGGCCUCCGGGUCUAGGGUGCCCACCUCUCUUUCUCUCUCGCCUCCCACCCUCACCCUCCCGAUCUGGUCGCCGCCCACCUUCACCCUCCCGAUCUCGUGAGCUGCAGGGGAAAUCGGUCUUUAGAAUCGCCACCAUCGAUGCCGCUCAGUUUCCCUCCGCAACCUGCCACUUGCAACGGACCGAGGUCGUCGAUGUGGGCUCGACGCAGCCGCCCGGAGCUACUUCGCCCUCGAUGUUGAGGAGGGCGUGGGCCUGAUCGAGCUCCCGGCCGCCUUGCUUCUCUACAGACUAUCUCUAUCCUCAGUCGUAGGCUCCUCGUGCUUUCUCCCCUGCGCCGCCACCCAAUGGUCUCCGCCAGCGCCGCGUGCCCCCAAGAAAAUGGCGGCCUUGGAUGAAAAUGUGCGGCUCGAUCGACCUUGAGAAGAUCCCCAUCAAUGCGGACUCCCCUAUGUAAGUCCCCAAUUCCCCUCCCUUCUCCCUUCCCUCGAUCCAAAUCUCGUAUCCACAGAUCUAGAUCACGGCCAUAGGGAAACCAAUAACGAGAAGAAGCGGCUCGCCGAGAUAUGCCAUGUCGACUUCUCCUUUUGUCAUCAAUGGAGGCGCCACGAAGGCCAAGAAGAAGGCCCCAACAGCCCUGGCCAUGGCAGGGCCUCAUGUAGAGCCUGAAGUAGGUGCAACAUCAUAGUCCGUCCUUGCACGUACAAAAAAUAGACAUUUAUUUUUGAUUAUGGUCGCCGUAAAUAAUGAUGUUACUACGGGUCUAUUUUUUUCUGAUUAUGGUCCUUUCAGUAUUGAUUCUUGCUUGUAUAUUAAGAAUUAAGUUUCCCUGGUUAGAAGUAACCAUCAGUUCUUUCUACUUUCUGAAGAACUAGCAUUCUUUUCUCUUUAUUUUUUCGUCCAUAUUAAAUUAUUUGGCACAAACAUACAUCUGAAAUAAAUGCAAGUCUAUAUCAAGUACUGAGAUUAAGAUGGAUGGGAGGUCACGGAUGCUGGGUCGGAAUUUGAAUGCUAAUGCCUUCACUACUUUGUUGUGUUGUUUAUGUUACACGGUUAUGAGUCCGGUGUGUGGAUCGGUCAUUGGUGAAAGCAGCCGCCUAAUUUCAGAGUUCUUCCUUUGUUCUCCCAGGACCAAACCAACGAUCAAUGUGUGCUGAGAAUGACAGCAGUAUGCACCACAUUUGCAGUCUUAACUACAUGGUAAGCUUUACUAAACUGAAACUUGUCCAAACGUUUUGCAACCACGUUGGAAAAAUUUAUCAGGUUGCAGUUUUGCGGCCGUGUCGAAUCGCUUUUAUACUUAAUACUUUUGAUGGGUCGUACAAGCUGGUUGAACUGCCACUGGUUGUUACAACCUACAAAUAUACAGAUCUUCAAUAUAUGACUCACUAUAUAUAUGAAAUUCUCCAUGCAUAAAUUGUGUUUUUAGAUGAUUCACUAUAGCAAUUGGUGUGCUAUAACAGUGAGACUGUUCUAUAUAUUGCUAUCCAGAUUUGACAUUUAGUUUCCAUAACCUUUAUUUUUCUGUUAUUAUUAAGGACAACAUGCUAAUUUCUCUAAUCCACUCUUAUUGUAAUGUUAUGAUUUUGUUUCUAGGUUAGUAAAACUUUUUAUUCAGCUCAAAGAGGUCAUGCAGUACAUCCUAGGAAAUAAAGGCGAGUCAAUUCGGUGAGGAUAAACUAGAUUGCCUUCUAUUGUGGCGGGUCAAACUAUUUUUUGAAACACCACCACCACCUACAUGCUUUUUUCUUCCUUUUCCUUCUAAUAGAGCGCUGAUUGUACCUACUUAGAAAUGUUAGUGGAUGCAUCCAAGUCUGAUUUGGCACUUCUUUUUUAAGCUGAAUGGAGAGGUCAUAUCUAGCUAUAAGUUGUUUGCUACUAUAUUUCUUUAGUUCCAAUUAAUUGGAUUUGAUUUUAAAGUUCUACAGCCAAAUGAUAGUUCAGAGAGAGUACAUGUUGUUACUCCACUUAUUUAAAAACCACCAGAGAGAGUACAUGUUGUUACUCCACUUAUUUGACUAAAUGAUGCAAAUGCUUUCCCCAUAGGAUAACUUGACAAUUUGUCGAGAGAAGUAAUAAAAACCGUCAAGCUUAAAGAGCAAAAGUUUGAGCACUGAAACGGUGAGUUCAGAUGCCAUGUAGUUCAUAGUCUAUGUGCAACGGCUCUUUAAUUUGACUGAAGCAAAUGUGAUUUCUGGUUCUACCAAAUUAUUUUAUUUUAUUGUGCAACACAAGUAUCUUUAUUUGACCUUGUUUCCUUAGACUAUGAAGAGGUUAGAAGAAAAAAGUGUCGAUUGUUGUAUUGUCACAUUGUACAUCAUAAUCAUUGUUGUAUAUGUUUUUGCAUACAUACAUCAAUUAUGUACAUAGACAGAAGAAGUCUUAACAGAGCUAUUUCAAAACAAGAUGAGGAGAGCCCCAAUGAUUUAAACAGUAAAAUACUAACCUGCACAUGAUCAUAUAAUGUACGGAUCACAGGCUGGCUAAACCCUUCUUUCGAGUCUCCUAACAUUGUCUACUUAAUUUUCAGUACCUGCAAGGUCAGCUAGCUAGAAAUUUGGGUAUGCUGCUAUAUGCCUUCAAUUUGUAAAAUAAGAUGCAUAUUAUUCAGCUUGAUUCAUUGCUCAGGAUUUUUGAAUAAGAUGGGGCGACCAUGAUGUGGCUCGGAGAAAGGGUGCAUAUGGGAUUACUUAUUACCCAUUGGGUCUGCAAAUAUGAGAGGUAAAAGAUUUCACUGUAGUGCAAGGCACGUUCUAAGUUUCAUCUUCGCACAUGAUUAUGGGCUUAUGGCAUCUGAUCAACUUUCUCUUGACAUGCGUAAUUGCAACAUCGUCCCGAUCUUUCCAAAAAUAGAUUGUCUAUGAUUAUGAGAGUAACCACAAGAACAGACGAAAGUCGCGAGACUCGUUACGAAACAAUGCAGAUUCUUUACCCCUAGGACAGUGACAGUGCUAAAAUUCAUGUAUGUAUGUUAGGAGUUACGAUAUGACCUUUUAUUUAUGUAUGUUAACAUUCAAAAAUGUUUGAUGAGAUCAAUAAUGUAUAUAUGAGAUGUGAUAAAACUGAACAUAUGUUGUACUCGGCGUAUUUGAUUAAAUAUAUUAACUAACGAACCCAUACUUUAUUUAUCAUCAAGUGGCAAUGCAUGGGUAUUUAGCUCGAGUUGUGCAUGGGCUGCUCGAGCUGCGCGCCAAUGUGGAGGCCCCGCACCGCCGCCGAUGGGCUGAUGUUGUUGCACGUCGUGGCAAGGACGUCAGUGUGUGCGCUGCUUGUGCUGGGCACUGAUGUGGUCGCCCCUGAUCGGAAGGGACGCCGCUGGAGCUGCCGCGGGAUAUGGUGGUGGUCCGCUGAUGGAGCUGGGAGCAGACGCGGAGGCAAUGGGCCCGACUCUCUGUGUGCAAAUCAUGAUGACUUGGAGCACUGUCAUGGGAAGUUUUUAUUCAUCUUUACCUAUAUUUAUUGGAUUAGGUUCCAUUGGCAGGUGAGAUUCUUAUCCUGAAUGCUUUAUUCUAUUUUUGCCAAGACACUUCUCCUUAAUAUGUUCAAUAUUCAUAAUAAAUUUUUUGCGGUAGAAUUACAUGAUUUCUAAACAUUUUGAUUCAUAAUACAAAUUUGCUGCAUCAUGGGGUUUAUUAGAAAUCCUAAUGCAUUUCUAAUCAGGAUUGUUUCUUAUGGUGAUUAAAUCUGUCAUAGCGUCAACAGGUUAAAGACGAUGUACCCUUUUCCCGUUUGGAUACCAACCAUUGCAUUCAACAGUAAGAUCUGUUGCUUAUUUACUUGUAGAAUCAAGUGGGUUAGAGGCAUCUGCUUUUAACUAUUUACGACACUUCAAUAAAACACUCUUUUCUUAUUUGUGUGAGUACUAUUUGUUUCACUAUUAAAAAAAUUAGGAACUGAAGCCGAAAUAAAAUGGUUCCUGGUUGUAGUUUCCCGGGUUGAUUCUUCGAAUUAUAACUUCAAUUUGUAUGCCCUCGCGAUAAUUUUCUGCCUGAAGUUUCUAGAGCUCACUGAUUUUAGGACCUUCUAUACAUUAUAUUCUUCAAUUAAGUAAUGAUAAUGUAAUAUUGCAUCCUGUCAUUUACAAUCAGAUAGACAAGUGACCUUAAGUAUAAGGUUUCAAGCUACUUAACGCUCAAUGCUUGUUAUAUAAUUCUCCGUGGUAACAUCAACUGAGUUGGGCAUCAUAAUUGGCACUGAACAUCCAAAGUUAAGUUCAUGCUCACCAUUUCAUGAUUAUAUUUUUGGUACUGAUAUUUUCAUAUUACCAGUUCGCUAAAGAUAGAGCUCUGGCAUUGUAUUGAAGCUCAACUCUGCAUGAAAGUGUACAACUUCACUGUUAUGUUCUGGCACUCGAAUUUGCUAUGCUUUUCAUGCUAGGAAUACUUACACGUUCAUUCUUAAAUCAUCUUGUUAUAUGGCAUUGUAGAUCUGAUGGAAAAGAACUUGUGUGAUAUAGGCCAGGGCAGAGGACGUUGUCAAUGGAAAACAUGGCUCCGCAUGAAGGUUCACUCGCCAAUAGUCUUCAAGAAGAUGCGAAGGUCAUGGUUCUGUGUUGAUGCCCCUUGAAAAAAAUAUCUUCUCAUUUUCUUGUUUGAAGGAACGCUAGGAGAAAUUGAGGAUGCGAAAAAUGUACGGAGAAAAGGGAGACUAGGAGAGGUACACGGUGAGGCAUCGACGAAUCCUAAAAAGAGAAACUUUUAUCACAGUGUUUUCAUAUCCAAACUUGAAUCAAGUAUGCUUUUUGAAUGGCUUGCACUAAAGCAGAGUAUAAUUCUUAUACUUGUGUUUUAAAUUGACUACAUGUUGUCAUCUCCUCUUGUAUACAUCUUUCGUAACUACCAUUUUGUGAUGGGUUGUUAAGCUACCAUUCAAGGGAAUGCAUGUUGACAAAUGUAUUGAUGCUUCCUUGAGUCUACUACUAAUAUAUUUGUAAUGUAUUUUUCACUGAAAAAAGCACAGCUAAUAGCACCCUAUAGAGUUGUCUAGCUAAAUAAAUCAAUGUACACUGCCUCGCUAAUAGAAUGCCAUAGUGCGAUAUUGCAUGCUAAUAGCGUAUUUUAAGGCCGCUCCUAUUUUGUUAUAGCGCGCUACUUUUUCAUUGAUUUUUAUAGAGUUUAUCUCUACUCCUAAUGUCUCAGUUGGUAGUCUCCGUUUCAUGGUUAAUUUUGUCCCACCUAUCAUGGUUUUUUUGUCCUUCCUCCACCUCCCAGCGAUUCCCCCCUGAAUUGUCGCGCUUAGGAUCCACCUGCCACCUCGCCGGAGACGAACACCGCCGCGAAUGCGAGGGGAACGGGACCAGACCGAGCACCGGCGCCUGUUUCAGUAAGCUCGCUGCGCCCGUCCUCGUUGGUCGCGCCGCACACAGCUCAUCGGAGCCCCUAGCCGCGCCAAUGCGGUGGUCGGUGGGCGGAGUCGCAUGAUCGACGCAUGUGGCGAUGCGGCGGGGGGAGGGGAGAUGGCCGAGAUGUUGGAGUGAGUGAAGAAGAGAGGUGAAUGAGCCACAAGACCGGCCANNNNNNNNNNNNNNNNNNNNNNNNNNNNNNNNNNNNNNNNNNNNNNNNNNNNNNNNNNNNNNNNNNNNNNNNNNNNNNNNNNNNNNNNNNNNNNNNNNNNNNNNNNNNNNNNNNNNNNNNNNNNNNNNNNNNNNNNNNNNNNNNNNNNNNNNNNNNNNNNNNNNNNNNNNNNNNNNNNNNNNNNNNNNNNNNNNNNNNNNNNNNNNNNNNNNNNNNNNNNNNNNNNNNGGCGGAGUCACGCGGUUGCGGGCUCGGCGACUCGCGCGGCGAUGCGGUGGGGGGAGGGGGGAGGGCGAGAGGUGGCGGGUGAGUGGAGAGGACCGGUGAGUGAGCCCCAAGAUCUGCCGCGACAUGUGACAGAUCAGCGGUCGGCGGGCGGAGUCACGCGGGGCGGCUCGUCGAGGCACGCGGCGAUGCGGCGGGGGAGGGUAAAGUGCGAGAGGACGUGAGUGAGUGGAGGGGAGAGUGAUGAGUGAGUGGGGUUUGGGUUGGGAUGCGGCGGAGGGAGGGGAAAAGGUGAGGGGUGGCUAGUGAGCCCAGAGGCCAGCGCGCCAGGUGGGCCCUCGAGCCGGCCCGUGAGGCAACUUUGUUGUGCCUGGGCCGGGGAGGCCAGCACGCGUGCCUGGCCGGGAAGUGUCGUGCCUGGCCCGUGUAAUCCUGGCCGGGCCGGGCCAUGUUGGGCCGGCCAAUUUGUCCAGGUAUACUGUAAUCCCUCAAAAAAAUAUACUGUGUAUAAGGUAAUUUCUUUUAUAGUUGUUUUUUUAGGGGCUAAGUUUGGGUGCUGGUUGGGCCGUGGUGGAUAGCUAAUUUGGGCCUUGUGUGAAAAUUUUGCUCAAUGAUAGAAAUUCUAAACUCGCAUGUGUGGGAAUUUAUGACAAAAAAAUAGAUAUUGAAAGUAUACAUACCUCACAAAAACAAUAAAAGUGUGUGUGUAUAUAUAUAUAUAUGAAAUAUGGUUCAUAAAAAUAAAUAUAUUUUAUAAUUACCUUUCAUAUACUAAGGGUAUCACAAUAAAAUUGAGAGAAAAAAAUAUACUUGGUUGAAGAAGGUUUGUUUGCAUGUUUUUUUUCUUGUUGGACAAUUUUCCAUGGCCUAUAUUAAUAAUUUAAAUAAUUUUCAUAUGACUAUUUACUUAUAUAUGAACAUUACAGUUUGUUGUUUUCCCCAAAUUUUGUGUUAGUACAAUUAUUUAAUCAACAUAUUUUCCUAAUAAUGUCAACUAUGUUUUUUAUAGAGAAAAUAGUUGUGUCAGUUUCACUUUUAUUUUUUCCAGAUAUUAUAUAUGAUUAUACUCCCUUCGAUCCCUUUUACUCCGGGCAUAAGUUUUUCUUGUUUUUUCCAGAAUACUCUGCGCGAUCCUGAUUUGUAGCGGUUUUUUCCUAAGUCUAUCCUAAUCUUCAGCCCCGCAUGCAACGACUACCUCCUCCUGUGCAUUAAUUACUGACCACGCAUGCAGCGCAUGCAAAGGAGAAUGGGCCAAUAACAGCCAUGCAGAGGAAACGAGGAGGACGGGCCAAUAACUGGCUCCGGUGAUCAUAGCUUCCCAGCUUUCCUGGUUGCUGCAAUUCAACUAGCACAGGGACAAUUUCGUCCAAAAAAAUUACAAGCAGGUCUCCUUGGUAUGCGUGAUGUGAGUUAUGGGUAGACUAAAAAAAAUAGGAGGGAGUAUUAUGCAGUAGAAAAUAUCAUUUAUAUUUGAUCAUUUAUAUUUCAUUGUAGAUACAAAGUGAUGGGUUUCGACAUAUGCACUGAUGUAACGAUGACAGACCGCACUGAAACACCACGAGAAGAGGUGCAUAUAGCUAACCUUCCUCGGUAUGUAUAUUGUACAUGCAAAUACGAAAGGUAUAUUUUUGUAUAUUAAUAUUUUUUUCAGAAUAUAGGAGACAUGGAUAUGGACUUUGGAUAUGCACAAAAAGAACUCGUUGAGGGUUUCGAUGCGAAGUUGCUGAAAGGGACAGUAAAUUCACUGAGUUUUUUACAACAUAAUGAUGUCGAAGCGGUGAUAUCUCAUAACAAACCAAAAAUGGAUGCCAAUUUAAAUGUUAUCGCACAAGGUAUUUCUUUAAUGUUAUUAUCAAUAUUUUCUUUGUGAAAUUGCCUUCUGUAUUCAACUAAUUUGGCUCAUUUUGUUGUCCAAGUUGGCUCACUUUUUUAUGAAGUCGACAGACUAUGUUUGUACCCCUAGAGAUAUUUCAGUCACCGAAUCAAUCAUGUCUGCCCCCAAAAAACCUUGUUCGUGGACAUCUUGUUAUCAACGGACGAUUGGAAUGCCUUUUGAAAGAUGAUAUGUUCUUACACGAUGGUGUAAGACCAACUGCAUAAACUUUGUAAUUAAUAAUUGCAACGAAAUAUAAUAUUGUAAUAUAUAUAUAUAUAUAAUUUAAAUGUUGACUACAAGUGAUAAAUGCUUACAUAUAUUGCAUGCUUGCUCCAGACCAUCUACGAGGCAGGUGAUAAAUGUCGUUAGUCUUUCUUUUUGGUAUCAAUUUUCAUUGCAAAAUGGAGUUCAAUUAUUCAGUAAUUGUGUUUGUGUUAUAUUGUUUGUGCAUGUGAAAUUUAACAUGUAACUCUUGUAAAUUUUUUCAAGAGCCUGUGGCAACGGGCACUCUACUAGUAGUUUUAUGUUUUGCAAAAAAAUUAUAUGUACACCCUUUGUAAAGAAAUAUGAAAUAUAAGAGUGUUUAGGUAGUAAUGAUCUAAAUGCUUUUAAGUACAAUAUAAAAAAGAACAUACCAUCUUAGAAGAUAUGGCCUCAUCCGUUGCAUUGGUGAUGGACGAUCGACAGAUUUGAGACUCCGGUUGGAUAACUAGGGAACCACUGCUCAUACCGCUUAUGCCUUUGAUCCAGAACCUGCCACAGAUGAUGCAUGAGCCGAUAAACCACACAGAAGCUACUUGGAGCUCAAAACUUGUUCGCCAGGUGUUUCUGCCGAUGGACGCGGAUGCUAUCCUUAGUAUCCCACUUUGCACGGGUCGGAUCACGGACUUCUGGUCUUGGCAUUUGGACCGCAAAGGUUUUUUCUCCAAGGGAAAAUUGGUUGUACGGUGUCACAGGACCGCCGAACUGCCAUAAGAAAAACUUUGGAAGCUGUCGAUUCCCUCAAAAGUCAAAACAGAAGGGACUUAUCUAUGCUCUCCGUGGGUCUCUCUCAUUUACUACUCGAUGGCUCGUUGUACGUGGGCUUUGUCUGACGAGAGUCUCACAAGACGCAUGGUAUCAUGCACCGAGCCGAAUGCAGAAAAAACCUGGUUGUUCAUGUUGCAUGACAUGGUACCACAAUUUCAAUUCUAUAGGAUGAUCGUUUCUCUUUGGGCGUUUUGUUUGCCCAAAGGCUAUCGACGAGAACAUCUUCCAAAGCCCAUUUUCUACACAUUAGUUUAUUGAGUCAUAUUUAGCGGAGGUACAAGCGUUGAAACAUUGUCUUUUCGUGCAUCUAGACCUACCCUUUAGACCCGUAUGCGGUGGCUGCCGCCCCAAGCGGGACAUGUAAAAAUUAAUGUGGAUGGUUUUGCUCGUUCUGAUACUAAAGGUGCGGCCAUGGCUCUUUGCAGGGAUGCGAAUAGAGCAUAUGUUGGUGCAUCAGCUAUUGUUGUCAAUAACAUCAUAGACCACCGUGUCUAGAAGCUCUGGCGUGCCGAGAAGGACUAGCUCUUGCUAAGGAUCUAAACCUUAGAAACAUUGUGAUUAUUUCUAAUUGCGUAAUGGUGAUGAAAUGUAUUGAACAUGGAUCUUGUGGAACCUAUGAUGCAAUCAUCAAGGAGAUCAAGGAGCGGAAUACUUCUGUUGAUAGCUAUCAUUUUGUUCACGGACAUAGGAAUUUUAAUUUCGAGGCUCAGAACCUUCCAAAGUACGUUUUAUCUUUAGGUGUAGUAUAUGUCAUGUUUGGCUGGGUCUCCCUUAUGACCCCAUUAUUGUACUUGUAAACAUGCUCAUCUCUGAGUAAUAGAGUUGCAUGUGUUUGCCUAAAAAAACUUAUUUGCAAAACAUAGUGUUAGCCAGUAGCAGACUCGGACACACAAGUAACUUAAGUCCUCUAUAAACCAAAACUUGGUAAUUCGAAAGCCUUCCUGGAUUCAUCGUAUUUUACUGGCAUUCAGAUUUAGAAUUGAUGCCUACAGUAUCCGGGUCGAAACUCAACUUCUGAACUCAUUUUUUACCAACAUCUUGAUUCACAAUGGUGCCUAUAAUAUCAGGGGAGAAAUAUGGCAUGUUCUUUUUUCAUCAGAUUUGCAGUUUUAUCCAAUUCUCGUGAUUGAUUCGAAUGUGGCCUUCAAAACUAGAUCGUCCUUGCUUGAUCGUUUACAGUAUUUCUUCAUGGCCUUUGUAGACUUGCCGAACUGUUCAUUCCUGCAUGUUGGAGACACAUAAGUGUCAGAAUAGCUUCGGAACUCCUGGUAAUUACACCCCCUAAAAUCUUAUCAUAUGCCCUUGAACACCAACAGUGGCUGCGAUUAGCCAGCAGCUACAAGCAAAUAAUUGUCGAAAUAAAGCCGAUUUAGGUGAACAUUUAAACAGGUCCUAUUAGGAAUUCACCUGUUUUUGUCGCCGGCUGCCGCCGUCAGGCGAACAUACUCUGCCUCAAGCUGCCGGAUAGAGGGGCACUGACCCAUCCUAGACUCUCUACUUUUUUUUAGUGUCUGCUACUACUGGUCUGCUCUGCUCGCUAGUUGCUUGUUGAUUGAGUUGCAUUUCUGGUUACAUAUGUAUUUAAGGGAUUCUAGUUCAAAUAUAAAAUACAAAAAAUGGGAGAAAGCGCUCAGAUAUUUUGUGCCUUUUGGGCUUUUGAUAGGUAGGCAUGAAUUGUGCUGCUUCAUCGUGCCACUUGUCUGUUCUUCUUUAGACUGGUUUUAUGUUUGGCUACUUCAGGCAACUCCGCUCUUCACUCUGGUAUUGUAUAAUCGUACUCACCGUAGCACAUCUAUAUGGCUUCAUAGAGGACCACCGUAUAUUGAUGAGCUUCUGCCUCUCGAUUGUAACCUUAUUAUCUUGGAAUGAAUUUCUUUCACCCUAGAAAAAAAAACUUCACUUUGGCAUCACGUACAUCCCUCCGAAAUUGCUUCAUUUGGCUUGAUUUCGUGUGAUCUCAAUUGGUUUCCUUCCAGAAGUAUAUUUUCCUACCAAAGAAAGGAAAACAAGUUUUCUUCUCUCUCGAGGGAUUAGCGUUAGAAAUAACUGGAAGAUAACGAAAACUCGAUAAAAACAAGUCAAAACCUUCGUCUAAAAGUGAUAAAAAUUAGAGCUAGCAAUGUCAUAUCUAUUUUUAUUGUCUCACAUAUUUUGCUCUGUCACCACACCUACAUCACGUGGUCAUAUCUUGUGAUCACAAUUCAAACCUUUUGUGCAAUGAGUCAUUUAGUUGAUACUAUUCACUCAUCUCAUUGUACGUUUCUAUUGACCUAGGGGGAGCCAUCUAGUUGUGUGCAUGUUGCAUAAUCAAGCAAAUAUUUAUUGUAUAUGAACACUCCUAGGGGAGCUCUCUACAUCGAUAGCUUUGCAUAGCAAUAUUCCAUAUUCAUAUUCUUUGUCAUGCUCUAACCAUGAUGUCAUCAAUACACCAAAAAAGUGGAGAUUGAAAGGGAGGAUAUGGUUGAUUCCCACUUCAAAAAGAUCAAAGGCAUGGUUUACUAGCGACUUGAAGCUUUUGAUUUGGUUUAUUUGAGUUGUAUGACAACCGCACUAUCAAGAGGUGUCAUUAUGGUAGAAAGGUGGUGUGGGGACACUCAAAACAUAAACACUAGCCAUCCUACACCUACCACCUUAAAGAUGAUCUACAUCUUCAUAUCCAACAUCUCAAUGUGCCCCCAAGGAGUGUCCAAAGUCUCUGGACACCUCGUUCACACAUAGUCUUUGACCCCCGUGCGCACAUGCUGGUGAACUAGCCUCUCGAUCACCCCGUGUGCACGUGGUCUUCGACCACCACGAGCAUGGGGUGAUGCAUUUAUCUUUGGACAUCCUAUUCCCACGGGGUCUCAGACCACCAUGUGCAUGGGGUAGUGAUUUAGCCUCUAGACAUCCCGUGAAUGUAAUGUAAAGGUCUUUUGAAGGUGAUUUAGAAAUAUAGUCCAUCUGAAUGCAAAGAUCACAAAGUGGGAUGAACUAUAUAUAGAUCUCUUCUUCCACCUCCAUUCCUAAGAGAGCAAAGCUCGAUCUACAACUUGACCAAACCGAUUUGUGUUCCCCGCUAGAUUUCUUCACCAACAAUUAGUUUCCCUAGUAGCUUGGGCUCCUAGCCUGUUAGGGUUCCUCCGGAAGCUUCAUUGCUUGUGGUGUGCUCCGGAGACGUAUGUCAAUAUGUGGUGGUCGCCUUCAAGACCAACCCCGAGUGAUUCGAGGCUCAUCCGCUGGGGGUGACUUGAGGAGAAUACAAUGACAUAAUGGGUGGCAUUCCGAAGCCUUGGCACCGACAACACUCUAAUGAACACUAGCACUUCUCUAAGGAAGUGUAAAUUUCGGGAUAAAAUCCACGCCCCGACUCACUUUUGUUACUCCUUUUUAUGCAUUUUACUUUGCUUUGUAUGCUCGUGGGACUUGCUAAUUAGAUUUUUUCCUAGCUUACAUUGCUUUGAUCUUGAUUUCCCUAUAGAUUGUGUUCAUCUAGUUGCAUAUAUAGAGAACCUACUUUAUCGGCAAACCCCUAAAACUGGUAAUUAAGCUUAAAACCUAUUCACCCCCUCUAGUCAACUGUAUCGACCCUCUCGGGUAAAUUAAACUUCGAUCAAGUUCUUCACUUAUGCUCAGUCACUUAGCAAUUUUAGGCUCUAGGGUUUUUCCUCACUUAGGAUUCUCACAAUCACUUUGAGAGGAUGGGUUACUCAAAAAAACACUUGUCGAAUUCCUAUGGAACAUCCAACCAACUAAGGUUGAGGUAGAGGUUAUUUAUAGUCAGUAGAGCAAGCUCAAGCGAUGAUGCGACUAUUGGAGGUGCACUCACAACGUCACUGAUGGAGUGCUGGACUAAGAGGUACUCACCACGUGUCUCUCGGCCAGGUUGGUCAGGCCGAGGACCCACAUGGCGGUUCACUAAUGGGACAUUUCGGGCAGCCGAUGACGUAUACUAGGAAAAUUCCACAAGACUUGGCACACAAGACGAGGACUGCUGUUAUCCUAGGCCUCCAAUACAUUGUGUAAAUCGAGGCCAGACUAGUCAAUAGAACAUUACAUUACAACAUAGGUCAACAAUCUCGUGGUAGAUACAUGUACUCUGUACUAUACCCCAUAUCAAUACAAUCAACAGCAUGACAUAGGGUAUUAUCUCUUUGAGAGAGCCCAAACCUAGGUAAAAUCAUGUGUCCAUGUUACCAUCGCUCCAAGACACCUAGCUUAUGACCCCUACCUCGACAUAUGAUGGAUUUAGCACCGACAUUGGUGUCCCAUACAGGUCCCUGUUGGUAGUCACUGCAGUACGAUGGGAAUUCAGAUCGACUCUGACGUGGUUAACGCGUCGGAACGAAACUUCAGCAUCGACGUCGGCUUUCAUCGCUGGCUCGACUGGUCACCUUGGCUGGAUCGAGGACUACACUCUGCGUUGGAUCAUCAAGUUCGGACGGGUGCCUCCAUCAUCAACUCAAAUCUCAACUAAGAUCAUGGAAGAAUCGUCCAUGGAGCUCGGGGUUUCAAUGUCAAUAGUGCGCUCACGUGAUUGUGCAAUUUUUUUGGGCAACAUAUUCGUGUUCGUUGUCCCUGCCUCCUCAAGCACCGCUUUGAUGGUUGCUUCAGUGGAACUGCGCUGAAUUGAGCCUACAACAACCCUGUAAAAUUUGAUCAUGGUGGGGUGGCAGUUAGGGCGUAGUACCGCUGCAGUGGUACUACCGCACUGAACUACCACUCUACUACCGCCUAUUUACAGAACACACAAGACAAGCGGAAGUAGUGACCGCACUAAAAUGCGGCAGUACCGCUGGAGUGGUACUACCACUGAGCAGAGCGGUACUACUGCUUAUGCUAUUCUGAAAAGCCCAAGCAAGAAGGAAGGACCAGCUCAGUUGCCGGGAAGGAAAUGGGGUGCAAAGAGACUGUGUACGUGUUGAUUCACCCAAACCUUUCCGAAGCAGACCCCCUCUUAAUAGUACGGUGUUCCUAGGACUCAAGUCCACCGAAAAUGAAACACAAGAAAAACACCGUCUUCAUAAACAUCCCGAGGGGUUCGAAUCGUCUUUGUGCCAUAAGAUAGAUUAUCUGAUAUGCUCAAUGCACACGAUUACUUCGCAAAAGCAUUGUCAUCAAUCACCAAAACCAAUAAGGGAGAAAUAUGCCCUAAUAGUUUUUCAAUCUCUAGACGUAGAGAAUGAUCCAUUAAAUCCAUGAGACGAUGCAAAUGCAAUAUUGGGACACAAAGUUUGAUAUCCUAGUGCCAUUGGACCCAUCAAGCACAAUUGGUUGGUACUCGAGAAUAUCUUUUGAUAUCUCCAAGGCAUCAAACAUCUUGUGCUAGUUUUCCAGUUUCAAAGAAAUCUAGACACCAAUAUCACUAGAUAUAUUGAUCAAGAUAUCCACCAUGUUAGAUUGUAGACAAGCUUUGUGUUCCUACUAGGUGUGGUAGCCAUACCAUGAAAGUCUUCGAAACAAACCUUAGUGGCUACAUCCACCAACCGUUAUCUCAAAGAUAAUGUUGAUUGUGUUAUCCGGAUGCAAACAUGUUACAUAGUAAGUAAUAUCACUAUAUUGCUCAUAUUGUAAGACAAAUCAUGUGACAACCUCGUUGAUUUGUUUAUGAAGUCUCUACCAAGUUCAACAUUCCACAAACAUGUUCAUAGAAUUGGUAUUGACGAAUUCAAGAUAUGCAACUAUCAGGGGGAGUAUGUUCCUGAAUUACUCCUGUUCAAAGCACCAUAUUGUACUCUUUUCCCCUUUCUCAGUUUACUUUUUACAGGUUGUUAUCAAGGUUUUUAAUGAGGUAAUAUCAACAUGAGAUUAUAUUUCAUAUAUUCUAUUUUCCCGCCGAGGUUUUUAAGAAAGUAUACAUGCCAUAUUUAUUGUCCUCUAAACUCUAUGGAUUUCCCAUGUUGAGUUAAAGAGACAAUUAUCAUGAUAUGUCAUUGUUAGGACCGAGAGUAUAUCGACCAGGAGGCGGGGUGGUGAAUGGGAGAUUCAAAAUUUCUUUUGAAAGUUUUGCACUAAUCCCAAACAUAGCAGUGGAAGUAAGGUAUGGUAGAUACAAACUCAAUCAAGCAUACUAUUGAGGAAAAAAUUCUUCGAGGUAAUAUGCAAUAAUGGUUAGAGCAUAGCAUAUGAUAGGCUUGAUGAUAAUGAUGGUAAUGCAGUAUGCCAACAGAUAUGCUAUCAUGACAAAGAGCUAGAGAUGAACUAUGAAGGAUAACUACGAGAAAUAAUUGUAAUGAGGAAAAUGAUCACAACACAAAAGAAGAUGAGAACUAUAACAUCACAACAGAAGGAAGAGGGUGCAAAAAUACGAGAAACGAAUAAUAACCGAAGGAAAUGACAGAAGAAAUAAGAGCGAAUGAUAUGCAACAUAGUACAAAUGAUCAGAUAAACUAUCGUCACAAAGCAUGAAUGAAAACUGCUGAGAGUAUUGCAGUGAAGUAAAUAGAACCAUUGGUGCUCGAUGGCGAUAGAGAGAUUUGGUAGACCAGUUCACCCUUCCGCCAAAGGGCUACGUCUGGUUGGAGGGGCUGUGGCUUAACAUGGAAGAUAAACUCUCUUCACCCUAUUCUCCUUCAACACGGAGCUGAUCAGACUCUGGUUGAUUUCACUCGUGGUAGAUACUUGUCGGCGAUCUCCAAACCUUCGGUCGACCUUCGUGAACCACAAUCACUCUUGGUUGCUUAAGAUCUAGCUCAGUGAAGACAAGAACUCUUCAACACUCGAGCCAAAACCUAUCCGUCUAGAGAGUGUGCAACUCUCAAGAGUAAUAGGUACAAGAACUCUAACUCAGAACUAUUGUGAUGAUAAACCACUAUCUAAGUUUGGGCUCUUGAUUUUUCUCUCAGUGGAUCUUAAACUCAAAUCACUCAGAGAGGGGUUUCUCAAAUCCAUCUUCUCAGAAAUAUCAAGGGGAGCAGCCAACGGACAAUGUUGGGGUGGGGUGGCUAUUUAUAGCCGCAACCUUCCCUGAUGGGAAAUCACCAUUUUGGACAUGCGGUCUAGCCAAUGGCCAACUGACAUGUUCACAACGGUCGGAUUUUGGAGAAACGGUAACAUUACUUGAGGAACAAGUAAUGCUAACUCAUCAGUCUGAGACAAAUCUCUCGCAGCGAAGAAGAUCACAGUCUCUUGCUGGCAAGUAUUUGCUCGGAACACCAAGAGAUUUCUCUCGCAACUUUUAUAGGUUUUGGCUAAGCAUCACAACAGAUCUAAGCUUCGAGAACCUAUACCCCUCUUAAUAGUACAGAGGUCCUAUGACUCAAAUAAACGAAAGAAGAACAACAAAAUGAAUUCUACGUCUUCACUUUGUCUCCGACUUCCGUUCGCUGCAGUCAAUUUGUUCAGAUGCCAAUACCGAAUCAAUGCUCACUUCAGCAAUAAAUUUCAAGAGGUAAUUCCUUCACUUCAAUCUUCUCGUCUACAUGUCUUCAUCAAAAUGUAGCUCUUUCUUCUCUGCAACGCAGAUAUACUUUGGUGAAGUUCCUCAAACUUGACACGAGAGAUUUGUUCAUUUAUCACUUAAUGUACUUCUCCCCUUUGUGCCAUCACUUGAUGAUUUCCUGUCAUAUUUGUAGAGCAAACAUUUUCCCUGCACGAUAGACAAAUAUCGAGGAUAAUCAUUGCAAGGGUGCCUGUAAGCAGAUAGUUCGAAGAAAAUGAAAUUGCAGGGGGUUAUUAACAUUACAUGGCGACCGAGUAUUUCACCACCACAAGCGGUUCAUUAAGUUCAUCAAGCAAAUUGUUCGAGGGAAAACCAAAAACGUUCAACUACGAAAAGCAAAUGGAAAAUGAGAAAACCCUUCAAGUACUUCGAUCAUCAAUCACUCGGUGUACUUCUCCCCCCUUUUGUCAACAAGUAUCAAAAAUGAAAGAGAAAACAUACGAGGAACUACUCUUCUCGAGUGUCCUCAGAAUCAGAAUUGAAAGUACUCGACAAAUCAGAAUCCGCGGAGCGAGGAAUGGUCGAGGUAGAAGUAGGAGUAGAAGCAUGAGCUCUGGAGGAAUUGGUGGGAUAAACAUCUAGCUUGUAGAUGAGUGUUCCAGCUGUGUCUUCAAUUUCGUCAUCAUGCCUGACAAACAAUAGGUUAGUUGAUGUAGAACGCUUAGGGAGCACAGGGGUUUGCCUUCCGAUGCGAGGAAUAGCAAGUAAAUCUAGGUAGUCAUAAUCUUUCUUGAUGCCCUUGGCAGCCAACUACUUUCGAGAAUAAUGCUGCCUUAGAAGAGAACAAGAGCGCUUCUUUGCUUCCUUCUCAUGCAGAAGGGUUUGGCGAGCAUAAUUGUGAAGUGAAUUCAACUUAGUCAUCAAUUCCAGCUUUUCUUUUCGAUCAAGCUUGAUGUGGAUUUCUAGUGCUUGCUGUGUGCGAAUGCAAAUCUCAUAUAGAGAUGGAUUUUCUUCACGAGGGAUUUCAACCUUGGCUUUCUUAACUUUUGGAGCGGCUUCAGGUGCAGACGCAGUGCCAGCAGCACCAACAGGUGCCUUUCUUUUUCCAAUAUCCUUCACCAUACAGAGAGUGUCACGUACUGGUGGCGUGAAAACAUUCAGAAUAUGAGCCCAAAAGAAUUUUUCAUUGAUAAGCUACUCAAUUGCAUACAUGAUCCAUGAUACGCCUCCAACGUAUCUAUAAUUUUUGAUUGUUCCAUGCUAUUAUAUUAUCUAUUUUGGAUGUUUUAUAUGCAUUAGUAUGCUAUUUUAUAUUAUUUUUCGGAUUAACCUAUUAACCUAGAGCCCAGUGCCAGUUUCUGUUUUUUUUUCUUGUUUUUGAGUUUUACAGAAAAGGAAUAUCAAACGGAGUCCAAACGAGCUGAAAAUUUAUGGUGAUUUUUUAUGGAUCAGAAGAAGCCCACAUAGCAUCGGAGUGGGGCCAGAAGAGUCCCGAGGCAACCAUAAGGGUAGGGGGCGCCCCCCCUCACUUGCGGUCCCUCGGUAACCCCCCUGAUGUGAGACCGAUGCCAACAAUUCCUAUAAAUCACGAAACCUCCAGAAAGAAACCUAGAUCGGAAGUUCCACCGCCGCAAGCCUCUGUAGCCACGAAAACCAAUCGGGAGCCCGUUUUGGCACUCUGCCAGAGGGGGAAACCAUCACCGGAGGCCAUCUUCAUCAUCUCGGCGGCCACCAUGACGAGGAGGGAGUAGUUCACCCUCAGGGCUGAGGGUAUGUACGAGUAGCUAUGUGUUUGAUCUCUCUCUCUCUCUCUCUCUAUCUCUCUCUCUCUCUCUCGUGUUCUUGAUUUGGCAUGAUCUUGAUGUACUGCGAGCUUUGUUACUAUAGUUGGAUCAUAUGGUGUUUCUUUCCCUAUAUCUUCUUGUGAUGAAUUGAGUUUUACCUUUGAGGUUUCACUAUUAUCGGAUUGAAUACUACUAUGGAUUUGAGAACACUUGAUGUAUGUCUUGCGUGGGAUACCCAUGGUGACCAUGGGGUGUUCUAUUAAUUCACUUGGUGUAUGUUUUGGUACUCAACUCGCGGAUGCCCGAGGUGACGUUGGGGUAAUCUAUGCAUAGGGGUUGAUGCACGUUUUCAUCAUUAUUUCUCUGGUAGAAAUCUUGGGGCACUCUUUGAGGUUCUUUGUGUUGGAUUGAAUAUUAUGAAUCUGAAGUUGUUUGGUGCAUAUCGUAUAAUUGACCCACGGAUACUUGUGGUGACAUUGGAGUAUCUAGGUGACAUUAGGGUUGGUUGAUGUGUAUCAUAUGGUGUUAAUUUACUACAAACUCUAGGGCUGUUUGUGACACUUAUAGGAAUAGCUCAAUGGAUUGAUCGGACAGAAUAACUUUGAGGUGGUUUCGUACCCUAUAAGCAAUUUCAUCUUAUGUUCUUCGCGAUAGGAACUUUUGAGUGACUCGUUGUCGCAUGUUGAGGGAUUGCCAUAUGAUCUAAUUAUGUUAUCAUUGUUGAGAGAACUUGCACUAGUGAAAGUAUGAACCUGUAACGCCCACAAUGCGGCUAUAUCUCCCACGUGUCGAGGCACGACUUAGAGCAUAACCGCAUGGUGGUUUAGUCGCAGGUGGGGUAAUCUUCACACAAUCCCAUGUACUAAAUAAGAAAGGGAUAAAGAGUUGGCUUACAAUCACCACUUCACACAGAUAACAAGUUAAACAUACAUCAUCCAGAUUACAAUCAAGGUCCGACUAUGGAACCAAAAUAAAAGAAGACAACCCCAAAUGCUAGAUCCCCGAUCGUCCCAACAGGGCUCCACUACUGAUCAACCGGAAAAGACACAUAACAACGACCGAGAUCUUCAUCGAGCUUCCACUUGAGUUCAGUUGCGUCACCUGCACUGGUAUCAUCGGCACCUGCAACUGUUUGGAAGUAUCUGUGAGUCACGAGGACUCAGCAAUCUCACACCCGCGAGAUCAAGACUAUUUAAGCUUAUGGGCAGGAUAAGGUAAUGAGGUGGAGCUGCAGAAAGCACUAAGCAUAUGUGGUGGCUAACAUACGCAAAUAAGAGCGAGAAGAGAAGCAACGCAACGGUCAAGAAGCUAGAAGCGAUCAGGAAGUGAUCCUGAAACUACUAACGUUCAAGCAUAACACAAGACCGUGUUCACUUCCCGGACUCCGCUGAAAAGAGACCAUCAUGGCUACACACACGGUUGAUUCAUUUUAAUUAAGUCAAGUGUCAAGUUAUCUACAACUGGAUAUUAACAAAUUCCCAUGUGCCACAUAACCGCGGGCACGGCUCUCGAAAGUUUAUACCCUACAGGGGUGUCCCUACUUAGCCCAUCACAAGCUCUCACGGUCAACAAAGGAUAUUCCUUCUCUCGGAACGACCCAAUCAGUCUCGGAAUCCCGGUUACAAGACAUUUCGACAAUGGUAAAACAAGACCAGCAAAGCCACCUGAUGUGCUGACAAUCCCUAUAGGAGUCGCACGUAUCUCGUUCUCAGGGAAACACCGGAUGAGACAAGCUACGAGUAAAAACCAGCCCUCGAGUUUCCCCGAGGUGGCCCCGUAGGCGGCUCGGUUCGGACCAAAACUUAGAGAAGCACUGGCCCGGGGGGGGGGGGUUAAAAUAAAGAUGACCCUCGGGUCUGCAGAACCCAAGGGAAGGUGAUAGGUUGUUAGGAAAAUGGUAAAACCAAGGUUGGGCCUUGCUGGAGGAGUUUUAUUCAAAGCAAACUGUCAAGGGGUUCCCAUAACACCCAACCACGUAAGGAACACAAAAUCAAGGAACAUAACACCAGUAUGACAGAAACUAGGGCGGCAAGAGUGGAACAAAACACCAGGCAUAAGGCCGAGCCUUCCACCCUUUACCAAGUAUAUAGAUGCAUUAAUUAAAAUAAGAGAUAAUGUGAUAUCCCAACAUAUCCAUGUUCCAACAUGGAACAAACUUCAACUUCACCUGCAACUAGCAAGGCUAUAAGAGGGGCUGAGCAAAGCGGUAACAUAGCCAAAUAACGGUUUGCUAGGAAGGUGGGUUAGAGGCUUGACAUGGCAAUAUGGGAGGCAUGAUAAACAAGUAGUAGGUAGCGCGACAUAGUGAUAGAGUGAACAACUAGCAAGCUAAGAUAGAAGUGAUUUUGAGGGUAUGGUCAUCUUGCCCGAGAUCCCGCAAGAAUGAAUAAUGAGUCCAUGAAGAAGACACACGGACGUAGUCGAACGGAUCCUCACAACUCCAGAACGGAACUGAAGCUAACGAGAGAAACAAACCGGAAAGAAGCAAGCAACAUAGUAAACAACCAUCACAUAAACAUGGCAUGAUGCACAAUCAAGUAUGAUGCAUGUCCAGUUUAAAGAGGCAUGGCAUGGCAAUAUGCAACAAACAAUACUACAAAUUAAGUGGAGCUCAAUAUGCAAUGAGUUGCAUAUUGACGAAGCACCACAUUCGGUUAUUUAGUUCACUCCCAGUUAUGUACUCAACAAUAUUAAAUGUUAUUAAACAUGGCAAGGGGUGAAGCAAAUGAAAACUACUUAUCUAGGCAAGUUUAAAUGAGGCCGGAAACAUCAAACAACAAUUCCGGUAAACCCUCAUGUGCAUUUAGCAAUUUUAAUGCAAACAACAAUUUUAACCAUUUUAAAUGUUGUUAUCAUGAUGCAGAUGAUAUAUGCAAGUUGAAUGCAAUAUUUAUGAAAAUGUUGAUAUGAACAUAUUAUGAAGCAUUUGUCAUCGUGGCGGAAACGAAAGGGGUGCCAUGACAACGACAACGGAAAUGGUGCCACGACAACAUUCCGGUUCCGAUAACUCGAUUGAGAUGCUGGUGCAAAAGGAAGUGUGACGGGAGCAUGUCAUGAUGAACAGUGGGGUGCUCCCAGAUACCGGGUUCCCACGGGUCGACGACAGUGCCAAGCGAGGGAAACAACUAACGUUCACGGGAGGAUACAACAUCCAAACAUGCAUCUCAUACAACACAUGCAUUUGUUCUCGGGACAGUCGUAGUGGAAGUAGUCGUUCUCGCUUCGUAGUUGUAGACACUCUGUAGGUGUUCGGGGUCACAACGAGGAACUUGACGUCCACGGGGUCUUCGAGAGUUGACGGUAGUGGUACUCGGUCGUUUCGAAGAGGUACUUGGGGUCUUCGAACUUGUCGGACUUGUCAACUCGAAGGGGGUACUUGGCAUUUCUGCUACCCGGGUCGUCGGCGACGGUAGUUGUUCUAUGCAUCGGGCGUCAAGGUACUUGUCGGGUUCGGUCUUGGCGUGCAAACGAGGAUCACAGAUGCAUGGGGUGCAAGUUGUGCCAAGGUGGUAUUUGGCGGCUGCGUCUUUGCGUUUCAACGACAGUAGGGCUCAAGGUUGCACAGCCAAGUCAAGCAGCAGCACAAGUCAGCAUCAGGUAGAGCCAUGGCAGCAUGGAGCAUCUCAGAUGGCGAGCUCGGGGUGCUCGGGGCUGUGCGCCAAGGCAACAAGGACGAGGCACGUCAGGGCCACAGGGCGGAAGGUGCAUAGGCGAGGAUGAAGCAGAGAGAUUGCCGGGGUGCCUUGGCGCAACAGAGGCAGAGCAGAGAAGUGCAGCGGCGACGCGCUUGCUGGACUGAGCAGGGGCGACAGAGCGGAGCAGAGCAGCAACGCUCAUGCUCAGCGGUGGGGCGGCAACUUCGCGGCGGGCGACCUUGCAGGAGAGGGAGGCACGUGGGAGGAGGGAGGCGCAUGCAUGGUCGCGUGCGCAGGGCGGCGGCCUGUUGGAGAGGAAGCAGGAGCAGAGGGGCAGCGGAGCAGUGGGUCUUGGUGGCGGGUCGAGGAGGUGGGUAGCAGGCCAGCAGAAGAGCAACUCUGGCGCUCGAGGUCGAGCUCGCGCGCGAGGGGAAAGGGUGAGUGCUUGGGGCUCCUCCCUGGCGCGAGGAGGAAGAUGAGGGAGAGUGGGGGUCGAGGGAGCGCUGGAGGGAGAUGGGGAUCGGGAUCCUCUCCUGGUGGCGCUGGUGGGAACGAGAGGGAGAGGACGAGGGGAUCGUUCGGGGCUAGGGUUAGCAGCGGCUGGGCCUAUGGGCCAGCGCGGGAGGAGGUCCAAGAGGCCAGCGGGGAUGGAUUGGGCCUAGAGAGGCAUGUUGGCUAUGCUCUCUCUCCCUCACCCCUCUUUAUCUUUAACCGAAAAACAAAUAAAGAGAAGAAAAAGAAAGAGGGGGUUAGGGAAAGAAGUUGAACAUGCGGAUAAUUUUCCCGGACUCACAAAAAUGUGCUUGUUCCGAGAAAAUAUAAAAGGCCAUGAUAGAAAGAUUUAAAUGCAAACUCAUUUGAUUUAAAUUCAAAUGAUUUGAAUAGGAAGUGAGGUUUGGGAACGUCCAAAAAUGUUCGGAUUUUUGGUGGAGCUCCGAAAUAUGAUGAAAGAAUAUAUGGCAAGGUUGGAGACCAAGAAUUAAGAUAACAAAGGCAUUGGGAUAAUUUGCAAGUGUGUUAUGGUGAAUUCCAAAUUAAAGGAAUAUUUAACAUAGCUCCCUAAUAUUGGGAGGAUAUGUUAUAAAGAGAAUCACCAUGUGAAUUCCCUCGGUUUAAAUGGACCGAAGAUCCAUGCAAUUUAUUUAGUUGAGUUUACAAAAUUAAACAACAUGAUGGCAUGAUGACAUGAUGCAAUUCAAAAUAAAUAAAUCGAGCAAGCUCAAAUGAAACCCACGAAGGUCACGAAAAAUAUGGAAGUCUUCUAGAGCGUCGGUCUUGGGGCGUCACAACACUCCACCACUACAAGAGGAUCUCGUCCCGAGACCUAGGAUGGCACCAGAGAGAAAACGGAAGAGGAAGAGAAGAGGUAAACCUAUGUUGCUUCUUUGACAAAUGAGGGAAACCAAAGAACCUUGCGAGGUUGAACAAAUUGAAAGAAAGAAUAUGACGAAGAUGAACAAAGUUGAAAAGACUCAGUUAGAAAAGAUGAACAAGGAACCUUACUAGAACCUUGUAGGUUGAAAGACAUAAGAAAAAAGGUUGCAAUGGACAAGAAGUACAUGCAAGCACUCCGGUAGAAACGAGAUUUACAAGGAACGAUAAAGAUCAAUUACGACAACACUCCGGUUGGAAAUGGAAGGUAAAGAAUAUGGGCUUGGCAAAAUGAAAGCAUUUGGAUGAGAGUCUGGUUAGAAGAGGAAUGAUAGACACAACACUACGGUUAAAACAAGAUAGAGAAGGAAUAAUAAUGAUAUAAUUUGGGCAUCACUCUGAUUGAAAUGGAGGAAUUAUAAUCAUGAACUUGGGAAGAUUGGAUGAUACUUGACGAAAUCAACAACACACUGCCUCCAGAACUACUGAAAGAAUGGCACAAUGGGUAAGAAAGAUUUCAGAUAGCACUCCGGUUCAAUGGAUAAGCAUGAAAAGAACAUGGUCCUCACAAUUCAAGAUGAUGAGUGAAGAGAGCAACAUCACAAUGCCUCCAGAAGAAAGAAUAGAAUAUAGAUCAUUGGAAUGACAGAAUGGAGAAGAAAAUGCCAACUUCUACCACAAAAUAGCUUGGAGAGCACCCUUCCAAGAAAGUUAUAACGGAAUUGUUGGAAAACCAACAACAAAAUGAAUAAGCUUGUAGUGGGCUUAUGGAAAACAUCUCAAAAUUAUGAGGUGAAAUUCUGCCACUAACGGAAACAAUAGAUUGGAUUGAUAUCAACAAGGAGACUAGAAACUUAUUUCACGGGGAGGAUAAAUGAAGAACUUGGGUCAUUUAUGAGCACCAUAGAUAGCAACAAUCCUUAGGGAAAGCUUUAGGUGAAAUAUAACCCAAGAUAAUUUGAAUGAAGAGAUUGAUGGGUUGCAAAGGCUCUCAUGAAUGAAUUGAAAAUGAUGAGUUUACAAUAUGUCAAUCCGGACAACUUGUGAAUCAUGAAACACAAAGCAAUUGCCAAAAAUGACAUAACACCACCUCGAAAGAUAAGGUAGAACGAAUUGUACUUCGGAAUGCAAGAUGAAGAAUACUUGAGCUCCUCUGAAAAGAAUCUCGAUGAACACUUCGAGAAGGAAUUAAAUCCUUGAUGAACCACCAUGUAGAGCCCCCAUGAAGAACUCCGGUAAUAAAAGGAUGAUAAAAUGGAAGAGAAGUUGAGAACAGAAGGUGAAGCCUUGCGAUGAUUUAGAUGGAGCUUCGCGACGAGAUAAUGCGGAAAACCUGGAACUCCGAAAAAGAAAUAUGAACAACUAGAAACUGAGAAUUGAUAUCAUGAACGAACUCCAUAAGAAAGAAUUAAACACUUGGAUGAAGAAAUAAUAAGAAUUAUGUUAUGCGCAUCCUUCACCAAUUUAGAUUGGUGACAAGCAACGGAUUUGGCAUACUACUUAUUCUCGUUGAAAAGAUUAAGAGAGAUAUAGCGUAAACUUGAGAAGUCUUCAACGAACCACCGGUAGGACUAAGAGAGAACAAAUGAACUGAUAAGAUAGCAAAGGAAGAGGAAUCUUGAAUGAACCACCGUAAGGAUUGAAAGUGAUUGAAGACAAGAGCACGAAUCACCGGGAAGAAUUAGAAAACGAACGAAGAUACUUGAGGAAAUUUGAUACAAGUGAACAAAGAGAUCCCGAGCUGAUUAGAGAAUACUUGAACGAUGCACUGUUAAGAUUUGGAGAACAAGAGCUGAAAGCUAGAAUGAAUAAUUCUAAGAUGAUGGCUCCGGAGAAUCAAACUGAAAAGACUCCUAAAUUGCUCCAGAAGGGUAAAAAGAAUGCUCAUAAUAGAAAACAAUUAUGAGGGGAAUGCAUCAAGCUAGAACUUCACAUCUUUGGAAGAACGGGUGAGGAUUUAAGAGGAACUCCUCUUCGGUCUUCAAAUGUUGAUAAUGAUGAUGAGAAACACCACCUUGAAUUGUUGAGGCACUCCGGAAUGGAAAUUAGAAAGGUUGAAUCAAUGAUUAAAAGCAUGUGAAAGAUCUUGGAGAAGGCAUUUGACUGAUGAUAACUCAUUCUUACGUCAAACUUGGAAAAGAAUUUGAGAGUAACUCCGGGAAGAUUAGAAGAGUCAGGUAAGAUCUUGGGAAAAGACCCGUGGGUUAGGGCCCAUUCAAAAGAAACACCGUUGAAAUGAUUUAAAAGAGAGAUUGUGCCGGUUGAAUUAAAUGGCUUGAAUGAGAUAACAAUCUCGAAAGAGCUUGAACGAAUACAGAGUGGAAACACGAAUCUUCGAGAUUUCUUCAGCACUUCAAAUAUGAAUAGAGAGAGGUGAAUAAAUAAGAGAGCUUUGGAUAUGAAAUUCACAUAGGAAAAUGUGUGAAACAAAAGGAAGAGAUAUGAUCAACACCGAUGCUUGAAAUUAAUCCGCCGGAGAAGAAAAUGAGUGAGAGUGACGAACUUGAAGCUCCCUUAGCAUCUUCCUGAGAAUCACCGGAUAAGAACAUUGACGGAAAAGAAUGGAGAGAUUUCUCAUCGAUACAAUGAUACUCGAUUAAGAAAUCUGAGUCCUUGAAGAAAAGGGUGGGAGGGCGGGAAAACAAAGGCAACUUGGGACGGAUGGAAUGGAUACCGUUGAGAAAACUGAGAUUGGAUCUUGCAAAUGGGAAAAAUGAUAGGAUCAUCUUGAAGAGAAAUACACCGGUAGAAAAGAAUUAACAUGACCAUCUCGAUGAUCGAAAGGAUUAGUAUUCACAUAGAAAUAUGAGAACACCGCUUGGAAAAGGCAUGGAAUCAACACUUGACAUUGAAGCAACUCGAAUACCACAACUAAAAACAAAACAAAGAUUUUGGCUUGCAGAAUAAGCCGGAACAAAUACAUAUGAUAAAGAUUUACCCAAUCCCAUAUCAUGCAUCUGUCAGAAAGAUAUUCUAGGAGCUACUUGAAUUCCCACCAAUAAACUCCGAAACUUUCUGGAUAUGCAAUCAGGUGUUAGGGAUUCAGGGGAAGCAUAAUAUCUCACCCAAACUAACAAUCGCUACAUCCAGCUGUAUCCAUCCUUCAACACAUAACCAAGAAAUCUUCGGAAAUCGUGUACCUCAACCUUCAAAAAGCAUCCGUUAUACGAGUUAUGGCAAUACUCCCGAACUCCCGCCCCAGUACUGGGUGGCGUCAAGGUUAUCUCACCAACAAUUGCAAGAGAUUUUCGAUGUCGGCGAAACUCAGGUAUUCCAGAAUUGCAACGAUAAAAUUGUGACGACAACACCUCGGAGCUCAACCCCUCGGGACACUGCCACAACCCCUAAAUGUCAGGAGGCAGCAAGAACAAUGUUCUCGUCACAAGAAUAUCGAAACGAUUCCAAGAUACCCGCGUGAUCCUAAUUUUUUUGUGAAAUUUGAAGAGAGAAAAGUCAAAACUUCUACGUCAGAAGGCCUCACCAGAGCGACGAAGGGACUGAGGAGUAAAAGUAAUCCUACUCUCUUAUAUAUAUAAUCCUAAGACUCAAAACAUUUUGUUCUAGACUCGACAACGUCAAUGAUUCGAUCAAACAGGGGACUCCUGAGUCGGGGAUGGCUCUAAUUACCAACUUGUAACGCCCACGAUGCGGCUAUAUCUCCCAUGUGUCGAGGCACGACUUAGAGGCAUAACUGCAUGGUGGUUUAGUCGCAAGUGGUGUAAUCUUUUCACAAUCCCAUGUACUGAAUAAGAAAGGGAUAAAGAGUUGGCUUACAAUCGCCACUUCACACAAAUAACAAGUUAAACAUACAUCAUCUAGGUUACAAUCAAGGUCCAACUACCGAACCAAAAUAAAAGAAGACAACCCCAAAUGCUAGAUCCCCGAUCGUCCCAACUAGGCUCCACUAAUGAUCAACCGGAAAAGACACAUAACAACAACCAAGAUCUUCAUCGAGCUCCCACUUGAGCUCAGUUGCGUCACCCGCACUGGUAUCAUCGACACCUGCAACAGUUUGGAAGUAUCUGUGAGUCACGAGGACUCAGCAAUCUCACACCCACGAGAUCAAGACUAUUUAAGCUUAUGGGUAGGAUAAGGUAAUGAGGUGGAGCUACAAUAAGCACUAAGCAUAUGUGGUGGCUAACAUACGCAAAUAAGAGCGAGAAGAGAAGCAACGCAACGGUCGAGAAGCUAGAACUGAUCAAGAAGUGAUCCUGAAACUACUUAUGUUCAAGCAUAACACAAGACCGUGUUCACUUCCCGGACUCCGCCGAAAAGAGACCAUCACGGCUACACACGCGGUUGAUUCAUUUUAAUUAAGUCAAGUGUCAAGUUAUCUACAACCGGAUAUUAACAAAUUCCCAUAUGCCACAUAACCAUGGGCACGACUCUCGAAAGUUUAUACCCUGCAGGGGUGUCCCAACUUAGCCCAUCACAAGCUCUCACAGUCAACGAAGGAUAUUCCUUCUCCUGGAAAGACCCGAUCAGUCUUGUAAUCCCGUUACAAGACAUUUCGACAAUGGUAAAACAAGACCAGCAAAGCCACCCGAUGUGCCGACAAUCUCGAUAGGAGUCGCACGUAUCUCGUUCUCAGGGCAACACCGGAUGAGACAAGCUACGAGUAAAAACCAGCCCUCGAGUUUCCCCGAGGUGGCCCCGCAGGCGGCUCAGUUCGGUNNNNNNNNNNNNNNNNNNNNNNNNNNNNNNNNNNNNNNNNNNNNNNNNNNNNNNNNNNNNNNNNNNNNNNNNNNNNNNNNNNNNNNNNNNNNNNNNNNNNNNNNNNNNNNNNNNNNNNNNNNNNNNNNNNNNNNNNNNNNNNNNNNNNNNNNNNNNNNNNNNNNNNNNNNNNNNNNNNNNNNNNNNNNNNNNNNNNNNNNNNNNNNNNNNNNNNNNNNNNNAAAAUAAAGAUGACCCUCAGGUCUGUAGAACCCAAGGGAAGGUGACAGGUUGUUAGGAAAAUGGUAAAACCAAGGUUGGGCCUUGCUGGAGGAGUUUUAUUCGAAGCGAACUUUCAAGGGGUUCCCAUAACACCCAACCACGUAAGGAACGCAAAAUGAAGGAACAUAACACCGGUAUGACGGAAACUAGGGCGGCAAGAGUGGAACAAAACACCAGGCAUAAGGCCGAGCCUUCCACCCUUUACCAAGUAUAUAGAUGCAUUAAUUAAAAUAAGAGAUAAUGUGCUAUCCCAACAUAUCCAUGUUCCAAUAUGGAACAAACUUCAACUUCACCUGCAACUAGCAACACUAUAAGAGGGGCUGAGCAAAGCGGUAACAUAGCCAAACAACGGUUUGCUAGGAAGGUGGGUUAGAGGCUUGACAUGACAAUAUGGGAGGCAUGAUAAACAAGUGGUAGGUAGCGCGACAUAGCGAUAGAGCGAACAACUAGUAAGCAAAGAUAGAAAUGAUUUUGAGAGUAUGGUCAUCUUGCCUGAGAUCCCGUAAGAAAGAAGAACGAGUCCAUGAAGAAGACAAACAGAUGUAGUCAAACGGAUCCUCACAACUCCGGAACGGAACCGAAGCUAACGAUAAAAACAAACCGGAAAGAGCAAGCAACAUAGUAAACAACCAUCACAUAAACAUGGCAUGAUGCACAAUCAAGUAUGAUGCAUGUACGGCUUAAAGAGGCAGGGCAUGGGAAUAUGCAACAAACAAUACUACAAAUUAAGUGGAGCUCAAUAUGCAACGAGUUGCAUAUUGACGAAGCACCACAUUCGUUUAUUUAGUUCACUCCCGGUUAUGUACUCAACAAUAUUAAAUGUUAUUAAACAUGGGAAGGGGUGAAGCAUAUGAAAACUACUUAUCUAGGCAAGUUUAAAUGAGGACGGAAACAUCAAACAACAAUUCCGGUAAACCCUCACGUGCAUUUAGCAAUUUUAAUGCAAACAACAAUUUUAACCAUUUUAAAUGUUGUUAUCAUGAUGCGGAUGAUAUAUGCAAGUUGGAUGCAAUAUUUAUGAAAUGUUGAUAUGAACAUAUUAUGAAUCAUUUGUCAUUGUGGUGGAAACGAAAGGGGUGCCACGGCAACAACAAUGGAAAUGGUGCCACGGGAACAUUCCGGUUCCGGUAACUCGAUUGAGAUGCCGGUGCAAAAGGAAGUGUGACAGGAGCGUGUCAUGAUGAACGGUGGGGUGCUCCCGGAUACCGGGUUCCCACGGGACGACAGUGCCAAGUGAGGGAAACAACUAACGUUCACGGGGGGAUACAACAUCCAAACUUGCAUCUCAUACAACACAUGCAUUCGUUCACGGGCGGUCGUCUUGGGUUAUACCUUCAAAGCGUGCAAACAGGACGGUUCGGGUUCGGUGCAAUGUAGGGGAAGUAGGUGUUCUCGGGAUGGUCGUGGUGGAAGUAGUCAUUCUCGCGUCAUAGUUGUAUGCACUCCAUAGGUGUUCGGGGUCACAACGAGGAACUUGACGUCCACGGGGUCUUCGAGGGUCAACGGUAGUGGUACUCGUUCGUUUCGAAGAGGUACUUGGGGUCUUCGAACUUGUCGGAGUCGUCAACUCGAAGGGGGUACUUGGCAUUUCUGCUACUUGGGUCGUUGGCGACGGUAGUUGUUCUAUGCAUCGGGCGUCAAGAUACUUGUCGGGUUUGGUCUUGGCAUGCGAACAAGGAUCACAGAUGCAUGGGGUGUAAGUUGUGCCAAGGUGGUAUUUGGCAGCGAGCGUAGAGGCCUCGGGGUUGCGUCUUUGCGUUUCAAUGACAGUAGGCCUCAAGGUUGCACAAUCAAGUCAAGCAGCAUCACGAAUCAGCAUCAGGUAGAGCCAUGGUAGCACGGAGCAUCCCAGAUGGCGAGCUCGGGGUGCUCGGGGCUUUGCGGCAAGGUGAUGAGGACGAGGCACGUCGGGGCCGCAGGGCGGAAGGUGCAUAGGCAAGGAUGAAGUAGAGAGGUUGCCGGGGUGCCUUGGCGCAACAGAGGCGGAGUAGAGGAGGGCAACGAUGGCGUGCUUGCUGGACGGAGCAGGGGCGGCAGAGCGGAGCAGAUCAGCAACGCUCGUGCUCAACGGCGGGGCGGCGACUUUGCGGCGGGCGGCCUUGCAGGAGAGGGAUGCACGCGGGAGGAGUGAGGCGCAGGCGUGGUCGCGGCGUAGGGCGGCAGCCUGCUGGAGAGGAAGCAGGAGUAGAGGGGCGGCGGAGCAACGUGUCCUGGUGGCGGGUCGAGGAGGUGGGUAGCAGGCCAGCGGAAGAGCAACUCUGGCACUCGAGGUCGAGCUCGUGCACGAGGGGAAAGGAUGAGUGCUCGGGGCUCCUCCCUAGCGUGAGGAGGAAGACGAGGGAGAGUGGGGGUCGAGGGAGCGCUGGAGGGGGAUGGGGAUCAAGAUCCUCUCCUGGCGGCGCUGGUGGGAACGAGAGGGAUAGGACGAGGGGAUCGUUCGGGGCUAGGGUUAGCAGCGGCUGGGCCUAUGGGCCGGCGCGGGAGGAGGUCCAUGAGGCCAGCGGGGAUGGAUUGGGCCUAGAGAGGCCUGCUGGCUAUGCUCUCUCUCCCUCACCCCUCUUUAUCUUUAACCAAAGAACAAAUAAAGAGAAUAAAAAGAAAGAGGGGGUUAGGGAAAGAAGUUGAACACGCGGAUAAUUUUCCCGGACUCACAAAAAUGUGCUUGUUCCGAGAAAAUAUGAAAGGCCAUGAUAGAAAGAUUUAAAUACAAACUCAUUUGAUUUAAAUUCAAAUGAUUUGAAUAGGAAGUGAGGGUUGGGAAGGUCCAAAAAUGUUCGGAUUUUUGGUGGAGCUCCAGAAUAUGAUGAAAGAAUAUAUGGCAAGGUUGGAGACCAAGAAUUAAGAUAACAAAGGCAUUGGGAUAAUUUGCAAAUGUGUUAUGGUGAAUUCCAAAUUAAAGGAAUAUUUAAUAUAGCUCCCUAAUAUUGGGAGGAUAUGUUAUAAAGAGAAUCACCAUGUGAAUUCCCUCAGUUUAAAUGGACUAAAGAUCCAUGCAAUUUAUUUAGUUGAGUUUACAAAAUUAAAUGACAUGAUGGCAUGAUGACAUGAUGCAAUGCAAAAUAAAUAAAUCGAGCAAGCACAAAUGAAACCCACGAAGGUCAUGAAAAAUAUGGAAGUCUUCUGGAGCGCCGGUCUUGGGGUGUCACAGAACCCUAGGCCUUGUUUCGAAGCAUUGCAAUACCGUUUUUGCUCAAUUUUACUACUAGUUACCUUGCUAUUUUUAUAUUUUCAGAUUACAAAAACCUAUAUCUACCAUCCAUAUUACACUUGUAUCACCAUCUCUUCACCGAACUAGUGCACCUAUACAAUUUACCGUUGUAUUGGGUGUGUUGGGGACACAAGAGACUCUUUUUUAUUUGGUUGUAGGGUUGUUUGAGAGAGACCAUCUUCAUCCUACGCCUCCCAUGGAUUGAUAAACCUCAGGUCAUCUACUUGAGGGAAAUUUGCUACUGUCCUACAAAAGUCUGCGCUUGGAGGCCCAACACGAGUCUACAAGAACAAGGUUGCAUAGUAGACAUUAAUCCACAGGGCAUAUGGCUUCAGUGAUUGCGGGCUGUCAGCAGCGUAGGCCAAAUCUAGAACAUCGAACCGAAUUCCUUGGGAGCUGGUCAAAAGAGCAUUUCCCACGACGCCAUUGAUAGAAUUUGGUCUGUUCGUUGGCGUGAGAGAAUUGCAUAGGAUAUGAAACAUUACUUUGUUAUCAUAGGCCAACUUCUUAGGAUGUACAUCAACACAUUCAUCUACAACCAAAUUGGGAUCAAUCAACACGUGAAGUUGUUCUUCAGACACUUCCCAAUAAUGUAGCUUGUGUUCUCGAUAUUUUUCAAACUUGCACCAAGGAAGAUUCAGCAUAGCCAAAACCGAUCUGCCGAGCAUUUGAUCUUUUCCCUUCUAGUCAUCCACUCGAGGAUCCAUGUUGAGCUAUCUCCAAGCUCUCCCGAGAUGUACAGACUAGCAUAGAACCGACGGAUUACCUCUUGAUUCCAGCAAUGAUUGAAGCGCAUAAAACCUUUCAGUAGGGCAUGUUCAAUAUGCUCUAUGGCAUGGUGAAAAUAGGGUAUUUCUUCGAGGUCUGUGAUGUUUAAUAUCUUGUGAUUGAAAAUCCUAUUCUUGCCAAACAAGGUCCGAGCAUAAUACAGAACUUAUUCUUCUGUCCAAAACCUGGGUGACAGUGAAGUUCUCUCCCCCUCAUACGGGUUGGUCCCAAAGAAUGCUAGCUUCGAAAGAUGAAGCUGCUCAUUCAAUGCAGGAUCAUUUGGGCCAUAUCCAGCAGGGAACAAGGGAAAUGUUUCCUGGGGAUUUUUUAGAUCUUCUUCGUCACUUAUUUCCAUGGCCCAAAUAUCAUCAGAUGCUGGCACAUUUUCAUUGAUGGGCUUAAGUGGAGCAACGGGCCUUUUCAUCUUCACUGGCGCUGAUGGCAUUGAGGCACUAGUCUGACCUUCAUUUUCCUUCGCUGGAACUCCUUCAGCGGCUUUCUGACUAUCAGGCACUAGGGCCUUUUCUUUCGGUGCAUUAUCAAAAGAGGGAGGUACAACAACCUCCUCGGACGGCUAGGACACAACUACUUUUUCGGUUUCCUAGGGUACAACUUGUCGUGAGCCAUGGGCUCUUUAGCUUUCCUUUCUUCGUGUUCUUGCUGCGAAGCAGUAGAAUAAGGAGCAGGAUCAACCUCCAUCUGGGUAGGGGCACUAGAUGAGGUGACCGGGGUGGUAUUUCCUUAGGAAGCAUUUAGCUCCUCCUCAACUUUGUCAUCCUCCUUGUUGGAUCUGGAGGGCUCAACUUGCAUUUCUUUCAGAGGCAAUGAAACUGCCUGCUCAACCUCAAUCUCUUCAUCAUUUUUCUCUUCUGGGGCUUGCUGCUCGGGCACGACAUUUUAUUCGUCGGUCUUGUUCAAAAAGAUAUCCACCACAUCAGUUUCUUGAGCAAUUGAAGUAGGAAUGAUAACUACUGCAGGCCCGGCUUGCUGCAUGGGAUCAGCCUCGUGAAGACGGGGCGAUGGUAUUUGCCGCAGAGGAGCGCUCGAGUCAAUGGGAGCAUUAAUUGCAACAUUCUGAAUACAUCAAUCUUUGAUAGCCUUUGGUUUGCUGGCUCUUGCCUUUGCUUUCUGACACUUUUCUUCCUGUAUUCUUCGUCGAGCAAGAUCUGCUUGCUGCUUAAUCUCAUAAUUUCUUCAGUCACACAGUUGAGAAACUCCCAUCUUCAGCCGUGAGUGCCACUCAAUCUUAUUGUUCCUCAUGGUACUGAGAACUUUUGUGAGCUCAAGAAUUUUCUUGUUCAGGCUCUUCCUUUCAGAUUCAGUACUGGCAUCUCUCCUCAUUUGCUCGAGGGUUUUCUUCUCCUCAACAGCUUGGUUUAGCUCCUUGGUGAUCUCUCCCAGCUGAGAGAAUUUUUUUGCUAUCAACUUGGUAACAUCAUCAGGAAGGCCCAAACUACUCAAAUCAGCUAAUUUUGCAUUGUAGGCAGCACUUUCAAUGAGAUCAAUCAUAAGAUCGAAGUCGUACUUCUGUUCCUCUAUGGAAGCAGGAACACUGGAUUUUGCUUUCUUGACAGAAGUAGAAGCUCUUUCUUCGGGCAACAACUUUCUUUUUACAGACGGGGCAGCAAAGUCCGAAGGUUUGUCCGAGACUAGAGCAGGUGCAAGCCUUGGUGACAUUCUCAACGGAGGUGAAACUUUUGCUGGUGAGGGAGUUUGGUAUGUGUUGGGGAUAUAACUACUGAGUAUAAACUGCCCAGGAGGGGCCGGGUUAUACCCAUAAGGAGUUAUCCAUAUUGAAGCCCAUGAAGACAAGGAGCAUGGCGCUUUACUAUAGGAGAUCUAAAGGCCCAGGGCCCAAAGGCCGAUUAGGGCCCGUAGACAUAAACCGCCAUAAGGUGUGUAACUUGUGUUGUAAGAUAGGAAAGGAUAGAGACCAAGCCGGACACGUCUAUGCGUCGACCGGGAUUUUGUAAACCACUGGGCGUCAACCUGUGUAUAUAAAGGGACGACCCGGCGAUGGUUUAGGGACAGGAGACAACAACUCGAGAGUCAGGCAAAUCAGACUCGCUCCCUGGUCAUCAAAACCCUACCAAUCCCAUCAUAACUGGAGUAGGCUUCACUUUCACCACAAGGGGCCGAACAAGUAUAAUUCCUUGCGUCCUUUGUCCGCUUUAACCCCUUUAAGCUAACUACAUUGCGAUGGCUCCACGACUAAGUCCUCACACUAGGACAUCUGCCAUGACAACCCCACAACAGUUAGCGCCCACCGUGGGGCUAUCGCAUGAUGGUUGCAAGUUCUUAGAGGGCAGCUUCGAAGGGCUCAAGGGAUACGUUGUGGGACGGAUGACCAAGAGUCGUCGCGGCAAGCUCUACAUCGACGAUGAAGGCUGGGGCCCCGAGGCUGGUUCAAUUGAGUAUGGGUAUCGGGUCCCCUUCGGCGGUAUUUAUGUCUUCAUUGGCAAGAUCGGUGAACCGGGCCCUGAGCCGGACAUCAGCACCGACAUCGCCGAAACGGCUCAGCGUGCGAGAUCUGCCCGGGUUUAGCCUGCCAUGAAGCAUGCCUUCGUGGGAGUCAUCCAUGAAGUGGAAUCUGAGGAUAGAUCGGUAUCUGGUGGUGAAACCGUCAUUUAUUCUGAUGACGAGUCAUCUAUCGGACAGACCGAGUCAUUGUACCAACUGUAGGAUGGCCGGUUUGGGGGUUGUUCCGAUGGCGACAGUAUUCCGGACCCCCUUGAUCCGCCGAGCCGAGUUGCGAUCUUCAUGGCCGGUACACAGUCAGCGUAGCAUUCUUCAACCGCAAUAGCAAUAAUCUUCGGUUCAGCAGCAACAAUAAUUCUCCACCGCCGGCUCAGGUUUUGUCCGAUUUGUUCGACGCUUUGGCAACACUGCUGGCAGCUGAAGUUAACGCGGCGAAUUAGGAUCAGCACAGCGCAGAAGUCAUGAAGGUGAAGGAACAAAUAGCUCAAGCCAAGGCAGACCUGGCAACCGAGAACACUAGGAUGGCUACGGAGCGGGCCGAGUUGGAUGCACAGGCUUAUCGGCUUAUGCUGGAUCAGAACACAUCAAAUGAUGUAAUGAGGAGAAGGUACCGGUCCCACCUGCCUCCGGUUUAUGAACCAAGUAAUCUCUUUAACACGCCAGGAGCAGGAACCAGUAACCAGCCAGUGGUAAACCGGGUGGAAGCACCUGGAACAGGGGCGCCGGUUCAACCGCGCACAAUGGAUCCACCUCAUCUGGAUAUCCCGCCGCAGCGCGUGUCAGCGCCUCCGGGCCAUUACUCCAACCCCCUGGAUAACAUAGUCGCCGCGGCUUCAUGAUUGGCAGCCCUCCCAGUCGAAGGUGAAUCCCCCGUAGCGGUUGAGACACGAUAGGCUAGGGAGCUCCUUCAGAUAGCUUUGACUCAGCAACAUGCGUAUUCAUACAACCGCGAGAGGAUUCAUUCCACCCCCGCCCAAGCCAGAGUUACAUCAGGCACUUUGAUGAACCGGCCAUGUCAAGCAGUGCGCGGGACCGUAACCCGCCUCGAGGGCAUAAUCCGGUAGGUGGUGGUACUAAUGCUCAGGAUUUGGUGGAUCAGGUCAGAGCGCGUCGAGAAGCUGAGUUAGCGGCGCAGUACGCUGCUCGUCAGCUUACUCCGAUUCGUCCAACAACUUCGAUGGAGCCAGGAGUUACCUCCAGCUCUUUGGGAGUGCCGUGUCUCGUCCCGACUCUACGUAAUGUACGGCUGCCCAAUGAUUUCAAAGGACCCCGCAAAGUGCCCAAUUAUACUACCGAUUUACCACCCGAGUCAUGGAUCGAAAGCUAUGAGAUGGCAAUGAAGAUGGUAGAUGUGGAUGAUGCGGCCUGUGCCAAAUACUUCACCAUGAUGUUGGAAGGAACAACUCGCACUUGGCUGAAAAGUUUGCCAGCUAACUCCAUCGGGUCGUGGGCUGCGUUAAAAGCCUGGUUUAUCCAGAAUUUCAAGGACAUGUGCAAGCAGCCCAUGUCAAUUGUAGACUUAGCCGCCUAUGUCCAAGAAGAAGGUGAAUCGACAACUCAUUGGGUGUGCCGGGUUUUGGAAAUCUUGCAUUCAUCGAAUCGCAGUAACGCUGAUACAACAGUCUUAAUGUUGGAGGGCAAUUGCCGAUUCAUGCCUUUAAAGCUGAAAUUGGGACGGCUCAAGCGUCACUGCAAUGACAUGGGAACGCUUAUGGCAGCUUUGGUUAAGUAUGCCGACUCUGAUAGUACCAAGGACCCCGAGUCUGAUGAUGAAAAGCCGGGGAAGGGAAAGAAGAGUGGCAGUAAUAAAGGGCAACAACAUAACCCGGCGGGUCAUGGAAACAACGGUAAGCGCAAAGCAGAUAAUAGUUUGGAUUUUGUAGCUAACACCAACACGUAGAAUAACAAUCAGCGUCACAAGGGUAAACCGCCCCCGCGGGGUGGAGGGUCAAGUGUCAAUCUCGAGCGCUUGUUAAAUCAGCCUUGUCCAAGGCACAGGACGCGAGAGAGACCAGCCACACAUCUUUGGAAGGAUUGCUUUAUUAUGCGGGAGUUCAAACACUCGAAUCUUUUCCAAUAAGAUCAUGGAGUGCUCGAUGGUUCAGGAGGCGGUUCUCAUGGGCCGGGUUAUGGUGGAGGCAGUUCUGGUUCGGGAUAUCAAGGCAACUAAAGCGGACAUGGCAAUCAAGGUAGUCAGGGCAACCAGGGUGGUUAUAAUCAUCAGGGGAGUCAGCAGCAGCAGCAAUCGGGUUACCAGAGCAAUCCGAAGCAGUUCAAUAGUGGGCAGUAUCAUGUCUUCACCACUAGCUUAUGCAAGCGCGAUCAGAAACUUCAUAAAAGGGCAGUAAACUCUGUUGAACCGGCAGUGCCCCGUUAUCUGCGCUAGUCUGAACAACCCAUUUUGUGGAGUCGAGGGGAUCAUCCACCCCGGGUUGAUAAUCCGGGUCAUCUGGCAUUGGUGGUGGUGCCUCAGGUUGGAGGAUAUAAAUUUACCAAGGUGCUCAUGGAUGGAGGGACCAGUAUCAAUAUCCUUUAUUAUGAAACCUUCUGUCGCAUGGGGUUGACAGAUAAAAAUUUUAAACCGUCGAACACUGUUUUCCAUGGUGUGGUACCUGGUAAAUCGGCGUAUCCAGUUGGUAAGAUAGCUCUGGAGGUUGCUCUAGGAGAUGAUCAUGAUUCAAGAUCAGAGACAUUGACGUUUGAAGUGGUGAAAAUCAAGAGCCCAUAUCAUGCCCUGUUUGGACGGCCGGCUUAUGCUAAGUUCAUGGCAAGGCCCUGUUAUGUUUAUCAGCAGCUCAAGAUGCCGGGUCAUAAAGGGACCAUCACGGUACAUGGGAGUCGUAGGAUUGAUUUGGAAUGUGAGGAAGGUGAUGCGGCUUAUGCUGAGUCGGUUUGUGCAACAGAAGAGUUGAAGUUCUACAAGGACAAUGUUGAUCCGGCAGAUAUGGCUUCUUUGAAAAAAACCAACUACAGAGCAUGAUCCGGCCUUGAAGUUUAAAUCGGCUGAUGAGACGAAGCUAGUUGACUUUGUUCGUGGCGAUUCAUCCAAGCAGUUUAGCAUCAGCGCUAACCUGGAUCCGAAAUAGGAAAGCGCGCUCAUCGAGUUCAUCCGUGAGAACCGGGACAUCUUUGCAUGGAAACCUUCUUACAUGCCAGGUGUACCGAGGGAACUCGCUGAGCACACUCUUAAUAUUGAUCCUAAGUUUAAACCGGUCGGGCAGUUUCUCUGCCGUUUCAAUGAAGAAAGGCGUAAGGCUAUUGGUGAGGAGGUAGCCCGGCUCUUGGCAGCAGGGUUUAUUGUGGAGGUUUUUCACCCUGAGUGGUUAGCUAACCCGGUGCUAGUGCUUAAGAAGAAUGGCCCUUGGCGUAUGUGUGUGGACUACACGGAUUUGAACAAGGCUUGUCCAGCUGAUCCCUUUGCUCUUCCCCGUAUUGAUCAAAUCAUUGAUGCUAUGGCGGGCUGUGAGAGUUUGAGCUUUCUGGAUGCUUAUUCUGGUUAUCUUCAGAUCAAAAUGGCAGCCAAGGACCAGGAGAAGACAACUUUUAUAACUCCAUUUGGAGCCUUCUGCUAUGUAUCUAUGCCUUUUGGGCUCAAGAGUGCCCAAGCGACUUAUCAACGCUGUGUGCAGAAUUGUCUUCAUGACUAGAUUGGGUGUAAUGUUCAUGCUUAUGUGGAUGAUAUUGUGGUGAAGCCAAAAGGGAGGCGACACUGAUAGCUGACUUGAAGGAAACCUUUGAUAAUCUUUGGGUCUAUAAGAUGAUGCUUAAUCCAGCCAAGUGUGUUUUUGGUGUUCCGGCAGGCAAGCUCUUGGGUUUUCUAGUGUCUAACAGGGGUAUUGAAGCUAAUCCAGAAAAGAUCAAAGCUAUUACGUCUCUGGCUAAACCGGCGUGUAUCAACGAUGUUCAACGUCUGGCGGGCCGUAUUGUAGCAUCGAGACGGUUUAUCAGCCAUUUGGGAGAGAAAGCAAUCCCUCUAUAUCAGAUGAUGAAAAAGGAAAAUUUUGUCUGGAGUGAUGCUGCUAAUGCGGCGUUUGAGGACUUGAAAAAGCAGUUAGCUGAGCCACCCAUCCUUGCUGCUCCGGUCGAUAAAGAGCCGCUGUUGUUAUAUGUGGCUGCUAAUGCCCGAGCUGUUAGCGUGGCCAUUGUGGUGGAGCGCAUGGAAGCUGGGAAGGAGUAUCCGGUUCAACGGCCGGUUUAUUAUAUCAGUGAGGUACUUAUUGAGUCUAAGCAGAGGUACCCACAUUGGCAGAAGCUGGUGUAUGGAGUUUUUAUGGCAAUCCGGAAGCUUAAGCAGUAUUUUCAAGGUCAUCCCAUCACGGUGGUCAGUUCUGCCCCUUUGGGAGAUAUAAUCCAGAACAGGGAGGCAACUGGCCGAGUUGCCAAGUUGGCUAUUGAGCUUGGACCUCAUGGGUUAAAAUAUGUGCCUCGUACGGCAAUCAAGUCCCAAGCGUUGGUGGAUUUUAUCAAUGACUGGACAGAGUUACAAGCACCGGAAGAAAAGCUGGAUCAUAUUUAUUGGACUAUUCAUUUUCAUGGUUCCAGGCAAUUGGAGGGCUCGGGGGCUGGACUCGUGUUAACUUCCCCAUGAGGUGAUAAGUUUUGUUAUGUUCUCCGUUUAAUGUUCCCUUGCACUAAUAAUGCAGCUGAAUAUGAGGCUUUACUCCAUGGUCUUCGAAUGGCUAAGGAGAUGAAUCUAAGACGGGUUAAGUGCUUUGGUGACUCAGACCUGGUGGCUCAGAAAGUAUCUGGUACUUGGGAUUCCAAGGACCCACUCAUGGCAGUGUAUUGUCGAGAAGUAGAUAUUGUUGCAGGUCACUGCAAGGGUUAUCAGGUUGACCAUGUGGACCGGCAAAAGAAUGAAGCAGCGGAGGCUUUCAGCCGUUUGGGUUCCCAACGUAAACCGGUUCCACCCAAUGUUUUUCUGGUUGUUUUGCAUAACCCGUCGGUCAAGCUACCUACAGAGGAGGAUUUGGCUGUUCCUGACCCGAAGGCUCAAUUAGUGGCAGCUCUUCAUGUUAUCCCGGAUUGGACGGUCCCAUUUUUGGGGUAUAUGAACCGGGGCGAGUUACCGGAGGAUGAAACUUUGGCCAGGCAGAUAAUCCAGCGAUCCAAGUCAAUGACCAUUAUCAAUGGGGAAUUGCAUCAUUGCAGUGUAACAGGGGCGUUUCAGCGUUGUGUGUCUCCUGAAGAAGGCUGUGAGAUUUUGCGUGAGAGCCACAAAGGAGAUUGUGGUCACCACGCCGGUUCAAAAUCCUUGGUAGCUAAGGCUUUUCAUCACGGUUUCUAUUGGUUGACGGCUCAUGCUGAUGCCGAGGACUUGGUAAAAAGGUGUGAUGGUUGUCAGAAGUUUUCACGCCGCGCUCAUGUUCCGGCUCAAGAAUUGAGGAUGAUUCCAAUCACUUGGCCCUUUGCAACUUGGGGCCUGGAUAUGGUUGGGUCCUUUAAUAGGUCCAAGGAUAAGAAGACCCACCUUCUGGUGGCGGUUGAUAAGUUCACUAAGUGGGUGGAGGCAGAGCCAGUCAGUAAGUGUGAUGCAGCCAUGGCGGUUCAAUUCAUCAAUAAGGUGAUUUUCCGGUUUGGUUUUCCACACAGCAUCAUAACUGAUAAUGGAACUAAUCUGUCCAAGGGUGCUAUGGAAGAAUUUUGUCAACGAGAGCACAUCCGGCUUGACAUGUCAUCAGUGGCUCACCCCCAAUCUAAUGGUCAAGAGGAGAGAGCCAAUCAAGAGAUCCUAAGAGGCAUUAAGCCCCGACUUAUGGUUCCUUUAAAGUGAACACCGGGUUGUUGGGUGGAGGAGUUACCUUCUGUGUUAUGGAGCAUCAAUACUAUGCCCAACAGAUCUACGGGUUAUACACCUUUCUUCAUGGUUUAGGAGCAGAGGCGGUCCUCCCUAGUGACAUCCGUCAUGACUCACCCCGUGUGGCAGCUUAUGUUGAAGCUGACAAUGAGAAGGCACGUUAGGAAGCACUUGACCUGUUAGAUGAGGAGCGUGAUAUUGCAGCAGUGCGUUCGGCGAUUUAUCAGCAAGAUCUGCGUCGUUAUCAUAGUCAUCGGGUUAAAACCAGAACGUUUCAAGAAGGGGAUCUGGUGCUCCAGCUCAUCCAGGAUCAGACUGAUAUGCACAAGUUAUCCCCGCCUUGGGAAGGACCCUUCGUGGUCAGCAAGAAUAUGCACAACGGGUCAUAUUACCUUAUCGAUGUUCAAGAGCACAAAGACUCACGUAAAUCGGAGGAGGAGACCCACCGACUGUGGAAUAUAGAUCAUCUUCGGCCUUACUACACCUGAGCCAUAGGCUCCUCUUAUGUACAUAUUAUUGACAAUGUAUAUAUUAUGGUGAUCAAUAUAAUAAACCGGCAUCCCUGCUAAACCGAGGCCUCUGCUAUUAUUCCUUGAAAGGUUUUUGGUUACAUGGGGGCUUCUGUUUAUAAAGCGGAGUUCUAAUUACCCAUUGAUCCGGCUCAUAAGCCACACAUACAAAACACUUAGGGGCUUGUCACCCAAGGUCAAAAGGAGCCAAAGAGAGUCUGUUGCAAAGCACAACUCAAACAUAGGCACCCAUUGAGCACAGCUCAAAAUAUUACUAGGGGGCUCUUUGCUUCUACAAGAACCAAGGGUCUAUAACCUUGUAAUAGGCUAUAAAAGCAGGCUUGGAAGCCAGGUGUAUUCACCUAAAACCCCGGGUUAUCCUGCCUUUUUUAAGUAAGCCACUCCGUUCAGGUAAUCCUGGUAGACCCGUCGAACAUUUGACAAGUCAAUCUUAUAAAGACCCUAAACUUGUCAUAGUUAAAAUGACAAUUGGUUGAUGUGAGGUCCAUCUUAUAAAAGGCUUUGUAAAAUGGUUUAACUCAGUGGCCUGGCAGCCCAUGAAAAGCAUCGCCCUUUUUAUAUAUUUUCUUCUGAAAUAUCUCCUUUUGAUAUUUCUUUUGAUGAGUUUUAUACUAAACCGGUGUUUACUAAACCGGCCUAGCUGUUGACUAUAAGUCGGCCGAACAAAUUGAGAAUAUUGCUGGUAUUUAUUGACCCGGCUUCGCUGUCGAUUGUAAGUCCUCAGUAUACAAUCAGAUAUAAACCGGUGUUGAUUGACCCGGUUUGGCUUUGACUACAAGUCGCCAGUAUGAUAUACGAAUAAACCAGUGUUUGUUACAACCCGGUCCGGCUUUACUAUAAACCGGCAAAACCGGGAGGAGUUAUCAGUACUCAAGAUUUGGGUUAUCACCCUUACUACAGAAAGUUGGUUAGCCAACGAUGUGAUUCAAUGUCACAGGUAUGAUAUAUUUCGUAUUUGAUUGUCAUUCAAUACAGCCUGGUUAUACACCCGGAUUAUAUGUUGGGCAUUAUGACCCGUCCGGCGGUAAACCGCCAGGACACUUUCAACUUGUUAUAUGCAGAAACAGGUCAAAUAAAGCUGCUAAGGAUCAUAAGCAGACAUGACAUAAAUCACGACGGAUUAACAGUAUCAUGCAAAGUGAAUAUGCGUGAUGGCAUAGCAGACCAAGUGUUUAAACUAGCCUAUUACAAGGCGUUUUGAUGCCCAAAAGGAUAAUUGUUUUCAGCAAAUAUUGCAGUAUGCAGAAGAUUAAACCGGCCUCCAGAUCAUGACUCUUCAACAGGCUGGCUUGACGGUUGUGGAUCAUCCUACACCAGUUCACCCUCCUCCUCUCCAUCCAGCAGCUGGAAAUCAAUGGUGGUCCAGUCGAUUCCAGUUAGGGCCUUGAAUACAUCUUCAUCGCUUAUAAGGUUGGAGGGGUCAACGUCAGGAGCGUAGGUAUGCUUACGGAUUGGUGGGAUAAGAUCCUCCACAUCAUGAGGUGGCGCAGCAAGUCGUUUGUUGUCAGCAUCAUAAACUGGCUGAUAAUGAGAAAGAUCUGUUUCUUCGGCCAAUUUGCUCGCUAGUGGGCGCAUUUCCUUUGUCAAAGCUCGAAGAUCAUCAUUAUCAAACUCUGACCCAUCUUCCUUUAUGCUUGGAUAGCCGCAUCCUAUAUCAGCCGAGUCAAGAUCUGGUAUCCAGGAUUUAGCUCGGAUUAGCGCAGUUAGAGCACCUGCCCUUGCAGUUGAUCUUUUUAAAUUGUCCAAUUGGGCAGGCAGCAUGGAGAGCUUCUCUAAUGUUUCUUUGAUCAAGGUUGGGGGCGGUUUAUUAUGAGUAGAAGUGCAAAUGAUCUGUUGUGUGCCGGUAUAUAACUGCUCUAUAAGAGUAUAGGAAGCCCUCAAUUUCUUCUACAUAUCAGAGCCCAGGUGGGUAAUGCGAGAUCCUACAUCAUUAAAUAUAUUGAUAAACCGGUAGUUUAUGGGACAACACAUGUUGAAGCUUAUCAUAAGGGUACUAACCAAACACAGCAGUGGUCAUGGCAUUGAUUUGCCGCUUCAAGCCAGUCAAUUCUUCUGCUACCGGUUUAAGAGCUGUUUCAACGUCCUCCGCCCGCUUUAGCAGAGUUGCUUUUUCAGCUUUCCAUCCUGCCCAUUCGCUUUUAAAGCCUUGUUUCAGUUGUUCCAUGGCUGUUAAAGCGCCAGUCAGUUCUUCUUUAGCUUUGGAAGUUUCUGCUUGCUGGGAUUUAAUAUUAUCCUGAAGGUCGGCGAUUUGAGAUUCUUUUUGGCUCAGAUCAGCCUGCAAGCGACAUGAAAAGAGUUAGCAGUGCAUAUUUUCAAGUCCUAAGCACAUAACAAGUUAUACACUUGGCACUUGGGGGCUAAUGUAUAUUUGCUCAAGUCACAAGUAUGGAUUUUUCUUCAUCAGUCGGUUUACAAAGAUGGUUAUCAAGUGUUUUGGAAGCUUUAUGACAGAAAGGUACUGAUUCAUCCUAAAGGUAUAAACCAAUCCCUGGGGACUACACAAGCAAAAAUUGCAAGAUUCAUACUUUAAAGUCCCGGUUCAUCAUGAAAUGAUAAACCGGUCCUUGGGGGCUACGCGGGCAAAGUUGAAGUAUUACAAAGUCCCAAUUCAUGUUGAUACCAUAAACCGACCCUUGGGAGCUGCUGGAGUUGAUAUUAGAAACUGAACAAGAGAAACAAUUAUGAAGAGUUAACAGUGUUUACCUCAUAUCGCUCCUUCAUCAGGCCUACUAAACCGGCUUCAUAGUCGCGGCUGGUAUACAGGCGGUUCAAGAAGCCGGAAUGAAUCUCUUGGGCAUUAAGGUGGGCAUAGCUAGAUAAAUCUGUUUUCCACGUGCCCUUAUCCAUAGCAGAAAACUCUUCCUUGGCACUAUGCUUUGAUAAAGCGAUAGGAUUUCCAGGGGUGGUGUGGCUGAUGCCAGUGACAAUGACAUCAUCCGAUUGGUCUGCAGCUAUGUUGGCUGGAUUUGGCGGUUCAUCAGCUGUUUCGGCUGGGCUUGGCGGUUUGUUUGCAGCUCUGGCCGGGCUUGGCGGAUCAGUAGCAUGGCCGGUGGGAUUCUCUUCCAUCGGUUCAGCAAAGGUCUCAGGAUGUUCUGGUGGUGGAUCAUCAUGUAUAGCGUCAGCAUUCGGCUCAAAUUGUGCUGGGGUCUGUUCCGGGUUAUCCUCAACCGGGUUAUCAUCAGUUGGCUUAUUCAAUUUGGCCUUUUUGCUGGGCCUGGCUCUGGCUCUGAAAGGAAAAGACAUAAAGGUUAGAUAUAACAAAUAAGUAUAAAGCGUCAAGAGUUAAGUUUAAAGUGCUCACCCAGGAACAAUCUUCAGAGGAGGGAGUUGUGUGGCCGUUGACUCACCGGAUGAUGAAUGAGGUGUUCCCUGAUAGUUUGAAUCAGACGGAUUAAGAGGUUGCCUGAAAUAACCCACCUUGGGAUAAGAAGUAUCAGAAAUGUAUGAGACCUAUGAUCGACGUUUCCGGGUUGGAGUGUUCGGUAAACCGGCCAAAGUAACUACAUUGCCGCUGUGCCGGGUCGUGCGGCGAGCUUCAUGCUGCUGUUUCUUCAAAAGAAACUUGGGAUCCAGAUAAGCUAGAGGGUGUGAAAAUUUUACUUUCCGGAUUGCUUGACGGGUUUUCUGUGUUGGAUGAGGAUCUGAACCGGAGGAAAGAAUAAUUACCUCUACAUCUUCAGCGUCCUCCUGAUAAGGGUCAUUGUCAAUGAGGUGUAUGAAAAAUGAACCAAGAGAAUCAAGUUCUACCUCUGAGUCCGGAUUAUCAAGAUCCUCGUCGAGGUUUAGCCCGGUGGAUUCAGCUGUUUUCUUCUUAGCAGGUUUUUUUGACAACCUUUGUCUUUUGACGAGGGGUCUUCGCCGGUUUAUCGUAAGGUUUCUUCUUCCAAAAUGGAUCGUCACCCUGUUUAAAGAUAGACAAAGGUUAUAAGGAACAAUUAAGAACAUCAGGUACAAACAGGAGUUAGGCAAUUCUUACAGCUGGCGGUUUAUUAAAAACGCAGAAGGGACUUAGCCCUGUUUUGCUGCAGACAACCACUGAUUCAUCCAGUAUCUUUUUAACAACUUCAGUGACUUCAGCAUCAGUCAACUGCAUGCCAGUGUGCCAUUUAGGAUCUUUUGAGUCCCCUGUAUAUUCACACAUUAAACCGGGACGACAGCUUAAAGUCAAAAUACUCCAAUAUAUCCAGCAACGAACAAAGUCAAUUUCUGUCAAACCAUUAGCCACAAAGGCUCUGAGCUUGGUGAGUUGUGGUGCAUAUUUGGCCCGUUCUUUUACAGUCAACCUUUGGGGAAAUUGAUGUGUGUUGGUAAGACGGUGAGGACGAUAAUCCGACAGAGGAUUCUCAUCUUCAGGGGAAGUAUCUUUGCAAUAGAACCAAGUCUGGUUCCAAUCCUUAGGAUGAUUAUGAUGCUUGGCAUGAGGGAAGCUGACAUCUUUCCUUUUUUGAAUUCAAACGCCGCCAAGUUCAGUAUUGGGACCAUUUACAAAUUCGGUGUGGCGGUUUAAAUAGAAAAAGUCCCUGAACAGUUCAAUAGUAGGUUCUUCUUGCAGAUAAGCCUCGCAGAACACUUGAAAAUUACAAAUAUUGGAUACCGAGUUAGGUCCAAUAUCUUGAGGGUGGAUCUGGAAGCUGGCAAGCACAUCACGGAAGAAUUUUGACCCGAGAGGUUUAAAACCACGGCUCAGAUGAUCAAAAAACACAACUAUCUCGCCAUCCUUGGGUGUAGGAGGAUUUUCCGGACCGGGGGCUCGCUAGUGGAUUUCACUCUGCUUUGGUAAAGCACCUGUGAUAACACAUCCUUUCAGAUGUUCUUCUUUAAUUCGGGAUGGAACCCAGUUGCAAGCAUAAAAAGUCUUGGCCAUUUUUUGGAUGACCUGAAGGAAGGUUUGUGCCGGUUUAAGAGUCAUGGUUGACAAGAACAAAGUGUUAUAGGUUAAGAAACAAAAGGUAUUCAAGCGUGCAAAAUUGGUAAACCGGAGGUUGAUGCUGUUAUAGGUGAUAAAGCGAUUGGCGGUUUACAAGGGGACUAAUGAUAUAUGACAGGUUAUUUUCUAAAAGAUAAACCGCUUACAUGGGCAAUGAGAGUAUAGAUCUGAAGCCGAAAAAUGACUAAGUGAGGAAGAACAAGUUUCAUAGUUUCACAUUAGAAUUUCAGAUCUACCGCAUGUCAGGAAAAAGAAAAUUUUUUAGACCUAAAGUUUGGUGCUUGAACAGUUCAUGAAGUUCCAGAUCGGGUCUUUCUACACAAAGGAGAUGAUCUGAUGCCAAAAAGGGACUAUCAUGGCUACCACACAAGAGUAUAUCAUGUUUGGACUCUAUCAUAGAGGCUAUAAUGAAGAACAGGGGAAGAACACCGCGAAGCUUCCAUGAGCCUGUGCGAACCCUAAAUGGAUCUGCAGAGGAAAUAAAGAAGAACUCACCAAGACUGUUGAAAAGCGGAAAGGCGCCAUGGUUCUCUGAUCGAAUCAGGUUGAUGCAGCGACCGUUGUUGGGGCAGAUGAGAAGGUCGACGGUGAUGACAACGCUCGAGUGCUGAGGUGACGCGAGGAGGAAGAAAGAUGAAGAGGCAAGGGGAGAAAAGGAAAGGGACCUUCGGCCCUAUUUAUAAGACGAAGGGAUAAGCGACAUGCGCGGGAAUAAAGGAGCCCAAAAAUGGACAUGUGACAGAGCUGUCGCCUCGAUUUUCGAAGGCUCAUUAAUAAAAGUAAGGUUUACUCGAAGGUGCUGAAGAAGAAAUUUUCCUAAAGUGUCGAAGAUUGACAUGAACAGGUUCAAAUCAAUCUGGGGCCUAAUGUUGGGGAUAUAACUACUGAGUAUAAACCACCCAGGAGGGGCCGGGUUAUACCCAUAAGGAGUUAUCCAUAUUGAAGCCCAUGAAGACAAGGAGCAUGGCGCUUUACUAUAGGAGAUCUAAAGGCCCAGGGCCCAAAGGAGGAUUAGGGCCCGUAGACAUAAACCGCCAUAAGGUGUGUAACUUGUGUUGUAAGAUAGGAAAGGAUAGAAACCAAGCCGGACACGUCUAUGAGCCGGCCGGGAUUCUGUAAACUGUCGAGCGUCAACCUGUGUAUAUAAAGGGACGACCCGGGGGCGGUUUAGGGACAGGAGACAACAACUCGAGAGUCAGGCAAAGCGGAUUCGCUCCCUGGUCAUCGAAACCCUAGCAAUCCCAUCAUAACUGGAGUAAGCUUUACCUUCACCGCAAGGGGCCGAACCAGUAUAAUUCCUUGCGUCCUUUGUCCGCUUUAACCCCUUUAAGCUAACUAUGUUGCGAUGGCUCCACGACUAAGUCCUCACACUAGGACAUCUGCCGUGACAACCCCACGACAGUAUGGCUUGUCAAGAAGAGCUCAUUGAUCAUACAUUGGUAUUUCAUUGGGAACAUCUUCAUCAGAAGACACAUUAGACGAGGCAGUAGCUGCCUUCUUCGAUUUUCUGGCAACUGAUUUCUUUCCAGAAGCUCAAGGAGAAAAAAACUUCCUUGCCUUGCUUUCCUUUCGGGCAGAGGCAUGCUCCUUCUUAUUUUCUACGUCUUGAUGGGUUAGCUCGACGUUUCUCUGCUCAACUUGAUUCUUUUUCACUACCCUGGCUUCACGCUUGGAUUUGUCCUUGGCUCUCUAUUCCACUUCUUCAGGAAAAUCAACAAUUGUUUUUAGUGAGUCAACGUGAGCAUUUUCAGGAGGAGGUGGCCUGACUUUUUCAUCAUCUGGACCGAGGCAACCCUCAGCGAUGUAAUCAUUCCAAGGUGGAGUGAAUGCGAACAAGAUUUGAUAUUUCCUUCGGUAUGAACAUCCCUAGAACAGAGGAGAGGACAGGGCUAGUUCCAGAUCCAUGCGCCCUAACCUGGCAGCACAGAUCUGCUACGACAAUGCGGAGGAGAGUAUGUACCACACUGGAGCGACCAACAACGGCGAGGCUUCACCGAAGUAGCACGGCGAGGCGCACCGACGGUGUUGCUUCGAGCUCGGGCUCGGGAGGAGAGCGAGAGAGGGUUUGAGAAUGAGCUGAUGAAGAAGAUGCCUAGAGGGUAUAUAUAUAGCCCGUAGGCGGAACCACCACUCUGAAAUCUAUGGCCAAAAAACAUGGGAUGAUCCACAUUCGACGGACGAGAUCACUAUCAUGGAGAUCAUGGGCACGUGUGAACCGUUUCCUGCAAAAAUCUCGGAAACUAAACGGGAGGCCGAAGGUUUUGAGGAAGGGCAAAUGCCAAAACAGAUUAAUGUUCAAAGUUGAUUUCAUUCACGACUAAGGACGACGGAUUGAAAUCUUCUUCAGAUCAAGUUACAUGUUUAUGACGGACAACAAAGAUUGGAUGAGAAAGAAUAGAGGGAUAAUAGGGUCUGAAUAAAACACUCAGCUGACGAGAGAAAACACAAAAACAAAGAACUCUGAGUGAGUUGACAUUUGGACAGAACACAAACACAACGAAAAAACAAAGAAACCGAACGAAAAACACAAGGAACUAGCACCAACAAUCAAUCUCAGGAUGAAGGAUAAGCAAGAGGAAUUCCUGAGAUAGCAUAUGCAAGAAAAGGUUGGUUCUUUUUCCCAACCCACACUUGCGUGGGCAACGAGGAUCUCAUUUUCUUCGUAUGAACAUGGGCAUUCUUUCGGUGAGGUCUGUAAGACACUUGUGCAUUUCGAGAGUAAUCAUAUGAAUAAGCAUUGAAGUUAUUUCUGGAGACAUGAGUAUAAUGAUUUGAGGAGGUACGCAUGUACUCCUUCCGUCGAAGGUUUGAUUGAUACCCAUUCGAGAAAUUUCCUGAGUUGUUCUGUGAAUGAUAAUCAUUGUCUUGAGGAAAAUUACUCUCAUGUUUAUGUUAGCAGUGACAGAUAGAUUUUCAAUAAUGCAUUUCUUCACCAAGAUUUGCUUCUUGGGUAAACCAAACCUGUAGACAGUCCCAAUAUAUCGAGUGAAAACCUUACCAUUCUGUUGUUUGAAAAAUUUGUAGUUUGAGUCAUUAGACUCAUCAGAAGCAACAACAAUGGGAGUAUCAUAUCUCGAUAGAAUUGCGGGUUUGAGAGUUUUUCAUUUGGCAAGAACCCAACUUGUUCGAGGAUAUUUCUUGGGAGUCUAGUAAGUUCCAUCAACGUUGAGUUUCCUUUCGAAACCCAAACCUUCCUUUCGAGGAUUUUUGUGCAGUAUUGACUUCUUGAGCACAUCACAGAGAGUUUGAUGCCCUUUGAGGCUCUUUAACAUUGCUGUCUCAUGCAAGUUCUUUAAUCUGCAAUUUUCAUCAGAAAUAGCAACGAAUUCCUCAGGAGAGGGAUUAGAGAUAUCAUUCAUAGUGGUUGCAAUAUUCUUGAUGUUAGUAGUAGAAGUUUUAGCAUGCGGCUCAGCAUUGCUACGUUCUAGGCAUUUUAAGCAUGGAGGCACAAAAUCAUCAGGAAGAUGAUUAGAUUGCUCGGCAAAGAGAGAAGCAUUCUCUUUCGCCAGCUCAUUAUGAGACUCUUUCAGUGACUCAAGUUCUUCAUUCCUGUUAAGGAGCUCAUCUGAUAAACUCUUGUAGUCGACAGAGAGGGAAUCAUAUCGAUUGGUAAGAACAUCAAUAGUUGAAGAAAAUGCAUCUUGCUCUUCGAUCAACUUUUGAUUCUUAUCCAUCCCUUCGACCAGUAAUCCUUCGGUUUUCCUGAGAUUUCUCUCAAGCAUUUCAAGAUCAUCUUGUUGAGAUGUUGCAAUCUUAACAAGUUUAGCAUAGGCAAUAUAUUUAGGAGAAUAUCCAUUCAUGGAUUUUUGGUGUUUUGCUGAUACCUGAUCCUUUGAUGAUUUUGCCAUGAGACAGAAGGUGAUUGGUUCAUCAUCACUUGAAGCAUCAUCAUUAGUAUCUGACUCGAGUGAAUUUUUAGAUGAUUCAUAGGCAAUGAAGGCAUUGCUCCUUCCUAUCCUUUUGUAGAAUUCUUCAUCAUAUGAUUUAGUGUCUGUCGCCUCCUCUUUAGAGUCCAGAGUCAGAUCAGCACAUGCUCUAUUCAGCUGUGACAUCCUCUUCAUAUUUGACUCAAUGGUUGCUCUUGCUUUCACGUUAGUGACUAGUCUCGUCGAAGAGGAUGAGGAGGAUUCAAAUUUCUUCGAGAGCUUAGUGUGACGAUCCACUUGAGUAAAACCACUGUAGUGAAGAUAUUUCCAUCCGUUACUAGGUUUUGCUUCCCAGCUCGGACAGUAUACUAUGAGAUGACCGAAUAGUUUGCAUUUGAAGCACUUCAUUUCUUUUGGAGGUAACUUUCUUGAUGAUUUAGGAAAGUCAAAUUCAUCAUCAUUUGUGAGGCACAAGUUUAGUCUUCUGAGAUCACUUAAACUUUUUGUGAGCAUUUCUACCUCCCUUGUGAUUGUGUGUUGAUUCUCAACUUCUCCUUCUUCUUCUGAUCUGCCAUAGUGUGAGGGAAUUUCUCCUUCACUUUUUGAAGAAGAUUCUUGAUCUGCAUUUGACAGUUCCAUCUUUUCUUCAUGGAUUGACAACAGUGUCAUGACCUAUACGUAGUGAAGUUUUUCAUAGUCUGGUCUUUGCUUGAUUUCUUCUAUGCUGGAAUUGAGAGAUGGAGCAAGAGUGCUCAGCAACUUGUUGACCGCAUCUCUAUCAGUGAUAUCAGUUACUCCUUGUUGUUGAAGUCUUUCGACAAUGUUUGUCAAUCAAUCAGUGAGUUCCAUAGCACUUUCCUUACGCAAACUUCUGAAACUAGCAAACAUAGGAGCAUUUGAGUGUGGGGAUCCGUUCUAGCGAUGAAUUCUUCAUAAGAAUUCUUGAUGGCAUCCCAGAGUUGCUUUGCAGUGUCGAGCAUUUGGAACCAAAAGAAAAUGUCUUUCGAGAGACCGCUACAUAUGAUAUCUUUCAUUUGAGCAUCUAACUGCAGAUUGGUUUUGUCAUCGGAAUUGAGAUCAUCCGGUUGCUAAAUGGUAUAACCAUUUUUGACAAUCUGCCACAAAUCAAUGUUGAUAACUUGAAUUCUGAUUCUCAUUUGUUCCUUCCAGUAGAGAUAGUAAUUUCCAUCGAAGAUAGGAAAUCGUUUAGAGUGUGUGGAUCUACCUGCAUACGACAUACUCAUAACUCCAAGGACGCUAGACCUUUAAUAAACAAAGACAUGGAGAACCUAGCUCUGAUACCAAUUGUUAGGACCGAGAGUAUAUCGACCAGAGGGGGGUGAAUGGGAGAUUCAAAAUUUCUUUCGAAAGUUUUACACUGAGCCCAAACACAUCAGCGGAAGUAAGGUACAUUAGAUACAAGCUCAAUCAAGCAUACUAUUGAAGAACAAAGUCUUCGAGGUAAGAUGCAAUAAUGGUUCAAGCAUAGUAUACGAUAAGCUUGAUGAUAAUGAUGGUAAUGCAGUAUGCCAACAAAUAUACUAUCAUGACAGAGAGCUAGAGAUGAACUGCGAAGGAUAACUGCGAGAAAUAACUAUAAUGAGAUAAAUUAUCACAACACAAAUGAUGGUGAGAACUAUGACAACACACCAGAAAAGAGGGUGUAAGAAUACGAGCAACGAAUAAUAACUGAAGGAAAUGACAGAAGAAAUAAGAGCGAAUGAUAUCAACAGAGUAUAAAUGGUCAGAUAAACUAUCAUCAUAGAGCAUGAAGGAAAACUGCUGAAAGUAAUGCAGUGAAGUAAAUAGAACCAGUGGUGCUUGAUGGCGACAAAGAGAUUUGGUAGACCAGUUCACCCUUCUGCCAAAGGGCUACGUCUGGUUGGAGGGGCUAUGACUUAACAUGGAAGAUAAACUCUCUUCACCUUAUUCUCCUUCAACACAGAGCUGAUCAGACUCUGGUUGAUUUCACUCAUGGUAGAUACUUGUCGGCGAUCCCCAAACCUUUGGUCAACCUUCACAAACCACAAUCACUCUGGUUGCUUAAGAUCUAGCUCGGUGAAGACAACAACUCUUCAACACUCGAGCCGAAACCUAUCUGUCUAGAGAGUGCAUAGCUCUCAAGAGUAAUAGGUACAAGAACUCUAACUCAGAACUACUAUGAUGCUAAACCGCUGUCUAAGUUUGGGCUCUUCAUUUUUCUCUUGGUGGAUCUUAAACUCAAGUCACUCGGAGAGGGGUUGCUGAAAUCAAUCUUCUCAAAAAUCUCAAGCGGAGCAACCAACGGACAAUAUUGGAGCGGGGUGGCUAUUUAUAGCCGCAACCUUCCCUGGUGGGAAAUGACCAUUCGGACACGUGGUCCAACCACUGGCCAACCAACACGUUCACAACGGUCGGAUUUUGGAGCAAUGGUAACUGUCAUGGUCUUGUCAUGGCAGAUGCCCUAGUGAAAGGACUUAGGUGCUAGGCCAUCGCUAUGAUGAUUAGCUUGUCGGGGUUGAGCGGGACGAGAGCCACGAGUUUACCCAGGUUUGGCGCCUCACGAUCAAUGUAACAGCCUAUGUCCUGCUUUAUGUUGUAUUGCUUGAGUAUCAAUUACAAGGGAGCGGAUUCACUUGACCUAGCUAUCGAUUGAUUGUAACUUAAGUCUGCCUGCCGCAAGGACUCGCCUUUGUAUACACAGGUCGAGGCCUUGGGCUUAAAAGAGUCCAGGUCAGGUCAUGCUUCGUGACCAAUCUUGUCUCUAAGUCGCCUUGCCUUCUUCGGCAAGUCGCCAAGAGGCGGCUUACACUUCUGGGCAACACACUGUCUUCUAUCCUUGGGCUUCUAUCUGGUCCAUCUCGUAAGUCUCCUUCCUAGUCAUGUAUGUUGAUCACUCGGGCCUAUUUAAGGCCCAAUUACUAAUUCGCCAACAGCCUAACCUGGCCCCUCUAGGGUGGGUUACACCAUGGGGUUAUAUCGCCAACAUUAGGCCCCAGAUUGAUUUGAACUUGUUCAUGUCAAUCUUCAGUCCUUCCGGUUGGCGAAUCUUCCUCAGUCUUCUGAAUACUUAAUCUUGAACAACUCUUCAUAACCCGCCAUAAGAAAAGAUGAUGUCACUUUCAUAAACUCAGAAAAAUCCUCAUGAUGUCAUAGCGGAUCUUUGUAUAAAUCCACCAUUCGGAAUAUCGAGGCAUCCUUUUAUUGUAAAAUUUAUUGUGCCUCCUCGAUCUUCGCAUAGGUCUUUUACUGUUCAUUAUUUUCCUUAUAAAUAGGCACGGGGGUUUGCCUUUUUCACUUUUACCCCAUCGCCUCCUCUUCUUGUUCUUCCUCUCGAGUCCGUCGCAACCGGAGAUCCGUCGCAUCCGUCGAACCGUGCUUGCCUUCUUCAGUCGAAGUCACAACACUGCCAUGUCGCCGUCGGGAUCUAGCGGCAUACCUCCGCUUUUCUCCACCACAAACAUGUAUUGUUUCUCUCCUUUCUCAGAUCUGCAUUAGGUCGAUUGAGUUCAUAGAGUUCGUCGGAGUUCAUCCUAUUUCAUCACAUCCUUUGAACAAAAGCUAUUUUUUAUCCGAAAACAUUAGAGAAAUGUUGCGGUAGCAGGUUUACCACCAUCUUGAAUUUUAUCAAUGUGUAUUCCCUUCUAGAAUCAGUGGAUAUCUUGCUAGCCCUUCCGCCACUGCUUUUUAGCUUUAGUAAUACCUUUUCUUUUUUGAAUUGCCGUUAGAUCCGUAAAUAUAGCUAUUCCAUAUGGAAUCUUGUUUGCUCCAUACUUAGCCAAAUUUUUAGCAAUCCUGAAUCUUAGCUAACCCGCCCAUUAUAUCUUGGGCGGCUUAUCAACAUAUUUUGUUGGGGAUAUAACUAUUAGGUAUGACCCGCCCAGGAGGGGCCGGGUCAACCCUAUGAAGAUUCAUCACAAUGAAGCCCAAGGUCACAUGGAGAUUCAUAGAUAGGCUUAGGAGAGGGCCCAGACCCAAAUGCGGCUUAAGGCCCAUGAGUAUAAACUGCCAUGUAUGUAAACUUGUAUAGUAAGGCAUAUGUAAAAGGUCACCGAGCCGGAUACGUUGUAUAAGCCGGUCGCCGGGACUCUGAGGGCCGCAGGGCGUCAACCCGUGUAUAUAAGGGGACGACCUAGCGGCGGCUUAGGAUAAGAAACAAUAGAUCGAGAGCCGGGUCAAGCGUAUUCGCUCCCUGCUCAUCAAAACCCUAGCAAUACCAACUACAAACUGGACUAGGCUUUUACCUUCAUCGUAAGGGGUGGAACUAGUAUAAACUCUCUGUGUCCAUUGUCCUGAUUAAUGUCACACCCUCGAUGCGACUAUAGCUCCCACAUGUCGAGGCACGACUUAGAGACAUAAUCGCAUUGAAGGCAUAUGUUGCAAGUUAGGCAAUCUUCACAACAUCCCAUGUAAUAUAAAUCAUAAAGGGGAGAUAGCAUAGUUGGCUUACACUCGCCACUUCAAUCAAGUACAUAAAUAACAUUACAUCAUCCAAACACUCAUGGCCCGACUACGGCGCCAAAAUAAAAGAUAACCCAACAAGCGACACGGUCCCGAUCACCCCAACUGGGCACCACUACUGAUCAUCAGGAAAGGAAACAUAGUAACGUUGAGAGUCCUUGUCGAACUCCCACUUGAGCUCAUACGCGUCUCCUGGAGCGGAAUCAUCAGGCCCUGCAUCUGGUGUAAUAGUAAUCUGUGAGCCACAGGGACUCAUCAAUCUCGCACCCUCGCGACCAAGACUAUUUAAGCUUAUAGGUAAGGUAAGGUAAAAAUAUAUGUGGAGCUGCAGCAAGCGACUAGCAUAUAUGGUGGCUAACUUAUUCGCAAAAGAGAGCGAGAAGAGGAGGCAAAGCGCGAGCGAGAAACUAGAGAACAACCUGCGCAAACAUUACUCCAACACUGUGUCCGCUUCCGGACUCCGCCGAGAAGAGGCCAUCACGGUAACACACUCAGUUGAUUCAUUUUAAUUAAGUUAAGGUUCAAGUUAUCUACAACCGGACAUUAACAAAUUCCCAUCUGCCCAUAACCGCGGGCACGGCUUUCAAAAGUUCAAAUCCCUGCAGGGGAGUCCCAACUUAGCCCAUGACAAGCUCUCACGGUCAACGAAGGAAUAUACCUCCUCCCAAGACGUUCCGAUCAGACUCGGUAUCUCGGUUAUUCAAGACACUUCGACAGGUUAAAACAAGACCAGCAACACCGCCCGAAUGUGCCGACAAAUCCCGAUAGGAGCUGCACAUAUCUCGUUCUCAGGGCACACUCAGAUGAGACUAGCUACGAGUAAAACCAACCCUCAAGUUUCCCCGAGGUGGCCCCGCAGGCAGCUCAGUUCGGACCAACACUCAGAGGAGCACAGGCCCGGGGGGGUUAAUAAGAUGACCCUCGGGCUCCGGAAACCCAAGGGAAAAAGAGGCUAGGUGGAAAAUGGUAAAACCAAGGUUGGGCAUUGCUGGAAAAGCUUUAAUCAAGGCGAACUAUCAAGGGGUUCCCAUUAUAACCCAACCACGUAAGGAACGCAAAAUCCGGGAACAUAACACCGAUAUGACGGAAACUAGGGCGGCAAGAGUGGAACAAAACACUAGGCGAGAGGCCAAGCCUUCCACCCUUUACCAAGUAUAUGGAUGCAUUAAGAUAACAUGGCAAUAUAAUGAUAUCCCAACAAGUAAUAAAUGUUCCAACAAGGAACGACCUCCAAUCUUCACCUGCAACUAGCAACGCUAUAAGAGGGGAUGAGCAAAGCGGUAACAUAGCCAAUCAAUGGUUUGCUAGGACAUGGUGGGUUAGAGCUUUGACAUGGCGAUUUGGAAGGCAUGAUAAGCAAGUGGUAGGCAUCGUAGCAUAGGCAUAGCAAAAGAGCGAGCAUCUAGCAAAGCAAAGAUAGAAGUGAUUUCGAGGGUAUGAUCAUCUUGCCUGCAAAGUUGUCAGAGUUAACUGGAUCCUCGAAAGCAAACUCAACGGGCUCCUUGUUAGGGAACUCCUCUCCCGGCUCUACCCAAACAAGACAAACAAGAAACAAGGACACAAUCAACCACGUGCAAGGAUCAAACAAGAUGAUGCGAUGAUGAUAUGCUAUGCGGGAUGCGAUGCGGGAUGCAUAUGCAAGAUAUGACAGGAAAUGCAUGAACCUGGCCUCAACUUGGGAAUCCAAGUGUGCCACUGGAAAUAUGAGAUGAAAUCGCUUGAAAAGGAUAUAAAGAAUGCCAGAAUCGGUGUUACGGUUUGGAAAUGGCAAGCGAUUUAAAUAUGACACCGGUCUGCGAUUUACAGCAAGUAGCCAUCUAAAUGCAACGACAUGAGCAUGCUACAACACCCAAGCAAGACAACAAAAUACAUGACUGGGAUGCAUUCAAGAUGCUUAACAAAAGUCUAGCACUGAGCUACGGCCAAUUCAUCCAUUAACAGGUUCAAACAAGCAUGGCAAAAAUGCAUAUGGCAAACAGAUCUCAGACUUAGUGAAAUUAACACUUGUCUGGAAUUUCAGAUCAGGUAGCACUCUUCGGAGCAACAAAACUACAUACUAUAGGACCUGAACAUGGCAAAGUAAAGCAUGGCAUGGAGCUACUCAAAGAGCUUAACAAAAGUCCCUUAGUGACCUUGAGCCAAAAGGGAUCAGAAAAUACAAUUGCAAGCAUGUGAACAUGGCAAAAACAUAAUCAGUUUUCAGACUUAGUGAAAACUGGCACAUGCUGAAACAUAACUCAAGUAGGCAUGUUUACGAGCUCGAUGCACUCACUACGGAACAAGUCAUGACAAGCUAAGCAUACAUCUAUCAAGAACACACAAAAUGCAAGCUAGACAUGGCAAGAAAAAUAACAUAGCAUGCACGGAUCAACUACAAAAGCAUCGGCAAAAUUGUAAACAAGUUGACAAUCUGUCCAGAUUCACAAAGUAGCAAAAGUAGAGCUCGAUUGACUCAAACUAGGGUCCUCCAUAAUUGCAAACAAAGAUAUGGAUGGAUAGAGAACUACAAGAUUAACAAAACAUCCUUACUGAUCAUCCUCAAAAGAGGCACGGAUCACUAGGAAACAACAUGAACAUAUGGCCAUAUGAGAUAAACAGCUCAAGGACUUAGUGGAGAUGCUAAGUCCCUGAAAUCAGAAUUAACAAGUGCACCACUUUGCAAGCUUGUGCAAGUCACCACACACAUCACAAAAAUACAUGGGUUGCACCUCUGGAAAGAUGGCAAAACCCUUAACAAAACAUAUGUAGAGCAUCAGGGCAUAUCAUGCACACAUUAAUCAUGGCAAAAAUGACAAAAAGCUAAACGGAGUAGCAGAUCUGACAAUUAUCUCAAGUAGCCCUCUUCUAACAGCAUUUCGGGCAUCAAUAUGAACUCAAAUGAAAUUGAUGUAAUGGAAUGAAAUGAUGUACUCUCUGAGAUGAACAUCUUGAUAUGCUAUAUGCCCAAAUCGGAGCUACGGAUACAAAGUUACGAGGCUAUGAACAUGAGCACUUGGAACUGGAAUUUUUGGGACUUAGAAGAAAAAAAUACCUCUGGAUCUAGGGUUUCGGUGGCACGCAAACCGAGGCGGCGGCGCGCUGUAGCUUCGGCGAGCUCGGUUCGUUGGCGGGGUGACGAGGGAGAGGCGAGGCCGGGCGGCGCGGGGCAGCGCGACGGAGGCGGCGGCCGGCGACGCAUCGGGCAGCGGGGCGNNNNNNNNNNNNNNNNNNNNNNNNNNNNNNNNNNNNNNNNNNNNNNNNNNNNNNNNNNNNNNNNNNNNNNNNNNNNNNNNNNNNNNNNNNNNNNNNNNNNNNNNNNNNNNNNNNNNNNNNNNNNNNNNNNNNNNNNNNNNNNNCGCGGGAGGCGGCGCACCACGUGGCACCAUGCCACUGGCUGCGGGCGGCGGCGGCGAUGCGUCCGGUCGGGGCGGACGUGUCCGGCUGGCGCGGGUAGAAUUUUAGGGUUUUCAAGGAAGAAGAAGAUCCGGAUUCGGAGGGUUCUUUAAAUAGGCAUAGAGGGAGCUAGGAGAGUCCAAAUGAGGUGCGGUUUUCGGCCACACGAUCGUGAUCGAACGAUCUAGAUGAUGGAGAAGGCUUAGGUGGGUUUUGGGCCAAAUUGGAGGGGUGUUGGGCUGCAACACACACGAGGCCUUUUCGGUCCCUCGAUUAACCGUUGGAGUAUCAAACGAAGUCCAAAUGAUACGAAACUUGACGGGCGGUCUACCGGUAGUAAACCAAGGCCGCUUGGCAAGUCUCGGUCCAAUCCGGAAAUGUUUAAUCCCCACACACAAAAGAAAGCUAGAAAUGACCACCGGAGGAGAACGAAGCACCGGAAUGCAAAACGGACAACGGGGAAAAUGCUCGAAUGCAUGAGACGAACAUGCAUGCAAAUGAAAUGCACAUGAUGACAUGAUAUGAGAUGCAUGACAACAACAACAACACACGGAGACAAAAACCCGAAGCCGAGAAAAUAAAAUAACUUAACGCCAGAAACGGCAAGAGUUGGAGUACAAAUUGGGAAAGUUACAUCCGGGGUGUUACAAUUAACCCCUUUAAGCUAACGUCAACGUGAUGGCUCCACGACUAAGUCCUCACACCAGGACAUCUGCCGUGACAAUUCCAUGACAGUUGGCGCACACCGUGGGGCUAUCGCACGAUGGUUUUGAGUUCUUAAAGGGCAGCUUCGAAGGGAUCAAGGGACACGCCGUGGGCCGGAUAACCAAGAGUCAUCGCGGCAAGCUCUACAUCGACGACGCAGGCUGGGGCCCCGAGGCCGGCUCAAUUGAGUACGGGUACCGGGCCCCCUUCGGUGGAAUCCACGUCUUCAUCGACAAGAUCGGCGAACCGGGCCCUGAGCCGGACAUCCGCACUGACAUCGUCGAGAUGGCUCAGUGUGCAAGACCCGCCCGGGUUCAGCCUGCCAUGAAUCGCGCCUUCGCGGUAUUUACCCAUGGAGUGGAAUUGGAGGACAUGCCAGCAUCUGGUGAUGAGACCGUCAUUUACUCUGAUGACGAGUCAUCCACUGGUGAGACCGAGUCACUGUAUCAACUGCAAGAGGGCCGGCUUGGGGGCUAUUCCGAUGGCAACAGUAUUCUGGACCCCUAUGAGCCGCCGAACCGAGUUGCAAUUUUCAUGGCCGGUACACAGGCCGCGUAGCACUCAUCAACUGCGGCGGAGCUGGUUUUCGGGUUAGUGGCGGCAGUGGCUGCCGGGGCAGGAGGCCCUGAGCGCCUGCCGGCUCAUGCUUUAACUAAUUUGCUAGAUAAAUUGAUGACGCCGUUGACAGCGGUGGUUAACCCGGUGGAUCAAGAUCAACAUAACGCGACGAUCACAAGAUUGCGCGAUGAGAUAGCACAUGCUAAGGAAGAGCUAAAUGCAGAAAGCACUAAGAUGGCUGAAGAAAGGGCUGCUUUGGACGCCUAGUCACAACGGAUUCAGGAGGAGUCUUACCGGCUCAUGUUGGAUCAAAAUGCUUCAAACGAGGUCAUGAGAAGGAGGCAUUAUACCCGUCUGCCGUUGGUCUAUGAAGCAAGAAAUCUUUUUAACACACCAGGAGCAGGAACCAGCAACCCAGCUGGGGUAAACCAAGUCGAAGAACCUGGGACGGGUACGCUGGUUCAACCACGCAUGAUGGAUCCACCUUGUCAGAACAACAACCCGCCACAGCAUGUGCGGACGCCACCGGGUCAUUACUCCAACUCUUUGGAUAACAUGAUCGCUGCGGCAUCUCGAUUGGCAGCUAUCCCGGUUGAAGGUGAAUCGCCAGCGGCUGUUGAGACACGGAGGGCCAGGGAUCUUCUUCAGACAGUGUUGGUUCAACAACAGGCUUAUUCUUACAGUCGUGAUCGAGUUCAUUCUACCCCUCGUCCGAGACGGAGUUACAGUAGGCAUCUCGAUGAGCCGGCUGUAUUAAGAAGUGGGCGGAACUGUAACCCGCCCCGUGGGCAUGACCCGGCGGGCGGUGGUGCGAACACUCAGGACGUGGUGGAUCAAGGUAGAGCUCAUCGAGAGGCCGAGCUGUCGGCUCAGUAUGCAGCUCAUGAACAAACUCCGUUUCAUCCGACCACCUCUAUGGAGCCAGGCUUAACCUUUAGAAACUUGGGCGUGCCAUGCUUAGUGCCGGAUCUACGUAAUGAGCGUCUUCCCAAAGAUUUCAAAGGACCUCGCAAGGUGCCAAACUAUACAACUGAUUUAUGUCUUGGGGCAUGGAUCGAGAGUUAUGAGAUGGCCAUGGAGUUGCUAGACGUUAGUGAGGCUGCAUGUGCUAAGUAUUUUCCCCUGAUGUUAGAAGGAACGGCCCGCACAUGGUUGAAGGGGCUUCCUUCCAAUUCCAUUGAGUCAUGGGCUGAGUUGAAAACCCGGUUUAUCCAGAACUUCAAAGAUACGUGUAAGCAGCCCAUGUCGAUUGUAGAUCUGGCCGCUUGUGUUCAGGAAGAAGGUGAAUCAACAACUCAUUGGGUCCGCCGGGUCUCAACAAUCUUACACUCGUCGGAUCGCAUCAAUGCCGACUCAGCGGUGUUGAUGUUGGAGAACAACUGCCGUUUCACGCCCUUGAAGCAGAAAUUAGGGCAGCUCAAACGCCACUGUAAUGACAUGGGAACACUCAUGGCAACUCUGGUUAAUUAUGCUGACUCUGAUAGUACCAAAGACCCUGACUCUGAUGAUGAUAUAGCAGGGAUGGGGAAGAGGAGCAGCAAUGCUAAGGGGCAGCAGUAUAACCCGGGAGGCAACGGUAAGCGCAAAGCUGAUAAUAGUUUUGACUUCGUGGCUAACAUGAAUGCACAAAAUGAUGGCAGCGUCGAAAGGGUAAACAGCCUCCACAAGCCAUAGGGUCCGGUAUCAAUCUGGAGUGUAUGUUGAAUCAGCCCUACCCACGACAUGGUACGAAGGAAAGACCAUCCGGGCAUCUAUGGAAGGAUUGUCACAUCAUGGAAGAGUUCAAAAAUUCAAAUCUUUUCCAUGAGAGCCAUGGGCCAGGUGGCGGUUCUGGGCCCGGCUCCCACGGUCUGGGUUAUGGCAGUGGCGGUUCUGGUUUCCAAGGAAAUCAAGGUAAUCACAACAACAAGGGUGGUUACAACCAGCAGAAUAAUCAAGGGGGCCAGCAACAACAAUAGUCUGGUUACCAGAGCAACCCGAAGCAGUUGAAUAGUGAGAAAUAUCAUGUGUUUACCACUAGCUUGUGUAAGCGUGACCAGAAGCUUCAUAAGAGAUUAGUCAAUGCUGUUGAGCCGGCAGUUCCUCGCUAUCUACAUUGAUCUGAGCAGCCCAUCGUGUGGAGUCGGGAAGAUCAUCCACCCCGGGUUGAUAAUCCGGGUCAUUUGGCUUUGGUGGUUGCACCGUAGGUCGGAGGAUAUAAGUUUUCCAAGGUGCUCAUGGACGGAGGGAGCAGCAUCAAUAUCCUUUAUUAUGAAACUUUUCAUCGCAUGGGGUUGACUGAUAAAAAUCUUAAGCCGUCAAACACUAUUUUCCAUGGUGUGGUGCCUGGUAAGUCGGCAUAUCCAACCGGUAAGAUAGCUCUGGAAGUUGUUUUUGGAGAUGAUCAUGACUCUAGGUCAGAAACAUUGACUUUUGAAGUGGUCAAGAUCCACAACCCAUGUCACCCUCUGUUUGGACGACCGGCUUAUCCCAAGUUCAUGGUGCGGCCGUGUUACCGUGUAUCUGCAACUUAAGAUGCCGAGUCACAAAGGAACCAUUACGGUGCAUGGGAGCCAUAGGAUAGCUCUGGAGUGUGAAGAGGGGGAUGCGGCUUGUGCUGAGUCAGUUUGUGCAACAGAGGAGUUGAAAUUUUACAAGGACAAUUUUGACCCGAUAGAUAUGACGUCUUUGAAAAAGCCAACCAUGGAGUAUGAUCUGGUCUUAAAGUUUAAAUCGGCAGAUGAUACCAAGAUGGUUGAUUUUGUUCCUGGCGACUCAUCCAAUUAGUUUAGCAUCAGUGCUAAUCUGGAUCCGAAAUAGGAAAGUGCGCUCAUCGAGUUCAUCCGUGAGAACCGGGACAUCUUUGCAUGGAAGCCUUCAGACAUGCCGGGUGUACCGAGAGAACUCGUUGAGCACACUCUUAAUAUUGAUACAAAGUUUAAGCUAGUCAAACAGUUUCUUCGCCACUUUAAUGAGGAGAGACGGAAGGCCGUUGGAGAAGAAGUAGCCCGGCUCUUGGUAGCUAGGUUUAUCAUUGAAGUUUUUCAUCCUGAGUGGUUACCUAACCUAGUGCUGGUAUUUAAGAAAAACGGCACUUGGCGUAUGUGUGUGGACUACACAGAUUUAAACAAGGCUUGUCGCUAAUCCUUUUGCUCUCCCUCGUAUUGAUAAGAUUAUUGAUGGUACGGCGGGUUGUGAGCGUUUGAGUUUUUUGGAUGCUUAUUCUGGUUAUCAUCAGAUCAAGAUGGCAGUUAAGGACCAGGAGAAGACGUCUUUCAUAACUCCCUUUGGAGCCUUCUACUAUGUGUCUAUGCCUUUUGGGCUCAAGAGUGCCCAGGCGACUUAUCAGAGGUGUGUGCAAAAUUGCCUUCAUGACCAAAAUGGGCGUAAUGUUCAUGCCUAUGUGGAUGAUAUUGUGGUGAAAUCCAGAGAGAAAGAGACAUUGAUAGAUGAUUUGAAGGAAACCUUUGAUGAUCUCCGAGUGUACAAGAUGAUGCUUAACCCGACCAAGUGUGUUUUUGGUGUGCCGGUAGGCAAGCUCCUGGGGUUUUUGGUGUCUAACAAAGGAAUUAAAGCUAAUCCGGAGAAGAUCAAAGCUAUCACCUCGCUGGCUAAGCCGACAUGUAUCAAUGAUGUGCAGCGUCUGGCGGGUCGUAUUGCGGCGUUAAGCCGGUUCAUAAGCCGGUUGGGGGAGAAGGCUAUCCCUCUAUAUCAGAUGAUGAAAAAGACAAAUAACUUUGUCUGGAGUGAUGCUGCUGAUGCAGCGUUUGAGGAUUUGAAGAAGCAGUUGAUUGAGCCGCUAGUACUCGCAGCCCCUACUGAUAAGGAGCCUUUGUUGUUAUACGUGGCCGCUAAUAGCUGGGCCGUCAGUGUGGCUAUUGUGGUAGAAAGAAAGGAAGCAGGCAAGGAGUAUUUGGUUCAAAGACCAAUUUAUUAUAUCAGUGAAGUGCUUAUUGAGUCCAAGCAGAGGUAUCCACACUGGCAGAAGCUUGUAUAUGGGCUGUUCUUGGCCAGCCGGAAGCUUAAACAUUAUUUUCUGGGCCAUCCCAUCACCGUGUCAGCUCUGCUCCUUUGGGAGAUAUCAUCAAAAAUAGAGAAGCAACUGGUCAGGUCGCUAAGUGGGCCAUUGAUCUUGGGCCUCAUGGGUUAAAAUGUGUGCCUCGCACGGCCAUCAAGUAUCAAGCACUGGUGGACUCCAUCAACGAUUGGACAGAGUUGCAUAUUCCUGAGGAAAAGCCAGAUAACACAUAUUGGACUAUUCACUUUGAUGGGUCCAGGCAAUUGGAAGGCUUGGGGGAUGGAGUUAUUCUUGCUUCCCCUCGAGGUUAUUGAGGGACUCCUGGAUUAGGGGGUCUCUGGACAGCCGGACUAUAUCCUUUGGCCAGACUGUUGGACUAUGAAGAUACAAGAUUGAAGACUUCGUCCCGUGUCCGGAUGGGACUCUACUUGGCGUGGAAGGCAAGCUAGGCAAUAUGUAUAUGUAUAUCUCCUCCUUUGUAACCGACCUUGUGUAACCCUAGCCCCCUCCGAUGUCUAUAUAAACCGGAGGGUUUUAGUCCGUAGGACAACAUACAAUCAUACCAUAGGCUAGCUUAUAGGGUUUUAGCCUCUCUGAUCUCGUGGUAGAUCUACUCUUGUAAUACUCAUAUCGUCAAGAACAAUCAAGCAGGACGUAGGGUUUUACCUCUAUCAAGAGGGCCCGAACCUGGGUAAAACAUUGUGUCCCCUGCCUCCUGUUACCAUCCGCCUUAGACGCACAGUUCGGGACCCCCUACCCGAGAUCCGCCAGUUUUGACACCGGCAUUUGUGCUUUCAUUGAGAGUUCCACUGUGUCGUCACCAUAAGGCUCGAUGGAUCCUUCGAUCAUCGCUGGUGAUGCGGUCCAGGGUGAGGCUUUCGUCCCCGGACAGAUCUUCAUAUUCGGCGGCUUUGCACUACGGGCCAACUCGCUUGGCCAUCUGGAGCAGAUUGAGAGCUACGCCCCUGGCCACCAGGACAGAUUUGGAAACUUGAACUACACGACCGACAUCCGCGGAGACUUGAUCUUCGACGAAUUCGAGCCCAUGUCGGACGCGCCGUACAGUCUUGACGAGCAUGACGUAACUCUGCCGUCGGACGGUAUUCAGGAGAUCGCAUCUGCAGCUACUCCAUCCAUCAAUCCAGAGCAAGUCGCUCCAUCCGAGACCGGAGGGAUGGACCCCGCCAUGGAGCCGCACUCUCAGUGGCGAUAGAGCCGGAUACUGACUUCACCCCUUAUGAGAGCCGUGUUGCCGAACCACUGGAUUCAUCUUCGGCCACGGACUCCGAGCCGCAUGUAUCCGCGCCCGUCGAGUCCGACUAGGCGCCGAUCAUGGAGUUCACCUCCACGGAUAUCUUUCAGCACUCACCUUUUGGAGAUGUGCUAAAUUCAUUAAGGUCUCUCUCACUGUCAGGAGAACCUUGGCUGAACUAUGUCCGGCUAGAAUGGGAUGCAGACGACGAAGAAAUUCGCCGCCCACCCACCACCCACUUAGUAGCCACUGUCGACGACUUAACCGACAUGCUCGACUUCGACUCCAAAGACUUCGACUGUAUGGACGACAAAGCUGGAGAUGAAUAGGAUCCACCGCUCUCGGGGCACUGGACCGCCACCUACUCAUAUGAUAUAUACAUGGUGGACACCCCCAAAGAAGCCAAUGGCGACGAGAAAGCGGAGGAUGACCCCUCCAGGAAGCAACCCAAGAGCCGACGUCAGCGGCGCUACUGUCCCACCACAGCAGGAGCAGUGAUACCGGCACAGGAGAUAAUAACACUCCGAAUAGUGCCGAAGACAACAACAAUCGCCUCCAGCACGAUGUAGAUCCAGAGGAUGAACAAGCUAGCCCUCCAGAGUGGGUAGCAGAUGGAGAACCGGAGGAGGACAAUUACAUGCCUCUCUCCGAAGAUGAGGCAAGCCUCGGCGACGACGAGUUUAUCGUGCCUGAGGACCUCGUCGAGCAAGAGCUCUUCAAGCGCCGGCUUAUGGCCACGGCAGAAAAAGCAGCAACAACUUCAAGCUGAUCAAGACUUGCUAGCAGACAGGUGGACCGAAAUCCUUGCGGCCGAGGAGCAUGAACUCGAGCGCCCGUCCAAGAGUUACCCAAAACGCAGGUUGCUACCUUACCUCGAGGAGGAAGCAUUGAAACAUCAUUCACCAGUGUACAAUGCGGCUGACUGGCCACUACGCGGCCGAGUCAGUAAGGCAUUUCAGCCUAAAGUUCAGCCCGCACCCCGUCGCCACUCAGUCAAAAAUACUACGACCCGGGGCAACACAGAGGACCUGCGAGACAUGUUGGACAGCAAGGCAAAAAUCGCAAGGUCAAUAUACGGGACACGAACACGUGCGCCCACAUGGGACGAUGAUCGUCGCGUCGGAUACACCAAGAGUAAAUCCGGCUGGGCUGAAUACAGCAGACAAGACUCAUACGAACUACGUCGGGAUAUAGCCCGGCACAGAGGCGCUGCACACCCCCUAUGCUUCGCUGAUGAAGUUAUGAAUCAUGGAUUCUCGGAGGGUUUCAAACCCGUAAACAUCGAAUCAUACGACGGCACAACAGAUCUCACUCUGUGGAUUGAGGAUUUCCUCCUUCACAUCCACAUGGACCGCGGUGACGAUCUACAUGCCAUCAAGUACCUCCCACUAAAACUCAAAGGACCAACUCGGCAUUGGCUGAAUAGCUUGCCAGCAGAUUCCAUCGGCAGUUGGGAGGAUUUGGAAGAUGCAUUUCUUGACAACUUCCAGGGCACUUAUGUGCGGCCACCGGAUGCUGAUGACUUGAGCCACAUAACCCAGCAGCCAAUGGAAUCGGCCAGACAAUUUUGGACACGGUUCCUGACUAAGAAAAAUCAAAUUUUAGACUGUCCGGAUGCAGAAGCCCUAGCGGCAUUUAAGCAUAACAUCCACGAUGGGUGGCUCGCUUGCCACCUAGGCCAGGAGAAGCCGAAAUCUAUGGCAGCCCUCACAACACUCGUGACCCGCUUUUGCGCGAGCGAGGACAGCUGGCUGCCUCGCAGCAACAACACAUCAAGGAAUCUGGAUACCUCAGAUACCAAAGACGUUAACGGUAGGCAGCGUCAUAAUAGACCAAAGCGCCGCAAUAACGGCGAUCAAUCCGAAGAUACGGCAGUCAACGCUGGAUUCAAAGGCUCCAGAUCCAGUCAGCGGAAAAAGCCAUUCAAAAGAAAUACUCCGGCUCCGUCCAGUCUGGACCGCAUACUGGAUCGCUGGUGUCAAAUCCACGGCACCCCCGACAAGCCCACCAAUCACACCAACAGAGAAUGCUGGGUGUUCAAGCAGGCCGGCAAGUUAAAUGCCAAAAACAAGGACAAGGGGCUACAUAGCGAUGACGAGGAGGAGCCACGGCCGCCGAACCCAGGAGGACAGAAGGGGUUUCCCCCACAAGUGAAGACAGUAAACAUGAUAUAUGCAACCCACAUUCCCAAGAGGGAGCGGAAGCGUGCACUAAGGGACGUCUACGUGAUGGAGCCCGUUGCCCCGAAGUUCAACCCAUGGUCUCCUUGUCCGAUCACCUUCGAUCGCAGGGACCACCCCACUAGCAUCCAUCAUGGAGGAUCCGCCGCACUAGUCCUAGACCCCAUCAUUGACGGAUUCCACCUCACUCAAGUCCUUAUGGACGGCGGCAACAGCCUAAACCUGCUUUAUCAGGAUACAGUGCAAAAAAUGGGUAUCGAUCCUUCGAGGAUCAAACCCAGCAAAACCACCUUUAACGUAAUCCCAAGUGUAUAGGCCCAUUGCACAGGCUCAAUCGCACUGAAAGUGGUCUUCGGAUCACCGGAUAACUUUCGAAGCGAAGAGUUAAUCUUCGACAUCGUCCCGUUUCGCAGUGGCUAUCAUGCACCGGACGGACAACAUUUGCAAAAUUCAAUGCAGUUCCGCAUUACACAUACCUCAAGCUCAAGAUGCCAGGACCUUGCGGGGUCAUAACAGUAAAUGGAAACGCAGAAUGCUCACUCCGUAUGGAAGAUCACACUGCGGCCCUUGCGGCAGAGGCACAAAGCAGCCUAUUCAGGCAGACCACUCAUUCGGCGUUACAACCCCCGGACACCUUCAAGCACGUCCGGAAUAAUCUGCAACAGGAUCGCCUGGCGCGAUCUACGCUCGCCUAGCAAUUCGGCCCCCGUCCCAGUCCCAAUGCAGCGACGAAAUUCAUGCCGCGCGUACAUAACUACGCAUUGAAAAUACCAUGGGCAUAAGCGGGGGCACAAUCAGGACACGCCCCGCAUUGUGGCUUAAACCACGCGAGGGGCUGUACACCUUUCACAUUCCUUUUCUCUUUUAGGGCCUAACUUUUUGGAAGCCCUUUUCGGCAGUCCGACUGUCGGGCACACUUCGGAAGCAACAACCAAUGCGGUGAGAAGCUAAGAUGAACACGGGAACCGCCAAGUGGCCUCUAGUAAUACUUGAUAUACCCGCUUUUCACUAUUUAUGCGUAGCUUGCCUUGGGAUAGGACAUUUCGAAUUGUCCCACUUCAUGCUUAUUGCACUACUUGUACCAGUACGUCUCGACGUAUUACUCAAAUAACAAUGCAUAUUAUUAACCUGUCAUUGCAUUAUUUAAGUCUUUCUCUUUCUCUUAUAUGUCCAUUUACGACAUUCCGCACCUGCGCGCUCGGGUGCGGUCAGUACGCUAGGGGCUCUGGUUUACCCCAUAAUACGACGCAAGAAGUCCGAACACUUUCGACAGUGCGGCACCCCGAACUUAUAGCAUUAUAUGCAUCAACUCCGAAUCAUGUCUUGGGUCAAAUGUUGGGUUGCCCGGCUCCCACACUUUGGUACCUUACGUUCCACUAUAUCAGCUAAGGUAGCGGUGGGAGAACUACUACGAUUGUGUCCCGGUUAUUCCGGACGAGCACCUCAGUAGAGAAAGCCAAAAACUGACUGUCAUGAUAAGGCGAGAGAUUAGUCGCUGUUCGAGAGGUUUCAAGUCCUUAAAGACUUUUUCCACUUCGGGCGAGGAGUCGGUCUUGUCCGGCUUAGGCGUGUAUAGCGCCCCAAAUUCAGCCCUCCGAAUACCAGGGGCUUCGCCAAAAAUUUAAAAUCAUAGACUUCUAUGGCUAAGUGAGAGUGAUAAAGCAUUAUAGUCUGAUUGUCUGGUUUGUUGCGCUGAACACCUCCCUUGAAGGACCCAAAAUUGGGGUAAAGAGUGUUCAUAUUUAUCCGAACACCCCAGUACUAGUUACAUGGGGGUAGAAGCCGACGACUGGCCAACUCUUAGAUUUUAUAAACGGCCGCACAGAAGGUAAUAUUUUAAAUUAAGAAAGCGUCACAUGGCGCAAAUGAACUCGUUCCAUAUUACAGGAUCACAUGAGCAUGUUCAUUCAAAAAUUACAUCCUUGGCACGCUCAUCUGCCACUAGGCGGGAUCCCUCCAGGAGACCCUCAUAAUAAUUCUUGGGGCGGCGAUGCUCCUUGCCCUCCGGCGGCCCCUCCUUCACAAGCUUCACGGCGUCCAGCUUCGCCCAGUGCACCUUCGCCCGGGCAAAAGCCCUGCAUGCACCUUCGAUGCAGAUGGACCGCUUGAUGACCUCAAGCCGUGGGCAUGCUUCUACCAGCCGUCUCACCAGACCGAAGUAGAUGCCGGACAGGGGCUCGCCAGGCCACAUCCGGACUAUAAGGCCCUUCAUGGCCUGUUCGGCCGCCUUGUGGAGUUCAACAAACUGCUUCAGCUGGUCGCUCAAGGACACGGGGUGUUUGGUCCCAGUAUACUGAGACCAGAACAACUUCUCCGUUGAGCUCCCCUCCUCAGCCCGGUAAAACUCUGCGGCAUCCAGCACACUGUGGGGAAGAUCUGCAAACGCUCUUGGAGAGCUCUGAACUCGGGUAAGAAAGCGGAAAUUCUCCUUCACAUGCUUGCUUUGCAUAUUGAAUGCCUUACCCGCUGCUAUCUUCUUCGCCUCAUCAAUCUCCUGGAGGGCCUUGUGGGCUUCGGCCAUGGCGCUCCGGACGCUUUCAAGCGCCUGCGCAAGCUCGGACUCUUGCGUUUUAGAGUCUAGCUCCAAGGACUCGUGCUUUUUGGCGAGAGCCUCGAGCUCUUGCUGCACCUCGCCCACUCAGGCUUCUUGUUUCUCCCAUUCAAUGCGUUCCUUGGCCGAUCUGUCUUCGGCCACGGACAACACCUUCCUCAGGGUCUCCUGGACAAAUUCAUGAUGAUCCUAUUACUUUACACAGAACUUCUUUUUAACUAUAUAAACUGGGGUAUAUCUUACCUUUGCUCUCUUCGAGCUGCCCCUUGGUAAGGCCGAGCUCGUCCUCGGACCGCUUUAGGGCCUGCUUCAGCGCAGAGACCUCCACAGUACGUGCGGCAGCGGCCAGUAGGGAAGCCUGCACAUACACAUAGACAUACUUUGAUUAGACUCCCGAGUUAUCAUUUGAUACUCUAUUCGGCUUUUCUUCACGAACGCCGAACAGAGCAUCAGGGGCUAUUAUCUAUGAGGUAAUAUUUUUAUAUUUUGAAUGCUUACCUCAAAGCCUGUUAGGAGGCUGGCGCAAGCUUCAGUCAGCCUGUUCUUGGCGGAUUGAACCUUCUUAACCACCACACUCAUGAUAGUGCGGUGUUCUUCAUUAAUGGAAGCGCUGUGAAGCGCUUCUAGCAAGAUGUCCGGUGCCUCUGGUUGGACAGAGGGCACCGACACGGAUGGUUGGACCCCCUUAAUGGGGGACCGCCUGCCGAAGUCCAGGACCAUUGAAGGUUCCGGCGCGGUGUCCGGCGGGGCCCCGAACUCGAAGCCCGUAGGAGCCUCACUCCCCUGGUACCCAGGGUCCGGGAAGUCGCCGCAAGGCGCCCCCAGGACCACCUCCCCUUGACUCGGUACCUGUUUGGACAACACCUCAGCGUUGUCCGUUGGGUGAGGGGUGGAAUCAGUCGGAAGAGAACCAAUGUUCAUAUCCGACGAGCCCAACGAGCCGCUCGACGAAGGUACGUCAGGAUGAGCUCGGGACGGACUGCAUAAUCAUGUUCGGCAUGAGGAAAGGCAGUACAAUAAAACAUAUCAUGAAGUACUAUGGUGUCCGAACACCUACUACUUCGCCAAGGGCUUGUCCCUGGGCAGCCACUCAUCGCCGUUGUUGACGGCCGUCGUGGCACGGUCCGGAAGGAGGGUCCUUCCCUUCUUGGACCCUUCGGCCUCCAUACAUGGGUCGGCCUUCCUUUUCUUGUCUCCCCCGGCUGGGGGAGGGGGAACUUUUCUCCUCCUCCUCGUUUCCGUGGGAGGAGUGUGCGUCGGAGUCAUCGUCCGAUAUGACCGUACACUGGAGACCCUUUUGGGUCCCCGCGGUCUUCUUCUUGGUCUUCUGUGCUGACACCUCGUAAGGUGCCGGAGUGAGCAUCUUUGUUAGAAGAGCGUCUGCAGGAUCUUCGGGCAGCGGGGCUAGGCUAUCAAGCUGCUCUGCUAUCUUUAACCAGUCCUGUUAGUGACAUGGGAGCUUAGAUCCUACGCAUAACUAUACCUGGGCAAAAAAUAACCCAAGAAAUAUAAAUGCUUACCGGACCGGCAUGGCGCUUUGCGCUGGGUCUGCGGUCUUCGGUGAGAGGGGGAGGGAUCUCGGCGCUCUUGAACAGCACCCUCCAGACGUCUUUGUGCAUCGUGUCAUAGAGCUCUUGGAGCAUCUGGUGCUUGGCCGAGUCGAACUCCCACAAAUUGAAUGUCCGUUGUUGGCACAAAAGAUCUGGCGAACGAGCAUAACCUGGACCUCGUUGACAAGUUUAAUUUUCUUGUUCAUCAUUUUCUGGAUACAGGUUUGGAGUCCGGUUAGCUCUGCCGAAGAACCCCAGGACAGGCCCUUCUCUUUCUAGGAGGUGAGCCGUGUGGGGAUUCCAGAUCGAAAUUUGGGGGCCGUCGCCCAGUUGGUGUCGCGCGGCUCAGUGAUGUAGAACCACCCCGAUUGCCACCCCUUUAUGGUCUCCACAUAGGAGCCUUCGAGCCAGGUGAUGUUUGGCAUCUUGCCCAGCAUGGCUCCUCCGCACUCCGCCUGCUGGCCGACCACCACCUUCGGUUUGACAUUAAAAGUCUUCAGCCACAUGCCGAAAUGGGGCUUGAUGUGGAGGAAGGCCUCACACACGACGAUAAACGCCGAGAUGUUCAGGAUGAAGUUGGGGGCCAGAUCAUGAAAAUCCAGCCCGUAGUAGAACAUGAGCCCGCGGACGAAGGGGUGGAGUGGAAAUCCCAGUCCGCGGAUGAAGUGGGUGAGAAAAACUACCCUCUCAUGGGGUUCGGGCGUAGGAAUGACCUGCCCUGCAUUCGGCAGCCGGUGCGCGAUAUUCCCAGCUAGGUAUCUGGCCUCCCGUAACUUUUUGAUGUCUUCCUCCGUGACAGAGGAAGCCAUCCACUUGCCUCCUGCUCCAGACAUGCUUGGAAUGGUUUGAGAAGAAGGGCGCGAGCUUGGGCGCUAGAGCUUGAGUGUGCGGGAAUGGGAAAGCGAGAAGGAAGAAGGCGUGGGUGAAAAAAGUAGAUCUUUGUCCCUUUUAUAAGGGCGGAGGAGGCGAUGAGUCUCCCCACUUGCUUGGCAAAACCGCUUAUUCCCCAGGCGCCAUAAUUGAUGGCGCGGUUGGGUUACCCACAUCCGUAUUGAUGAGAAUCCCAUGACAAGGGGAACACGAUCUCUUCUUUGACAAGACGUAUCGAGAAAACCGCCUCGCAUUAUGUGCGGGGCUGGUUGAGAAAAGCGGUUCGAAUAAUAACCGGGCCAUGAAGUGAUGUCAUACUAUCAAAACAUGUCAGUAGAUUGGAUUUAUGAAGUAUUAUUCUCUUCUAUGGUGGAAUGUGCAACUUAUUUUACAGGGUCGGACACUAUCCUUGCGUUCAAACUCUUUCAUGGUGUAUUCGGAGGAGGAACCCACCUUGCAAUGCCGAAGACAACACUGCGCCGGACUCAUCGUCAUUGAAGCCUGGUUCAGGGGCUACUGAGGGAGUCCUGGAUUAGGGGGUCUCCGGACAUCCGGACUAUAUCCUUUGGCCGGACUGUUGGACUAUGAAGAUACAAGAUUGAAGACUUCGUCCCGUGUCCGGAUGGGACUCUACUUGGCGUGGAAGGCAAGCUAGGCAAUACGGAUAUGUAUAUCUCCUCCUUUGUAACCGACCUUGUGUAACCCUAGCCCCCUCCGGUGUCUAUAUAAACCGGAGGGUUUUAGUCCGUAGGACAACAUACAAUCAUACCAUAGGCUAGCUUCUAGGGUUUUAGCCUCUUCGAUCUCGUGGUAGAUCUACUCUUGUAAUACUCAUAUCAUCAAGAACAAUCGAACAGGACGUAGGGUUUUACCUCUAUCAAGAGGGCUCGAACCUGGGUAAAACAUCGUGUCCCCUGCCUCCUGUUACCAUCUGCCUUAGACGCACAGUUCGGGACCCCCUACCUGAGAUCCGCUGGUUUUGACACCGACAGUUAUAAAUUUUGCUAUGUUCUUCGUUUGAUGUUUCCUUGUACUAACAUUGUAGCUGAGUAUGAGGCCUUACUCCAUAGUCUUCGGAUGGCUAAGGAAACGAACUUAAGCCGGGUUAGAUGCUUCGACGACUCAGAUUUGGUGGCUCAGCAAGUCUCUGGUACUUGGGAUUCUAAGGAUCAACUCAUGGCGGCUUAUCGGUGAGAGGUGGACGUUAUUGCUGGUCACUUCAAAGGUUAUCAAGUUGAGCAUGUUGAUUGGAGGAAAAAUGAAGUGGCAGACUCUUUAAGCUGGCUGAGCUCUCAAUGUAAGCCGGUGCUGCCUAAUUUCUUUCUUGAUGUCUUGCAUAACCCGUCGGUUAAGAUUCCUACAGAGGAGGAUUUGGCUAUUCCUGACCAGGAGGCUCAGUUGGUGGCGGCUCUUCACGUCACCCCAGAUUGGACAGUCCCUUACUUGGCCUAUAUGACCCGGGGCAAGUUACCUGAGGAUGAAACCUUAGCCAGGUAGAUAAGCUGGCGGUCUAAGUCAAUGACGAUUGUCAAUGGAGAGUUACAUCAUCGUAGUGUCACAGGGGCGUUUCAGCAUUGUGUUUCUCCAGAAGAGGGCUGUGAGAUUUUACGAGAAAUUCAUGAGGGAGAUUGUGGUCAUCAUGCUGAUUCAAAGUCUCUUGUAGCUAAAGCUUUCCGUCAUGGGUUCUAUUGGCUAACAGCCCAUGCUGAUGUAGAGGACCUCAUUAGCAGGUGUGAUGGAUGUCAGAAAUUUGCACGUCGAGCCCAUGUGCUGGCUCAAGAAUUGAGGAUGAUUCCAAUUACUUGGCCGUUCGCCGUUUGGGGGCUCAAUAUGGUUGGGCCUUUCAAAAGAUCCAAGGAUAAGAACACCCACCUUUUGGUGGCGGUUGAUAAGUUCAGUAAGUGGGUAGAGGCAGAGCCGAUCAGUAAGUGUGAUGCAGCAAUGACGGUUCAAUUCAUGAAGAAGGUGAUCUUCCGUUUUGGCUUUCCACACGACAUUAUAACAGAUAAUGGCACUAAUCUCUCUAAAGGUGCUAUGGAAGAAUUUUGCCAACGUGAGCAUAUCCAGCUUGAUGUAUCAUCAGUAGCUCACCCUCAAUCCAACGGUCAAGCUGAGAGAGCAAACCAAGAGAUCCUAAAAGGCAUCAAACCCUGGCUUAUGUUUCCCCUGCAGAGGACGCCGGGUUGUUGGGUGGAGGAGUUACCUUCCAUGUUAUGGAGCAUCAAUACCACCCCAAACAGAUCUACGGAUUACACACCUUUCUUCAUGGUUUAUGGAGCAGAGGCGGUUCUCCCUAGUGACAUCCGUCAUGACUCGCCUCGUGUGGCGGCUUAUGUUGAAGCAGAUAAUGAAAUAGCACAUCAAGAAGCACUUGAUCUAUUGGAUGAGGAGCGUGACAUAGCAGCAGCUCAUUCGGCGAUUUACCAGCAAGAUCUGCGCCGUUAUCACAGCAGCCGGGUUAAAACCAGAACUUUUCAAGAAGGCGACCUGGUGCUCUGGCUUAUCCAGGAUCAGACUGACAUGCACAAGUUAUCCCCACCUUGGGAAGGACCCUUUGUGGUCAGCAAGAAUCUAAACAACGGGUCAUAUUACCUUAUCGAUGUUCGAGACCACAGGGACUCACGCACGUCGAAGGAGGAGACCCGUCGCCCCUGGAAUAUUGCUCAGCUUAGGCCAUACUACACCUGAGCCACCGGCUCAUCCAAUGUACAUAUUUUGACAAUGUAUAUAUUAUGGUUACAAUAAUAAAGCCGAUGUCCCCACUAAAGCAGGGCCUCUGCCGUUUUCUCUCUCUAAAUUAAUGAGUUUUUGAUUACUUGGGGGCUUCUGCUUUAUACAGCAAAGUUAUAAUUACACUUUGAUCUGGCUUAUAGGCCAUAUACAAAAAACUUGGGACCAAAGAGAGUUUGUGGCAAAAGCACGACUCAAUCAUAGGUACGCCCUGAGCAUAGCUCAAUAUGUCACUUGAGGGCUCUUUAGUUCUAAAGAACGAAGAGUUCAUAACCUUGUGAUGGGCUAUAAAAGCCAGGCUUGGAAGCCAUUUGUAUUCACCUAAAACCCCGGGUUAUCCUGCCUGUAUGCCAGAUGCUUCUCCAUCAGGUAAUCCUGAUUGACCCACUGAACUCUUAACAGUCAAUCUUUUAAACAAGACCCUGAACUCGUGAAGGUUAAAAUGCCGGUUUGUCAUGAGAGGGCACGAUUUUAUGGAUAGCAAGGAGAAGCUCAGGCUAUAAAGCCGCCUUCCUUGAAACUUGGAUAAAUCGACCUGUGAUGCACGAUGCUGCUCUAACCCCGUGUACUCCUGAUGAGUCUAUCUUUAAAUAAGAAAUGAACUUAUCCGGGUUAAAAUGUCGACUUGGUCAAUGAGGGCCGGCUCACGGAAAGCGCGUACCUUCCAGUGGCUAAUGCUAGUUUCAUUGAAGAAGAUAUUUUGGCUUGGCAGCCUAUGAAAGCCUCGGAUUUUUUCUGUUGUUUUGAUUUGGAUGUAUUUUUGAGAUUUUUUCUUCUGUGACAUAGUAAUACGAGGUUGAAAAACAAUAAGGCUUAUAAUGCCUUCUGAGUCAUAUAUGACAUUAACCGGUGUUUAAUAACCCGACCUAAUCUUCGACUAUAAGUCGCCAGUAUAAAAUAAAGGUAAAUAUCCGGUGUUUAUUAACCCAGUCCGGUUUUUUUGUUUAUAAGCCGGCAAUUUCUGAUAACUACCAGCAUCCAAAGUCUUGGGUUAUCACCCUUACUACACUGGCUUGGUAAAAUCAACAAGUGUGAUCAAAUAUCACAGGUAUGAUAUAUUUUCAUAUAUGAUUAUUAUUUUGACCAGCUUUGGUUAUGAAUCAUGAUAAGUUCAUGUUGGGGCAUUAUAACCCAUCUAGCGGUAAACUGCCAGGACACUUUUAAAUGUUGUAUGCAGGAACAUAUUCAAACUUGUUAAAGUCAUAAAGGAUAUAUAGCAUAUCUUCCUAUAACGGAUAAAUAAGUGUUAUAAGCAGCACAAUAUGCACGAUGGCAUAACAGAGCAAGAAGUUUUCAGCUAGCCUAUUACAAGGCGUUUGGAGCCCAAAAUGAUAUUGUUUCUCAGUCUCCCAUACAGCAGAUGAUAAACCGGAGCCGAUUCAUGAUUCUUGGCCCGGUUAACUUGAUGGUUGCGCCUCACCCCUUGCCGGUUCGUCCUCCUCCACCGUCUGGAAGUUGGGUUUGGAUUAGUCAAAGCCAUGAAGGGUGACGAAUUCGACCUCAUCAUCAAUUAGGGCAGAGGGGUCAAUCUAAGCGGCGAAAGUGUGCUUACGAAUCGGCGGGAUUAAGUCCAUCACUUUAAAUGAAGGAGUCACCAUCUUCUUAUUAUCUGCAUCAAAACCCGACUGAUACUUGGUGAGGUUGGUUUCUUCACCAAUGAUGGUAGUAUGAGGGCGAAUUUCCUUGACACAAGCAGCAAAAUCCUCUUGGUCGAAAGGUGUUCCAUCUUCUUUGAGGCUAGGAUAUCCGCUGGCUACGUCCGCCGGGUCUAAUUCUGGUACCCAGGCAUUGGCACGGCUUAAAGUUGUUACAACUCCGGCUCUAGCACACGAUCGCUUGAUUUCUUGGAACCGAGCGGGCAAGAUAGACAACUUCUUCAAGAUGUCACUUAAUAGAGUCGGCCCUUGAUUCACGGGGGAGAUAGUGGCAAGAGUCCGUUGAGCUCCGGUGUACAACUGUUCAACCAGCGUGCAAACCACCUUCAGCUUUACCACGGUAUCUCGGCUCAGAUUGCUGCUCCUGGGACAUGUAAAUAUUACACAAUGAGUUAUGUGGCGGCUUAUAAUGGAAACUAUUUAUUUGAAGUACAUAAGAAGGUGACUUACCGAAGAUUGCAGAAACCAUCCGAGACAUACAGUUCUUUAAACCGGUGAGUUCAGCGGUGACUUCUCCCAAAGCCGCUUCAGCCUUCUCCGCACGUUGUGUCAAAGCAAUCUUCUCAUUGGCCCAAGCCUCUUUCUCCGCCCUGAAGCUGGUCUUCAGCUUUUCGGCCUCAGACACACUCAACUGGAAUUUGGAUUCAGCUUUCCUUGUCUCAGUCUCUGGAGUCGCCAGCCGGGACUUGGCCUUAGACAAUUGAGAUUCCAGUUCUGCGGUCACAGCCUGCAUACAACAUAAGGUUGUUUCAGUUUCAUGACAGAUUAUAAAAAACAAGCCUCAAGUGCUUUGCAAGCAAUAACACUUAACACUUGGGGGCUAAUGUCUGUCAGCGCAAAUUGCUCAAAGGAAAUGGCUCUUUCUAAACAAAAAAGUCCCAAGUGUUUUGCAAGCAAUAACACUUGGCACUUGGGGGCUAAUGCAUAUUGCUUGGCCUUUUUCUACAAAUGAUCCGGAUAAGCUGUCAACAGUCUCAGCCGGCUCAUGAGGGCUAUAUGAUUCAGAUCUCUCUAAUGACUAGUAGGAGUUGCUCAUUCAUACUGAUUAAACCGGCCCUUGGGGGCUACACAUUCAAAUUGAAAUACUAUAAGCAUCCAGUUUAGUUGCAAACCGGACUUGGAGGGAGUCUAAGACAGAGGUUUCUAAAGUAUUCUAAGUCUACAAAUCAUUCAAUAUUUUCAUAAUCACAAGACUUUGAGGUUAGCAGGGUAUGUAACUUAUAUAAGCCGGAGAACGUACCUCAUAUUUUUGGUGCAUCUGCUUGACCAUCUCAAUUUCUGAAUCACGGCUAGAGUGUACUUGACUGAGAUAACCAGAUAACACUUUACUAAUACUCAGGUGAGCAUAGUGGGAGACGUCAAACCUCACCUUCUGCCUUUCCAUAUCUUCUUGUUUGGUAGAGUGUCUUUCCAGAACAGUUGGGUUCCCCGGUUCAACAAAUCUGGUACCAGUAAUUAAAACAUCAUCACCGUGCUUCUCCGGCGGGUUAACUGAGCUUGACGGCUAGAUACUUGAUGGAUCAAUAGCAGUUUCAUCCGCAGAUGGUUCAGGUAAAUCCGUUUGAACAUUGGAAGCAGGGUCCUCUAGCUGUUUAGUGUGUUCUGGCACAAAAGUUGACUGCUUCGGUCCUUCAGGAUGUUCCGGUAUGAUGGUUGUUUGCUCCGGUUCUGUGGUUUUCAGAUCCUCAGCCGACUUUGUCACCUUUGCUUUCUUGGGCUUUGCUUGACCGCUAAAAAAGGAUUUAGACAAGUCAGUACAAUGAUACAUAUAUAAAGGUAUAUAAGAAGGGUAGUUAUCUUUACCCGGGGGCGGUCUUGAAGGCCGGCAAUUGAGAUUGUGAUGAAUCACCAGAGGAGGAAUGGGAAAUCUCCUGUAAAGAUGGAAUCAAAAAUUAGUGAUGAAGGUAAUUCAUUGAACAAAUACAAGGGUGGAAGGUAAAAAAUAACCUCAUUCUACCGUUUCUGAGGAGUUUUUGGUAAGCCGAAGGGGAAAUUGUCUUCUCCACCAGACCGGGUCUGCCGGCGGCUCUCAUGUUGCUGUCAUUUCAAAAGAAAAUGAGGAUCUAAAUAAGCCAAGGGGUGUGAAAACCUUACUUUCCGGGUUACCCGCCGAAGUUUCUGCCUUGGUAAAGAUUCUGAGUCGGAGGAAAUAAUAUUUACCUCUUCUUCAACUACCUGGCUGCCCCCCGUGUCAUCCUAGCAAUAAUCAGUGUCAAUAAGGUGGUUAAAAAACAGGCCAAGAGUCAAGGGCUACCUCCGACUCAGAGGUGUCAUCCAUCUUGAGUAAUUCAGAGCCGGUUGGCUUCUUCUUAGAUUUUCUGACGGUCUUCUUGGCGGCUAUCGCAGCAGCUCUAGCUUUUUUGGCAGCCUCGUGGUCAUAUUUUGCUUUCCAGAGAAUCAGAUUUGGCCUGUGGAAAAAUAACUUGUUGAGAUUCACGCAAAUACUUAACUACGGAGGAAAAAUAAGUUAAGAAGAUUUACCUCUGGUGCCGGGUUAUGCUUGCAUAAAGGAUUCAACCCUACUAUGCUGCAGUCUUCAUACUUGCUAUUGACAAGAGUGGUUGCCAUUUCAACAAUGGCCUCUUCAGUCAAACACACAGAAUGAUGACGUAAAGGGUCAUCAGUUCCUCCAAUGUAUGAACACAUCAAGCCGGAUCGGCGGCUUAAAGGUAUGAUCCGCCAUGCGACCCAGCAGCGGAUCAAGUCAACUGCGGUCAAGCCAUUUCCUAAAAAAGCUUGGACUUUUCGGAUUUUGGGGACACGUUUCUUGCGUUCGGCGGUAGUAAGUUUAUGAGGAAGUUGGUAUUUGGCGUCAAGACGAUCAGCAUGGUAGCCCGGCAUUGGAUUUUCAUCAGACGACGAGAUGUCUUUGCAGUAGAACUACUAAAGGGAAGAUGGCAUCUCAUCUACGUUGAAUCGAAAUCCGGCCAAGUUCGAAGCUGGGACCAUUGGUAUAUUUGUUCUGGUGGUUCAGGUAGAAAUAUUAUCUGAAGAUCUCAAUAGUAGGUUCUUCUUGAAGAUAAACUACGCAGAAAACUUGGAAAUUAGAGAUGUUUGAUAUGGAAUUGGGUCCUAUAUCUUGCGGAUGAAGCUUGAAAAAAUGCAGAACAUCUCUGAAGAAUUUUGAGCCGGGUAGUGAGAAACCCCGGUUCAUAUGAUCUGCGAAGACAAUAAUUUCACCAUCUUUUGGCUGAGAUCUCUCUUCAGCCGGGUCAGGAACACGGUAAUGCAUGACACUCUUUUCUGGUAAGAACCCCAUAGUGAAAAAAAUCUUUCAAAGUACUCUCAGUGACUAUGGAAGGAACCCGAUUGCAAGUUGUCAUCAUUUUCGGCGGCAUGAUGAAAGGACAGUCUAUAAAGAAAAUAAUUGGUUGGUUCAAAUUAGUUGAUGGGAUUGCAAGUUGAGAAAUUACAGUGCAUAAUAGCGGCUUAAGCAAGGGCUAAUGAUAUAUAAGGAAAAGAUAAGCCGGCAGGGUAAGCCGCCAUGACUAAAGAUGUUCAAAGAGUUGCCGGAAGCAACAUUGGCUAAGUACUGAGACAAACAAGUUCCGCAGAUGGAGGUUUCAAAUUUGGAUCUACCGCUGGUUAGAAAAAAGGAUAAAUUCAUGGAUAAAAGGCGACAAUGGAAAAACAGAGAAGCCCUAGAGGAGAUCUGUCAUGGUGGGGGUGUGAUCUAGUAUUAAAACACGAGCUAAAACUACCACCGCGCAAGCUUUCUAUAUUUUUUGGAUCUAAUAUGUGGAUCUAAUCAAAGGAAAAGAAGGACGAUGAUGAACGAGGAUGAACACUGAAGAACACCGACGAAGCCCUAACGAGAGAUUGGGGAUGAACAAAGAAAGGCUUACUGGAGUUGGUAGAACAGCGGAGUAGCGCCGCAGUUCUCUGGUCUGCUUAGGGUGAUGCAGCGACCGGAGUUGAGGUCGAGACGAAGGUCGAUGGCGGCGAGGUUCGUGCAGGACGUCGCGGUGCGAGGAGGAAGAAAGAAGAAUGAGAAUAAUGGAAGAUGGCUUUCGGGUCCUAUUUGUAAGGAGAUAGGAGACAGGCAGGCGCGAAAGUCGAGGAGGCCAAGUGAUAGUUAUCCAGUUAAUUGGACGCCUCGAUUUUCGGGAAGACAUUAAGAUAAAGAUCCAUUAAAGAUGAUGUCGUGGCGGGUUUCCGAAAUUCUUGGAAGAUGACGUCAUGGUGGGUUACAAGGUUUUUUCAGCGGAUAUGGGAGGAUUUUUCUAAGUCUUGAAGGUUGACAUGAACAAGUCCAAAUCAACCCGGGCCUAAUGUUGGGGAUAUAACUAUUAGGUAUGACCCGCCCAGGAGGGGACGGGUCAACCCUAUGAAGAUUCAUCACAAUGAAGCCCAAGGUCACAUGGCGAUUCAUAGAUAGGCUUAGGAGAGGGCCCAGACCCAAAGGUGGCUUAAGGCCCAUGAGUAUAAACCGCCAUGUAUGUAAACUUGUAUAGUAAGGCAUAUGUAAAAGGUCACCGAGCCGGAUACGUUGUAUAAGCCGGCCGGGACUCUGAGGGCCGCAUGACGACAACCCGUGCAUAUAAGGGGACGACCUAGCGGUGGCUUAGGACAAGAAACAACAGAUCGAGAGCCGGGUCAAGCGUAUUCGCUCCCUGCUCAUCAAAACCCUAGCAAUACCAACUACAAACUGGACUAGGCUUUUACGUUCAUCGUAAGGGUCCGAACCAGUAUAAACUCUCUGUGUCCUUUGUCCUGGUUAACCCCUUUAAGCUAACCUCAACGCGAUGGCUCCACGACAAAGUCCUCACACUAGGACAUCUGCCCUGACAAUUCCAUGACAUAUUUGUAACUCACUGUAGCUCCAGAAAUUGCCUCCUUUAGUUGACCCGCCAUUACUUAAGGCGGUUUAUCUUUAUACUGCUCGUUCUUGUACUAUUGAUGAAUCAGUAUCCCCUUUGUUUUUUAAACAACUCUCCUUCUUAUUGUCCUUUAGGCAACUCAAUAUGGCAAAAACUACCCUCUGCAAUUGGGGCCCUUCUCUAGUCACUGAACAAAUGCUCAAAGAUUAUGUGGACCAAGGUCUCUUGGCUGCUCAGGAAGAGAUUGGUUGGCGAUUCAGCCAAGGAGAAAAUGUCCCUAACCCUGCUAAAGGAGGUGAUAGUUUUUACCAAUCAUAUCCCUAGAGGCUUUACUCCACCUGGGUCAAAGUUUUUUUGGGAUGUCUUGCACUAUUUUAGUCUCCAUCCUCAAGACAUAGGCCCAAACUCAAUAACAAACCUUUGCCAUUUUCAAAUAUUUUGCGAAGUUUAUUUGCAAGUAGAACCCACCAUUGCUCUCUUCAAGGAGUUCUUCUACCUAAACCGCCAGACUGAAUGUGCUAGUGGUCCAACUCAAGAGUUAGGAGGAAUCUCAAUCCAAAGACGCAGAGACGGCUGCUUUCCCGCAACUGUCUUGUUAAGCCAUCCCAAGGGAUGGGUAAAAACCUGGUUCUACUCUAAGAAUACCGCCCCAGAAAAUGAGAACCCUCUGCCAGGUUAUCGUGUUGAUCGCCUCCCCAUCAACUUUAACCUACCAAGUCAACUUAUUCCAGCUAAACAUACUGAAGCACUUCAACAUUACCCGAAGAUAACAACUUUGUUAGCCAAUGGGUUAACCGGAGUCGACUUAGCCCGUUGCUGGUUCUCAUGGAAGAUCCUUCCUUUAAGUCGCCGACCCAGUUUAAUGUGUGACUACUCUGGCAAGUCAGAUGAUCCUCAACAAAAUAGCUCUGACGAAUUUAGUACUGAAGAUGUCUUUCAAGCUAUGAACUCCUUACUCGGGGAGUCACAAGAAAAUUGUAACAAGAUAGGACUGCCACCAUUCUCCUAGCUUAACCCAGCUCCAGCUAUAAGCACUAUUCUAUUUCCAGGUAAAAUAUCUUUGAUUCUAUUCUAUAUAUCACUUAUAAAUCUUUUAUUAUUGCAUAGCCCGACUCUUCUUUUUAGAAGAGAAAAAUAAAGACCGUUGUGGACAAAACCAAGACCAGCCCAAAGUAAAAGAAGAGCAAACCAGUUGCUGUGAUUAAGUCGGCUGCUAUGGACUAGUCAAUGGAUGUUAACGUUGAUGACCAGUCUGAGAUAGAACUUUACUCUCUUAGCCGCCUUUUAAUGACUUAACUGACACUUCUUACUCUCAGGAUGACGGUGCAUCAAGCCAGGCUGACAAUCCAGAAGUAAUUUCUAUCUCUUCCGGCUCAGACUCUGUAACAUCCCAAAUUUUCAAUUUGGAAUGUUAUACACUAGAUCAUCAUUGCAUAGCAUAUUUUAUUGCAUUCUGGUUGAUCCUAGAAAUUCUACGCAACUCAAGGACCCUCGGAGAGAGAGUUGGGGAUUUUGUUAUUUCCAUAUUUGAGUUUUCUCAAAUUUUGAAAUAAGGAUCAUUUGAUUUUAUUUAUUUUAUCUUCAUUUAUUUCUAUUAUCAAAAUAUGAGAGAGGGAAUAAAAUGACUUUGCCAAAAUAAAGAAAUAUUGAGGAUUUAAUAAAAAAAUCAAAUAAGAUUUUAUUUGGUUAUUUGCUAUUUUAUUUGAAUUUAGGAAAAAUUGCACGUUUUAAAAAAUUGCAUUUAUAGCCAAAAAAAUGUUCUUUAUGUUCUAAAUAUUUUAUUUAGACGGAGAAAAUUUGUUUUGGCAUUUUAGAUUUUUAUUUAUUUUUCUAGAAUUCUUUUUAGGCGCAGCGAAAUUGUUUUUUAAAAAAAAUCUCGCGCCCGACUGGGCCAAGGGCCCAGCCGAGCCAGGCCGGCCCAGCCGCCGCCGCCUCCCGCUCGAGUAGCCACCAGACUCGGGAGGAGUCCGAGCCGGAGCCGCCUCGCCGCCGCCCGACCCCCUCCCCAAGUCAGCCCNNNNNNNNNNNNNNNNNNNNNNNNNNNNNNNNNNNNNNNNNNNNNNNNNNNNNNNNNNNNNNNNNNNNNNNNNNNNNNNNNNNNNNNNNNNNNNNNNNNNNNNNNNNNNNNNNNNNNNNNNNNNNNNNNNNNNNNNNNNNNNNNNNNNNNNNNNNNNNNNNNNNNNNNNNNNNNNNNNNNNNNNNNNNNNNNNNNNNNNNNNNNNNNNNNNNNNNNNNNNNNNNNNNNNNNNNNNNNNNNNNNNNNNNNNNNNNNNNNNNNNNNNNNNNNNNNNNNNNNNNNNNNNNNNNNNNNNNNNNNNNNNNNNNNNNNNNNNNNNNNNNNNNNNNNNNNNNNNNNNNNNNNNNNNNNNNNNNNNNNNNNNNNNNNNNNNNNNNNNNNNNNNNNNNNNNNNNNNNNNNNNNNNNNNNNNNNNNNNNNNNNNNNNNNNNNNNNNNNNNNNNNNNNNNNNNNNNNNNNNNNNNNNNNNNNNNNNNNNNNNNNNNNNNNNNNNNNNNNNNNNNNNNNNNNNNNNNNNNNNNNNNNNNNNNNNNNNNNCCGCUUGCCGCCGCCCCGCGCCGCCCAGAGCCGUCGCCCCGCCGCCUCGCACCACCCGCCGCCCUGUUGAAGCCUCGCCGGAGCGCCGCCGCCGAGGUAUCCGGCGGUCGGUUUUUGAGAAAAAGUCGUUUCGGUUUUUUUUGAAAACCCUAGUUUUUGUUUUUUUAAAAUAUAAAGAUCGGUUUUUCUCCGGUUUAUUUAUUUGGCGAGCGCCCGCUCGUCCGUUCGUUUUAACGAAUGUGUUUUUCGUUUAGUUCCUGUUAACGAACGUUCGUUCGUUAACCUGUUCGUCGUUUUUCUUUUCUCGGAUUAAAUCCGCGAUUUUUCUGAUCGCAAUCUCUGAUCCGAUGUUCGUUUUAGUUUAACGUUUUUCUCAUUUAUCAGAAUCAGGCGAUUCAAGCGCCUGGAGUUUCGUCUCAAAACCCUCUUUCAGUUUAACCAACUCAAACAAGUUUUUGCCACUGUAAAAAUUGCCCUAGGUCCAGAAUAGUAAAUGAAGCUUGGUUUUUUGCCGUUUGUCUUUCGUUGCUUCGUUCGUUUUGAUUAUUUUUGCCGACCGGAGUUCUUAAGUUGAACUUUCUGGUUAGAUCUCUUAUUCGAGUUUUACCUAUGCAUUAGUUGAGUACUUAUUGUAUGCUUGUUUGUUUGCGAUAGAGUACCCCGAGUGCGCCGCUUGCUACUUCGGAUCGCUAGGUUUCCCGGAUCAUCAGCAAGGAAAGUAACACUUUGAUCAUAUCUCCUACUACCCAGUUUUAUUACAUUAGAUCAAUCCUCACACAUUGCAUGAUUAGGAUCUAAUUAAAUUGUGGGUUUGGGGAGUAGUUUAGGUAGAACAUAUUACCUGUUUAUUAUCAAACCUUUGGGAGUUACUUCUACGUUUGCUUAUUAUUGCUAUGCUAUGCUAGUAGACAUGGAUUGGGUGAGUGAAAUCCAUGAUAGGUGUGAGUUUGUUAAAUUAAUGGUUUAUCUAAGGUGGCAACUUAAGCACACAUCUGGGUGAACUUAGGCACCUGGGUAUUCCAACGAUUGCCUGUUUUCUUUUGGACCGCCACCCAGGCUCAAAGGGAUCAUGAGGUUAUUCAUGCUAGAAACUUCCGUGUGCAGCCACAAGCUACUAUGGGCUCUAGCAUAGUUGACUAAGUCGUGCGAACUCUUACAGUGGUAGACUAGCAGAUGUAGGGGAUGUAGGUUGGUACGGUCUACCCAUUCGUAAGGUGCUAGCACUUCUGAAAGACUAUGUCUCGGUCAUCCGUUUCUCAAACACCAUGUAGUGCGAGAAAUCCAACGGAGGAGAUCGGGUCUUGUGGGGAAAAGUGAGCAAACCUCUGCAGAGUGUAUAAACUAAUCAUGGUCAGCCGUGUCCCCGGUUAUGGACAUCUUGAGUAUAUAGUACCUGGAUUAUCAUGUGAAUCUCAACAUGUUACUCUAAAAUUAAUUUUGUUGGGUUUUGAUUAAUGAUGAUGCUUAAUUGGGAUUGAGAAUGCUGUCAACCAUUCUCAAUGUUUAACAACUACCAUGAUAGUUAAAUAAAAUCUAUUCCUUUGCAGUAGGGAAAAAUUGGCUUUACGAAAAACUGUAACCAUAGAGCUUUCUACCAGCCAUAUAUGCAUAUAGUAUAGACUAUUUCAUUCCAUUACUCUCUAUGUGCUACAUUGCCAGCAUAUUCCAUGUGCUGACCCGUUUCGGGCUGCAAUGUUAAUGUUGUAGACUUUUCAGACGACGAUUAAGGUGCCUUUAGGUCGUGGUUCUAUACUCACUGAUGCCGUUGGAGUUGAUGGACUCACUUAUCUUCCAAGCCUUCCGCUGUUAUCAUUAUUAGAUGGCCUUAAGCCACUAUUAUUGUAUUAAGCUCUCUUUGGAGACUCUCGAUAUAAUAAGUGUGUGAUUGCUACUCUGUUAUAAAUCCUUCAAGUACUGUGUGGUGUCAGCAUUACUGAUCCAAGGAUGACACCUGAGCACAGAGAUUGGACCGUUUGAGGUCUGGUCGCUAUGAGAUGGUAUCAGAGCACACGCUGACUGUAGGACAUGACCACUAAGCUAAAGACCUAGAUCACUACUCACUCUCUUCUCAUUCUGACUUCUCAUCUUUUCUACUCUUUUAGGAUGGCGGAUGCAAGGAACAAGUUCACGCAACCGGAUGAAGAUACACCCUUUGGACGUCACUUGAAGGAAGUCACAAGAUACCUGAACAUAGGAGUACCAAGUUUCACUGGAACCUACAACGCCACUCUACCUGAAGAAGAGUGCUGGAUGAUUCAAGUUCAAGUUCCAGGAAGGACGUUCAUGCCAAUCACUGAGCCCAUAGAGUUUUCUUUUGAUGCACCAACUUGGAAUCUAGGAAAGAGCAUGGCAGCUCACAUCGCCAUGGGACGCAUUGGAGAAGUUUACCGCAAUGAUCUCAAGGAUACUAUCUGCCAGAUUUGUGGGCGCCGAGAUGAGCACUGAGAGAUGAUCAGUACCAGGAAGGAUAGAUCAGUUGCAGCUUUUAUCCAGGAGUUAAACCAACACAUUCGACGUCAGGAGAACCAGAUGUGCACCGACAUGAUAGAUCUGAAGAAGGCGAGGACAAGAAUCAAGGAACUGGAGGAAGAACUCAAGGCUACACAUGAAGAUUAUGAAGAGGAAAUCGAAGUAUUAGUGGAAAAGAAUGACGAUCUGAUCAAGAAGAUUGGAAUAUUCAUGGGAGGCCCUACACCAGUAGAAGAAGAUGAAGAACCCAAGGAGAUUCACCCAGAAGACUACAUCAUCAUCGACGACACCGACUCAGAUCCAGAUGAUAGCGAUGAUGACUAUGUUGAUGAAGCUGGAGCAGAUAUCAUGGAGUCUGCAACCGAAGAAUAUUUCUAGUAGACCACCCAAACAGUAGUAGUAAUCCACCAUGUAAAUAUAGUAGUCCGAGCACUUUUGCGAUAGUUAGAUCGAUUGUAUGCCCUUGUUUGAUUGAUUGAAUGAAGUGAAUUGUUUGCUUUUGUCUCAUGUGCAUAUGGGUAGUGUUUUCUCUUUAGACCCCCUCUAUUCUUAAAUCUCAUCUUUUCUAAACCCUCAGAUGCCUCCGAGACGUGAACCCAGAUGUACCUUCCCACCGGAGCUCAUCCAGUUGAUCCAGCAGCAGAACACAUUGAUGAAGUUGCUAGUCCAGAAUCAGAAUCAAGGGAACAACAACAACAACCCACCACCACCACCACCUGUUGAUCACUUAGCUCGUUUUCUUAGGCUGAAUCCGCCGGUGUUUUCCAGUAGCACCGAGCCGAUAAUAGCAGAUGAUUGGCUCUGCAAGAUAGCAAGGGAGUUGACCACGACGGGAUGCACGGAUGCGAAAAAGGUGAAGUUUUCCGUACAUCAGCUUGAAGGACCCGCAGCAUCAUGGUGGGAGAAUUUCAUAGCCACUUUCCCUAUCGACACUGUCACAUGGGACCAGUUUUAGCAGGCUUUUCAUACUGCCCAUGUUUCAACAGGAGCUAUGGCCAUGAAGAAGCGAGAGUUUCGCAACUUGCGCCAAGGAGGACGGACAGUUGGCCAGUAUGUGGAGGACUUCAAUAAGUUAGCAUGUUAUGCCCCAGAUAACGUUGCUACUGAUGCAGCUAAGCAGGAGAAGUUUCUGGAAGGACUGAAUGAUGAGUUGAGCAUGCAGUUGAUGGUAGCAACCUUCAACAAUUACCAGGAGUUGGUAGAUCGUGCUCUCAUGAUUGAAGGGGAGCAACAGCAGAUUGAGAAUCGCAAGAGGAAGUAUGGACAAGGAAAGUACAAUUCAGGAGCUCAACAGAAGCGAUGCUUUACCCCUAGACUAGGAGGACAUUUUCAGCAUACCCAUGGAGGAGGUAGCUCGCACAAUCAUAAUGGCACCAAGAAUGGUAAUGGGAAUGGAGGAAGCAACAGCCAGAACCGCACCAACCCAUCGACCCCAGCCAAGAAAGACCUGAGCCAAGUCACUUGUUUUAAGUGCCAGAAGACCGGACAUUAUGCCAAUAAAUGUCCUGAAUCACAGAAAUCAUCAGCCUUGAACUUCUGCUUGCCUGAGAAUGGAUCCUUUGGCUUUGGCAGAGGAGUGUCAGUGAGUUGCAUCACGACCUCAGGAAUCUCAAUCGCAGGUUCUUCAGGCUGAGGAAUUUCUGGUUCUUCCUCAGUGGUAGUCUGCGUAGUUGGUUGUUCAGCAGUAGCAGUUUCUUCAGCGCUAGUGGCUGGAAUUUCCUCAUGGACAGAUGCAGUGGGAUGAGUUUCUUCAGAGCCCAUGUGAACAGUUUGUGUGGGGGACUGAAGAAUUUGCUGUAGAGGGGGUGAACAUUGGAGAGUUUGGAUGCUGACUUUCCCAGAAUUCAUCACUGAUUACGGGUGUGGAGCAGCCAAUGUCCACAUCUUCAUCUUCCAUUUCUUCAACGCCAUCCUCUUUAGCUGUGAACUGAGGCAUAGGCGAGGAGAUGAUAGGUGUUGAAGGGAUCGCAUCCACUUCAAUUUCUUCAUCCAAUGGUUCAGACAAAGCAGCAGAAGGAGUUUCUUCAUCAGAUCCGCUGGGGAUCACAUAUUUUUCAUCAAAAGGAACAAGGCCCUUUGAUGGCCUGGUUGAGAUGGGAACAACAUCAAUCGGAUUUGCAAAUGAGCUUGUCAUAGGCUUCAUUUUCUUCGGAGCUGAAGAAUCUGAAGCAGCUGAUGCUUUCUUUUCUGCACUGCAGCAUGCUCUGCAGCCUUGGUCUUCUUCACAUCUGAUGCAGAUGGAAGGAUUGGAGUUGAAGUUGGUGCAAGAGCAGCUGAGGAAUCUGGUUGAUUUUCUUUAGGCACAACUGAUGCAGUUGCCCUGAGUUCUUCAGUUUCUUCAGGCACACCACUAGUGGGUGCCCUGGCAAUUUCUUCAGUGGCUGGAAUGCAGUCAUCAGCCCUGGAACUCACAUUUUCUUCAGCAGCCUGAUUAUCAUUAGCGGUGCUGGCAUGUUCUUCAGUCGGCUGAGCAGAUGCUUCAGCCUGAGGAAUUUCCUGUUGCGUUGGGGCAGCAACAUUUGAAGUGAACUAUUUAGUUAUCUUUACAAAUCUAACUUUGGCUCCUUGCCAAUCAGCAUAGUAGGCUUGAAAGUCAUCGCUGAGGGUUUUGAUUUCAGAUUGGAUUUUUACAAGUUCAUCAGUGGUCAUAGUGACAACGUUGUUCUUCAGGUACUUCUCCUUUCUGUACUGGGCCUUCUUGAUCUGUCUGGCCUGAUCAUAUUUCCAUUUCUCCUCUUGGAUGAAAUGAGUCAGCAUGUGAUUUUGACCAGGCAUCAGCUUGAAGUCAGGCAUAGGAUUAUUUGGGUCCUUGUGCCAGAGAUCAAUGUAGUCGAGGAUCAUCUUGGGAUCCAAAAGAAGUGGCACAAGUGUGCCUUUGGCUCUAGUGGCCCUAACUUGUCUGUCUCUGAUGAUUUCUGCAAGUUCAUCAUCAUUAGCUUCAUCUUCUUCAGGUGGCACUUGGAAAGCGACUUGCUUCUUUUGAGGACUUGGCCGAGGACCUCGUCCAGCAGUUGCCUUGGUCUUCAUCAGAGUGGGGAGAGGUGAAGAAUUUGGUGUAGCUGAGGAGCUUGCUGAGACACCAGAGGCAAUGGAGAUGCCUGUAGUCCUUUGGCACGAGGCCAGAUGCGCAGGUGCUGAGGACUUUGUCGGAACAACUGAGGACUUUGGAGGAGGUGCUGAUGAUUUUGAAGGAGCAGCUUGAGGGAUUGGUCGUGAGGACCUUGAAGAGUCUGGUCGUGAGGGCGCAGCUGAGGAACUUGGCCGUGAGGGCACUGUUGGUGAAGCACUUGGCUUACGAGCAGGCUUCUUAGGCAUGGAUUUCCUCGGCUUGACAGAGGCCUUAGUAGAGACAGCAGCAGCCACAGCAGAGUCUUCAUUGAAUUUCCUCACUGCUUCUCUGGCUUGCUUGGCCAACUUGCCUUGGCGCUUGGCCCAUUCAUCAGGAUAGUCCUCACCGCGCUUGAGGCUGGUGGGAUCUGCUACUUGGCCAGGUGCCAAUGGAGCUCUUGGGGAUGGAGGAUUAAGUGCGAAUUUCUUCAUGUACUUAGGAGUGACAUAUCUGUACUCCCUCCAUUCUCUUGCCCAUCUCCUCUCUAUCCUCUUUUUGCGCACUUUGCGCUCAUUCUUGGUUUCCUCACUAGGUGUGCAGUACCCAGCAUAUAUGUCAUCAGGGAUCUCAAACGCUGUAUUUACCUCAGGCCUCUUUCCUCCCUUCUGUGGCCUUUUACCAUCAGCCAUUUUCUUCAGUUGAGGAAUUUGAACAAUCGAAUUCUCUGAAGAAGUAUGCAACUUUUCUUCGAGGAACGCUGCAAAUGAGUUAAGUUGAUGAGAACCUAGUGAUUCAGCAGCUGACAUGUGUACCUGUGAACAGAGUAUAGUUGCGAGGAAUUUGGAGAGGUCAUAUGCGUUCUCAGAAGGUUUUUCAAAAAGAACAAGUUUGAGGAAUUUGACCAGAUGAGUCUUGAAGAUUUUUACUAAGCGUUCUUUGUCUUAGGUUCCAAAGUUGUAUAGAUCGAAGAUCCACAAAAUUGAGGAAUCUUGAAGAAAAAUGAUGCUUAGACAAACGAAUCAAGAACAGAUGACAUGUGAGGUGUUUAGUCUGUGAAGAUUUGAAGAAUAAAACACCUUUGAAGAUUUUAUAGAGAAACUUCGAAUCAAAGAGGGCAGUAAAAGUAACUUUUAAUUACCCUGAAUGAAGAAUACGACGAACAGUGAGGUGAAACAGUGGAGUUCGUCAGUGUAGAUCUUCCACACCCUAACUUGGCGGAGGAAGACGUCUACGGCGGCGGCGGAGGUGAAGAUUUCCGCGGUCGGUGCGAGUACGAUGACGACGAGGUCGAGGCAGUGAAGCUCUUCCUCACCAGCGACGAUGGAGUAGCGGCGGCGCUAGGGUUUGGGAAGCUCGAGUGGGAGAGAGAGAUCGAGCGGAGUAAAGGAAGUGAGGAAGGGAUGAGGGGGUAUUUAUAGUAGCAGUGAAAAACUGUUCGCCCGAAGAUUUGGGACGAACGUGCCCCUGACCCUUCUCCUUCGCACGACAUGUGUCACCCACGUACUAUGUAGUGGAGAUCGUGGGUGAAUUAAAAAUUUAUCAUGGGAUGCGGAAUGAGUUGAGCGGCAAAACCGAAAAUUUGGAUAAGAUUAGUUUUAAAGUUCCGUUCGCAAUUUCUUCAGCUGACAAGGACACAGUGAAGAUUUUGAACGAGUUUCAAAUAGAACUCACAUGAAGAAUUUGUGAACAGAUUGGGUUGAGUAUAGCAUAGAGGGGGAGGGUCCGAUCACAUUCACUUAGCAGAAAACCAACUUGAAGAAAUAGCAAUAAGUGAAUGUUGUAGAGGACAUAGACUCAUAUAUAUAUAUAUAUAUAUAUAUAUAUAUAUAUAUAUAUAUAUAGCCAAUGAAGAAAAACAACGGAACCAGUGAAGAUUAUGGAAAGUUGAAGAAUAUGAAUAAUUUGAGGAAUUUCAACUUUUGGUGGUGGCAUGACCCACCGUAUAAGAAUGAUGAUUUCAUACACCACGUACAAUUAUCGUAGGGUUCUGAGAAUCAAAUUCUUCAUUAAUUUCUUCACACUAAGAGUGUUAUUCUUCAUUGAUUGAAGUAAAACGUUUCUUCAUGUGUUGCACAUCUAAGCCAUCAAUUUUGCAUAAGUGUUAGGAUGAGUGUCCUUUUCAAAGAACAUUCGAAGAUUCUAGGAUAUUUAGCUCACACCGGAACUUGCUAAAUCUCUUCUCAUCCAAGGGCUUUGUGAAGAUAUCAGCUAGCUGUUCUUCAGUCUUCACAUGCUCAAUAGAAAUGUCGCCCUUCAACACAUGAUCACGAAGAAAAUGAUGAUGAAUCUGAAUGUGCUUUGUCUUCGAGUGCUGAACUGGGUUGUGAGCAAUCUUGAUGGCACUCUCAUUGUCAU